RNAcentral lists this long non-coding RNA (99668 nucleotides) under Medicago truncatula (barrel medic). RNAcentral describes it as "long non-coding RNA (MTRU_LNC000298)". The stretch from base 25179 to 25261 matches the Rfam family "MIR2617 microRNA precursor family". The record is from RNAcentral. Lineage: Eukaryota; Viridiplantae; Streptophyta; Magnoliopsida; Fabales; Fabaceae.
AUUGUUCCAAACUUCAACAUUAAUUUUGAGACACAUUUCAACACGUAGGCUUGUAAAAUACAACACCACUUUUUCCUUCUUCUCAUAAGAGGCAAUCUUGAAAUUCACAACAACAAUAUCAAUAAUAUUAUUUUCCUCAAAAAUGGCUUAAAGUUAAUUGUUAAUUGUUUGCCUUUAAUAUCUUGAGUCAAGGAUAAGAAGAAAAAAAAUAUAUAAAUUUUCAAGUCCGGGGGGCAUUUUGCAUAGAAGUGCAAAACUUCAGGGAAGUAUUAACAAAACGUCAUGUUGACUAACAGAAGAAUUUGACAGAGGGGGUAAAUUCAUUAACAUUGUCAAUUUCAGGGGGUGAUUGAAGUUUUGUUAAUAUCAGAGGGUAAUUGAUAAAACUUACAAUUUCAGGAUAAUUGCCUAUUUACUCGUAACAUAAUCAAGGGAAAUUCGUUUGAGUAUAUCCUAUAUCCAUUUAACAUUUUGAAAGAGAAAGAAAUAGAGAGUGUGAUGUGAUGGAUGAAAUAUAUUUAUGAUAUAAUAGGACGAAGGAUAGCGAGAAAAUAAGGUGUUGAAUAUGUGUAUAUGAAAAAUAAAAGGGUGUCUAAAUAUAUGGGUUGCAUAAUUAGAUGAUAAGAGAGGUUGAACUGUCUAACCUGGGAAAGAGAGUGUCUAAAUUGAGCUUCAAUAGGCUUCAUCGUACAUGGAAAAUUAGCUUGAGUCAUAGCUUGAAGUGUCUAAACAGAGAAAGAGAGUGGCAAGAAACUAGUGUUUGAAAGGAUUUUUUUUCUGUGUCUGGAAUAUGGAUUGGAAUUGAAUGGGCUUAAAGAACUGGAAGAUGGACUAUGAGAAAUGGCUUAUGUUUUUCCAAAGCUAAGGGGGUUUUAUUUUUUGUAUAAGUCAUAAAUAUACACUAUUAUUUUUUAAAUAUAGUCGCUUUUUUUGUGUUAUUCUCUCUUAUUCUUUAUAUUGUUAAUAGUCCUUACGGUCUUUUACCAUCUAAAUUGUACGUAUGAAACAAAUUGAUAUUGUUAUUUUUGGAAGAAAAUAAAAUAAAAAAGUUAUAUAAUGUGUUGUUUUGUAUAAUAUUUUAUUUUUUAAAUGACUGAUUGUAUUAAAACGACGGUGACAAUAAAUCAAAAACCACAAUUGUAGAAAUACAAUGAGGUCUUUAUUCAACCAAAAUAAUAUUCAAAUCGAUUUGCUACACGACGAAUGAAUUGCAAAUUUUGCUAAAUAAUGUGCAACUUAAUUUGCUACACGGCGAAUAUGCUAGAAUUUCAAACUACUGAAGCAAGGAGACAAACUUUUGAAGUAUUUAACUAUUACUCCUACAUAAGAAUGAUGGUUCUUUUCUAGACCAAUGAUGAAUGUAAUGAGAUUCAAAGAGUUGGUUCCUUCGCAAGUUUGAUCCCUUUCAACCUCUUCGAUUAUUGAUAGCCUUUGAUGAAGAAUCUGCCACAAGAACUGUAAGUGUCGAGGAACAAUGCUUAGUUUCUAGAGUUUACUCUGAAUGUUUCUUUCUUGAGGGAUAAAAGAUUGUUAGAGUAUAGAACUUCAUUUUUUUUUUUAGGAAUUUAUAGAUUGAUUUAGCUAAGAGUUAAGCAAAAUUGGAAAUCGGUUGUUUCGACUUCCAUACAAAUGUCGCCGAUCAAGGUAUUUCGAUCGACAUUCCACUUUCUUAACUUGAAUAAAACCUUGAAACAAAAUUUUCUUCUCUUCAAAAACAUUUCGGCUAAAGGAAAUUUCCGACUUGUCCAAAGGUGAGAGGGAGGUGUGUUUUCGUUCUUUGAGUGUUGCUCCCAUUGAUGGCUUAGUGGCGUUUUCGUUUUGUAUUUUUUUUCAGACAUGCCUUGUGAUUAGAAUUUUUUUUUGACUAAUUGUGAUUAGAAUUUUAUUAAUCACAUUUCCUUUUUAUAUCUUCAAAAAGGAAAAAAAAAAAUUAAGAAACUAUACUUCAGUAUGCAUUUUAAAAUAUCCUCACAACUUAGACCGUUUAAAGUUUAAAUCACCUAUAUAAAGUAUCAUUGAAUGAAAUUCACGUCUGAAAAUAAACAAGUGGAUAUUGGGUUCAAACUCGUAUAUAAUACUACGUCUUUAUCAAUUGAGUUAAGUUAACGGAAACGUAUACAUUUGUUUUAUUUUUACGAGAAGAAUAUGUGAAUUUGAAUUAUUUACUUUAACAGUCUCGUAAUAAAUGUGAUAUGAUUCAACAUUUUAAGUUUUUUUUUUUUUGAAUAUUUGUUUAGGAAUGCAUUUCAAAGUCUGAUUUCCCCUUUAAAAAAAGCCAUUGACCUGAAUGAAUAUAUAUCCAAAGUUUGACUAUAUGUAUGUUUAGGAAAUAAAUAACUGAAUCCCUUUGAAUAUGUGGUUACCUUAAAUAGAAACUAAACUUUAUGUAAUUCAGUUUUGUCCAAUUUAAUUGUUUGUAAAUGAAUUAUUCUAUGUUACCAAAUUCGAGCCUCUUUAUUUCCUUUUUCUAACUGGAAAAACAAAACAUCCGUUAAGCAAAUGGAGUAACCUUUGUACAAAUAUAGUUGUAAAAAAAAAAACUUUAUACAAAUAUUAUAUGAGUCAAAGUUUAGUUUUCUACGCACAUAAAAAAGUAUAUGUAAUAAUUUUUCAGUCUUUUUUUUUUACAAAAUAAUUUCUCAGUCUUAAUCAUCCGAUUUCACAAUCUCAACAAUGAGGAUUACUAGUGUGUAGUCUCGAUGAAAAAUAAGUAAAUUCGGACCAACUCGAUGAAAAAUAAGUAAAUUCGGACUAAAUUUGAAUUAUUUUGAACAAUUUAAAUUCAUUAAUCACUUGAAGUCAAUGACUUAAUGAAAGUAUAUGUAAUAAGGAUGUGAUAUUUUUUUUGUCAAAUUGUUUAAGACCAUAAUUUCAUCUUUUAAUGUGAAUAAAAUGAGAAUUUGAGGUUUGAACUUCAUCCCUUCCAUAUUACAAUGUCCCAUCCCAAAAUAUCACAUGAUUGAUGGCUAAGAAUGAGAUUUUAGAGGAAAUUAAUGACUUGUUUUGUUUAAAUUAACAAUUGUUAAAAGGCCUUGUUAAAAUUACAAAUGAACUUGUAAUAAUAAAACUAACCCAAUUAAAACUUCUAAAAUUACUGAUUUCGAUGAUAAUAUUAUUUUAGUCACGCUAAAACUUAAUUCUGGAUCGCCCCUGCUGUCAACUAAGGUAUACUCAGAGGAAUAGUAAUGACGUAAUAGUUAUUCCUCAUAAAAUUAUGUAAGUUAUGAAAAAUAGUAGUUAUUUUAUACCCUUGAGUUUUGUUUGAUGACAGUUAUACAAAAUUGAUUUAAUGAAGUAAUAGUACAAAUACUGCAUACACAUGUUAAGGCACAAAAACCGGUCCAUUAGUCAAUUGUUAGACACAUGAACAAAUAGCAAAGUUCAAAUUCAUAAAAUGCUUGGCUUGUUUUGUUGGUAAACAAGCACAUACAUAGUUAGGACCAGAAAUUAACUAACCCCAUUUUGAUUUUUUUUCCAAAUUCUGGUAACACCCCAUCAUUAGUUUUUCGUCCAAGUCUCUAGCAUCUCAAUUCUAAGCAAAACUUUGCUUUUAUUCUACAAUCAAUUCUCUCUCUUUCCUAUUCAAUUCUCAUUUUCUCUCUCUUGAAACCAAGCUCAAAACUUUCCUAUAAAUAUAUGAUACCUCUUCCAUCUCAAUCAUCAUAGUUACAACUUUCUCAUUCUUUCAAUUAAUUGAGUCUAUUCUUUUCCUACAAAGAAACACAUAGGAAUGAUGUAUUCACAAAGUUUAACUCUUUCACUUUUCACCAUUUUAGCCUCAUUUGGUUUGUGUUUUGGCUCUUACUUAGAAGAAAGACAUUAUUCAACAAAUCAUCAACCUUACAAUGAGAGGUUGGUGAAACCAAGACAUGAACAAUUUAGUUUCAUGGCAAGGGCUCAUCAUCCAUCGAUUGCGCCUUCGCCGCAAUCUCAUAACACGGUUAAUGUCAACGACUAUGGAGCCAAAUCUAAUGAUGGACAAGUUGAUAAUGAGGUAAUUUAGAAAAUGAAUGUGAGUUUUAUUUUAUUGAAGUUGUAUUUGAAUAUAAGGUUGUCAUGUUUUCUGAGUUGUGCAAUACUUAUAUGUGUUUGUGCCUCGGGUUUGUUGAGUGAGAUUCAAAUUCAUUUAAAAUAUUUAUGUGAUCAACGUUUAAUCGUCUUGUUCUGAUCACUAAUUCCAUUAUGAUUGGUCCGAUUGUAAAAUCGUGCAUUUGAUAUUUGUUUCCAUUUAAAUAUUGCUCUCAAUUUUCUCAUUUUUACACUUUAGGCAUUUGAAAUGGCAUGGAAUGAGGCAUGUUCUAAUGGGAAGGUUCUUGUGGUACCUAAACAAAGUGUCUAUCAUCUAAAUCCUAUAACAUUUUCAGGGCCAUGCCAACCCAAUACUGCAUUAAAGGUAAAUUAAAGUGAUUUAUAAUUAUAACUCUCAAUGUCCACUUAAAUAUAUAAAACUCAUUGUAACGUUUUUGUGUUUAAUUAAUCACUGUUUCAUUAUGUUAGAUCUAUGGAACAAUCAAAGCAUGGCCUAGAAUUUCAGCAUAUGGAGCAGAUAGAAAGCUAUGGAUCAAGUUUGAGAAUGUCACAAAUCUCAUAGUUGAUGGUGGUGGUACCAUUAAUGGAAAUGGAAGAAUAUGGUGGGAAAAUUCUUGCAAAGUCAAUGAAAGCCUUGUAUGAUAUUAACUCUAAUUCCUUUUAAUUCAUUCAUUUAAUCUAUGCAUUAAUUUUGGAUUUGUUAAAUUAAGGAAAAAUAUAUUAUUUUCAUUUUUUGUUUCUUGUUUACUUUUCAGUAACAACUAAAAAUCGUAUACUAUUUAUACACUUCAUUUUUUUUCUUUUCAAAAAAUUAUUUGGAUAUUUUUUGUUUAUACAGACAUAAAGAAAAUAACUUAUAAUUGACCUUUUUUCAACAUUUUUAUAAUUGGUCACAAUAUUUUUUUUAAUCUUUAAAAAUUAAUUAAAAAAAUAUAAAAUUGGUGCAUAAGAAAAAUAGAAACACAAAUGAAAUUGAAGUGACCCCCAUCUCUUAAUAUAGUGUAUAUCUUAAUAACAAUUUAUUAUUACUUAAUUUUCAAUUAUUGAUUUCAAUUUUAAUUAAUGAAUAAUUAUAUAGACUUUUUUUCUUAUCAUUUUAAUUUGAUUCAAAUUUUAAAUACUGACCACAAUUUCUUUACUCAUUUUAUUUCACAGCCAUGCAAAGGAGCACCAACUGUAAGUUAAAUUUUCAUUUUUGUAAACUUUAUUACAUGCUUUACUUCCAUACACAUUUCUAUUCAAUUUAACUUUUCUUGGUAAAUUUGUUGAAUAUAUAGGCUGUGACUUUUGAUGAAUGCAAUAAUUUGAAAGUGGAUAAGAUAAGAUUCAGAAAUGCACAACAAAUGCAUUUAAGGAUUCAAGGAUGCAACAAUGUUUGGGCAUCAAAUCUUAUAGUCACAGCACCAGGGCAUAGUCCCAACACUGAUGGAAUUCAUAUUACUCAUUCACAAAAUGUUUUCAUAACCAACAGCACCAUUGGGACAGGUAAAAAGAUAUAUAAAUGAAAAAAAAAAAAUGUCACAUUAUAAUAUCAUUUUUCAUAACAUAUCUCAUUUUUUAAGUUAUAAUAUAAAUUUUUUAAAAAUCAUAACUAAUUAUAUGAUGAAAAAUUGUUAAAACAUUUUAGUAGAGUCAUAAUAAUUAAAUCAAAGAUUAGAUUAUGCAAAAUUUUCUAAACAAAUGAUUCAAAAUAUAUAAUCUUCCUAUUGUUAAAAAAAAUAUAUAUAUACUCUACCUUAAAAAGAAAAUGUGGCAUUUAUGUAUUUUUAAAAUAACAUUAAAAAUAAAUAUUUUUAUUUUUAUUUUUAUAGAAACUAACUUUAAGACAAUAAGUCAAUUUAGGAAGUAAUAAACAAAACAUCUAUUAUAAGUUUAUUAUAAGUUUAUAACCCAAUAAAUAACAAUAAAUAGUUACUUGAAUUCUCAAAAUUCUAAUUUAUUCCUCACUAUUUUUGUUAAGGUGAUGAUUGUAUUUCAAUUGUAAGUGGGUCCAAAAAUGUUCGAGCAACAGAUAUUACAUGUGGACCAGGACAUGGAAUCAGGUAUCAUUCUCUUUGUUGAUUUUUUUUUUGUCAUUGAAUUUUUAAUUGAUUGGUUAAAAAAAAUUGAUGUGGUUAUUAUUGUUUUGUAGCAUUGGAAGCUUAGGUGGAGGUAACACACAAGCUGAAGUGUCUAAUGUGGAAGUUAACAGAGCCACACUAAUAGGAACCACUAAUGGAGUCAGAAUAAAGACUUGGCAGGUAAAUUUAUGGCUUUAAAAUUUUGCAACAUUUUAAUUAAAUAAAUUAAGGCUCAUUUAUAAAUUAUAAAAUAAAAAGAGUGGAAUUAAAGCUACCCACUUAAUUUAAUUUUUUAUUUUACCAUAUGGUUUCUUUUAUAAUUUUGGUUAAACUAUGUUAAUUAGGACCAAAUUAGGUGCAUUAGCAUUAUAAUAAUGGGAAGUUGACUAAUGUUACAUGGAUUAAUAAUGGAUUUUUUUUUAAUGGUUGAUUUUAAUUUCUAACUAAACAUAAAGUUUUACAUGCAAUACUUUAACUAACCAAGUUAGGCAAGUUUACAAAGUCCACCAGUUUCUAACCUUAUUACUUCAAACAUGUCAAUAACAUUUUAUAUUGUGUGGUUCAACUUUCUUUAGUCCUUCUUCUUAACUAAUUUGAACCAACAAAGAGUGUUUUUUUCAUUUUUUUAUUGUUACAAUUUUAGAUGUCCAUAUACUUGAAAUCUUAUUUUACCCAAGUUUUCAAAUGUCUUUAUAACUUUUUUUUUGAGGAAAAAUGUCUUGAUAACUUAAAAAAGUUAAGAUAUUUUUAUUGAUUGAUUAUUUGUUUAAAAGUAAGGACUCAAUUUAUAUAAUUCUAAAAUAUAGAAAUCACAUUAAAAAUAAAUUAUUAUAUUGAAAUAUAAUCGUUUUUGUUUUAAUGUCUUAUUUUUCAUACUAUAUAUCUCAAUGCAGGGAGGUUCUGGCUAUGCAAGAAACAUCAAAUUUAUCAACAUAGUUGUGCGAAAUGUGACUAAUCCCAUAAUCAUAGAUCAAAAAUAUUGUGACCAAAAAAAGAAAUGUCAAGAACAGGUAAUUGUUUUUAAAUUUCUUAAGUACUUUCAUAUUUGAUAUUACUAGCAGAAGAAAAAAAAUAUAUAAUUAACGAACAAAAUCAGAGGAAACAACCUAAACUUGAGCUUUAGGUCUAAAAACAAAACAUGAUGUGGGGUAUAAAUAGCAAUUAUCUAGAAAAAAUUGUUUUUCAUUUUGCAAUAUGGGCUCCAAGCCCAUGCUCUCAUUCAUUUUAACACCCCCCGCCAUUUUAUAUUUGUUUUGUUUCAUGGUUCAAAGUUCAAACUACAAUUUAUUCUUUUAAAAAAAAAAAAUUGGUCAAGGUUUUAUUCCACUUUACUGAUGUAAAAAAAAAGAUUUAUCAUUUAAAAAAUCUUAUAAUAUUGGACUGUUAUGGUUCGAAUCGUUUUUCUAUAAUAUUGAUUUAUUUGUUUAAAUUAAUUAUUUUAAUUUUAAUUGUAUAGUCUCCUUUUGUCUUGAUUUUGUAGUAUAUUUUAUUUGAAUUCUACAGGUUAUCCUCUACUUGAUUUAGUUAUUUUUCUCUCUCUAAAUAUUUGUUACUAAUUUAAUCAAAUUCAUGGUCAAAUUACAGAACUCAGCUGUGGAAUUGAGCAAUGUGAUGUACCAAAACAUAAAAGGAACAAGUGCUUCAGAAGUUGCAAUCAAACUUGAAUGUAGCAAAGCUGUCCCAUGCAAAGGAAUUCACUUGCAAGAUGUGAAAAUAACAGGAGAAAACAUUAAGGACACCAUUGCAAAAUGUGACAAUGUUAAAUAUUCAAAUAGUGGAAUGUUCUUUCCUAAGUGUCACCCUUGAAGAAAGAAAGAAGGAUGGAUUAAAUUAAUUAGGAUUUGUGUAUAUACUAGAUCAGUUAUUGAUCAGGAUUAGGCACAAAUGCUUACACUUGUUGGUCAAAAAAAUUGGAAAAAUAAUGAUUCAAGUUUGCGCUGAUUUUUGACAAACAUGUGUAUUUUUCAGUUUGAUAUACACUUUUAGAAAUUAAUAACAAAAAAGAAAAAACUUCAAUGAAAUUUGAAAAAAUCAUAUUGCUGAACCCAUUAUUUUUUAUUUUCUUUGAUAAAUGAGAGUGACGGAACCCAUUUUUCCCCAUUAAUUUUAAGGAAGGAUAAUGUAUUUGGAUUUGCUAUGGAAAAAAAAUAAUACUUUACAACUGAGAAAUGAAAUACUUCAUUUGAGCUAAGUUAAUUAAGCUUUCGUUUCUCUAAUUUUCAAACAAUAGAAACAAGUUGAUCGAGAGUUACGCUCCGAUGCAAAAAACACUCGUCGGAUUUUUUUGCAACUUCUGAUAGAUUUUAUGUUAUGUAAUCCAAAGUUACAAUCCGAUAAACCCGGAAGGCUGUUGAGCAACCAAAUGACACGUAGAGCAAUCACUUUCGAUUUCAUAUCACUAGUAUAUUCGUCACAACAUAUCCAAACAUAUGAGGAAAGCUGAUCCGUAUUCCAGUGAAGUAGCAUAUUUACACCACUCCAUGUAUCUUUUAACGCUGUUUUGUAGCAUUCAAAAUCUAAUAGUAACUUUAUAUCAACUGAUUAAACCAUGAUUUUAACAAAGAACAAUAAAUUACAAGCAAAAAAGUGGACGUUAGUUGUAAGAAAUGUGCAAGUACAUAUCACCGAGGAAACUUCAUUUCUUGCAGGCUCUACUCAUUACAAGAUAAGCAAACUGAUAUUGCUGCAUAUUACACGUUUUAAUGAUUUUUUCAAACCAAGAUUUUACUGAAAUCGUCUACAUUUGGUGCCUAAACACUGGUAAACAGAAAUACAAACUAGUUUAAUUAACGUAGAUCCACUGCAUAGUUUCUAAAAUUCAUACAAGUACACAUCUAGCAAGACUAGCAUAUAGAAUCUGACGUCAAAUGAAGACCUAUCGCAUGUUCUAACAUAAGUGUAAUAGAACAAGCUAUUUGAAGAUAUUGUACAAAAACAUUCCUUCAGAAGCAUUUCCGGUGAACAAUGGAAGGCCCGUUUUCGUCAUAGUCUGCCUUAGUUACGUGCUGAUUUUGAGGAAAAACUACUUUGGCAAGUAUGGCACCUCCCACCCAUGCAGAAUACAUGGUCAAAUUUUCAGGCAUAUAUUCCGGAGGCUGCAAAAAACCAGAGAUUAUUGGCAAUAGCAUAAAUUAUAAGAUAAAAAACUAUAACAAUCAUGCACAGAAAUACAGGACAAAGCCUAUAAUGCCUUGGAGACAUGUUACAUGAUUUACUUCACAAUACUACAAGUAACUUUAUAUAAACUUCUUCAUAAGCAUAUAUGAAAAAAGAAAUAUUAUAAGAUUGAACAAUGGUGUCUUGCAUAAGGUGCAAUUAACUUUUGCAUCUCAAAUCUUUUUACAAAAACUCAUUUAAUUUCUCCAUAAACUCCUACAAAAAUUGUGAGAACUUUUUUCCUAAGUGAAAAAACCAUUAACUUAUUUUAACUGAGAAGUUCUAACAGUCACAAGAUAGAAGGUAACUGAAACUCGAACAAAUUACCUUAACCAAGGUAGGUCGAACGGCAGAUGAACAUAGCAAAGAUUCCUUCUGAAAUCUGUCUUCAAAACCUGCAGCAAGAAGCAAUAUUAGCAUGUUAAAAUGCAGAAAUAAAACAAUAGCAUACUCAUAAAGAGGUCAGAUUGCUUCGAGAUGACCUUCAUCUUAUCAUGAACAUACUGAAUCAGUUGAUGAAUCAGACAGUAGAAAUUUACUUGCUAGCGAUAAAAAAACCUAAAUUCCAUAUGAAACUAAAUGUAAAUAAAUCACUGACGGCAAAAUAGUAAAUUCUGUCUAUCUUAUGAAUAGCAUCACUUAGCAAGCAGGACAUCUCGGUUUUACAAAUAAAAGAAGACACAAUCAAUUUGCUUCAAAGUCCAAACAUCACCAUACAGAUCACGACAACAUUCCACCUUCAAAUACAGAUUAACUUUGUAUUUAAAUAGUCAACAAAAAAACUGAAAUGUUACAUUUUGAUAGGCUAAAACCAAAUGUAACCUUAUCAUGGCUCAAUAUUCAGCCAUAUCACAUUGCAAUUUAAAAAAGCACAUGACCACAUAUACAGCAGAAAAUUGUGAUUCCAUUUUGUAAAAAUUUAAAUGCAGCAAUAAAAUAUAUGUUAUUUAUUAUUUAAAUACAAGAAAGAAGGAAAAAUAAUAUUUUACCAGUCAUGGAAGAAGUGCCGCCACAAACUACAGUAUUUUCCAGAAGUUGCCGAUGAUUAUCAGAUGUCACGGUUGAAAUAGUACGGACAAGCUGCUCUACAAUCCCAUGAGUCUCUAACCCCAAUAGACUUGGCUGGAAUAAAGCUUCACCAACUGUAUAUCUUUCUCUUCCAAUUGUUAUCACCUGCCCAAGAAAGUUAGUCAAAGGUCUAUCACCAUCCAGAUCAUCUCUAUGAUCAUAAUGUUCAACAUACAUGAAACCAAUAACCUACGGAAAUUAAUAAAACAAAGAAAAUCACAUGUAUCAGGUCAGAUUAACCACAUUCUUCCACUGGAAUGGAUAUAGGGACAAAUCUACUAGAGCCCGUCAAACUUUAUGAGAACUAAAAUAUAACUAUGCAUGGGGCAUCCAUAUUAAAUUACUUCCAUAUAAAGAAGAAAUAGAUAUAGACCAUAAGUAAUCUUCAAUUUAAUUUCCUAAAUGAUAAUCUCUCCAACACAUCUAGACGUAAAAUAAGAAAAAAUGUUGAGAUUUGAAACUUCCAAUUUGAGAUAGUUUCAUAUUUCACAAUUCAAAUAUCUAAAAUAGAAUCUUAAAUAACCUCAAUCAAAUCAAUCAGAUGUUUUCUGAUAAAAUUUUUGGAGAGAACUUGUAAAGGCCAUAGAAAAAAUCCAGCUCAGACACAUUCGAAUGAAAGAAAACAUCAUAUCACCAGCCAAAAACAUAAUGUUUCACGUUGAUAAUGAAUAAAACAGAAUGUUUCCAUGGCAACAAACGUCGGCCAACUCCUCUCUUCUGCUCAAGCUUUGUUUAAAUCAAGAACAACAAUAAAAAAUAAAAUAAACCCUGCUAUCGCCUAAUUGAUUCAACUUAUCCCGUCUUUCAUUUUUAUUUGCCUCCCUCUUCAGUAACCAAUUUUAAUUCACGAUUAUCAGAUUCGAGGAGCACAAACUUUAUUGAAGAACUGAUCAAACAUAAAGUCGGGAACAGGUAAAUAAGCAAUUACCAUAAUAAAUCAUAACCAAUAAAAGAUGAAUCAAAAGGCAGACCUGUCCAUCAGGAAGGGUAUGUGUUUCCACAGGACAAGAGUCUUCUGUCUUUUGAUAAGCUAAGUCAUCUUCAGCACAACAUGAGUAUUGCUGUUUUAUUUUCUCGACAUCAGAUAUGCUGAUAUUCACUAGUGGAUUGGAUUUGCCAAGUUCUUGAGCCAGGAAAUUAGUUAGAUCAGUACCUCCAAACUCAAAUCUUCUUGAGGCAAUGUGGUUAACAGCACCCUCAAUUACUGGAGCAAUAUCUGGUUACAAAAUUCAAAUAAGAUAAAGUUACACAGAACAACAAAUAAUAUCAAGAGAAAAGUCAAACUGAAAGUAAAAUAUUGUUACUAGGCCGCCUAUUAGACAUGUACAUUUCAGACGCAGGCCCAAAUUAAAUUAGGCCCAAUUGUAAUUAUUAGUAUGUAUUGUGUAUAAAUAGAAUAAGGAUGUCUCAUAAUAGACAGUCUGUUGUCAUUUGGUGUGGCUUGGGAGAGACUAGGCUCUCUGAUUCCUAGAGGAGUGGUUAUUUUAGACAGUUUCUGUAUUUGUGUGUCAGCUUCUGUAUUAUAUAGCAGUUGUAACUUGUGUAACUGCCCUGUUGGAUGUUAUAGCAGGCUAACAAUAAAGUAUGCAGAAUUCAUAUACCCUCUUAUUCCCAUUUAUCUCUUGUAUAUUCUGCAUCUAACAAAUACUUAGUCAUCUAUCCAUGAAACAAAAAAUAUGUAUUAACCUUCGUUCGAUUGUCUAUCAUGAAUGACGAUAUUAAACAAGCAUAUCAGAACCGUUUGUGUUCCAAGUUACCACCAUGUGGAAAUUUUAAAUCAUAGCAAUGGCACUUUCUAAACUUGAAUGGUUUAAACGACUACUUCAAAAACUGAAGUUUGCAAAAUAACCUCUCUGAUAUUCAUUUGUGACAAUCAAACAACCUUUAAACUAUUUCCAACUUGAAUACAAGAGCUAACCAACCAUAUAGCGAGUGAAUGCCGUUUAAUCCUAGAAAAUGUCAUAUACAAGGAAAUUAUUAUUUACUACCUGGUGAAUUUUGGGGAUGUAACGUUGUCUUGGUGGCUGGGGUGGGAGCAUGUUACGAUGUAGAAUGAUAAGGAGGUUGAGGGUUCUAUCCCCAUGCACAACAUUAACACUAACAUUUUCCAUUUCAAAAAUAUCAAUUGUUAACCAUUUUCCUGUGUUUCUUUGAGGUCCAAGUUAAUUACAUAUAUAACAACUUAACAAGCUCCAUGCAUACAUUUACGCACCAGCUUUAAGGGAUGUGUUGAUACUUCUUGAAUUGUUUGAUAUUUGUGUCAUUGCAUUAAAAUGUGAAACAGAAUAUGCACUUGCUGAAGGCAGAUAUACCGAUCUAAAAUUGAGGAAUUUUAAAUUAUAUGUAAUCUACAAAUAUAGAUCCAUGGGGCUGAGAGGACUUCUUUAAGAAAUCCAUUUAAUUCAACUACAUUAACUUAUACCGACGCCAGGUGUCCAACUCUUAUCACAUAGUUAUGAAGAUAAUGAAGUAGCCAGGAAACAAUCUACGUGGUAAAAGAAUAUGCAAUUGCAAACAUGGGAUAAUUUAUGGACUUUGACAUAUAGAAAGCACAUCAAACACCGCUUAAAUACUUAUUCGUAAAUUCUAACAAAUCUUGAAAUCCCUAUUGCUUCAAAUAUAGAUACCUAUUUUUCCAUGACCAAUGUCAACUGUGCAUCCAGAGAUCCUACCCACGGCAUAGAGUGAUAAAACUGCCUGUUCCGAGGCAUAAAACCCUGAUAUGUUGAACGUUUCAAACAUAAGUUGCACUAACUGUUCUUUGUUAGCCUGGAAAGCAAUAAUAUAAAUACAUCUGUUAAAAAAAUCAGUAAAGCAUAUACGUAAAGUAUAAACAAAUAAUACAUUUUAAAAGAAAACUAUUGCCACCCCCGAUUUAAUUUUCAAGGAAAGAAUGCACAAACAACCCAGCGCCUAGUAGGAUAAACCAUAAACAGUAGACAUAAACAUUCCUAAGAAGAAAACAUACACAAAAAUGAUAUCAAAAUUAUCUAGGAUCAUCAUAAUAAAGUAUGGUAACCAAGGAGGCAAAUGGUAUAAUACACAAGCCAACACACACAAACACACACACACAAUACAUGAUGCAUUAAAACCCUGAUUGGGUAAAAGGUGUAAAUAAGUACUCAUUUCAAUAAAGUUGGUUAGCUUUAGUCAUAAAUGAUUGUUAAAAAAACAUAAAAAUUCUAUACACUGACUAUAUAACAGAUUUUACUUGGAUAUUGGGCCAUAUUUCAUUAUUUAUAGACAGAUAUUAAAAAGUAAUAUUAUUGUGUUUGCAAGAUAUUAAAACAUGAUUAGAAGCAUGCGUUUAACGUUUGGGUGUAUCUAAACAGUAACAAGUGACUUACAUUUUCACAACCUUAAAUUUGUAGUAUAUGACAUUAAAACCCUAAAUAAUUUCAUCAAAGCAGAAACAAAACAUGUGUAUCCCCAGUGUUGUCCAUUGCAGAUAUCGGAAAAUAGAGGACUGUUAAAAUUCUGCUACACAGUAGUGCUAUAGCGCCACUAUAGUGUAUCAGGGGUGUGCAAAAAAACUGGUUCAUGAGAACUAUAUCCACAAAUCCAGUGAACCAUUUAAAAAAAAAAAAAAACAUUUUCUCUUUGAUCAAAACUGACCCGAUCCAUUUCAUUGGAAAAAGUAGUAAACCGUAUCCAUUUAAAAAAACCAUAUUGAGUCUCAAACUAACAUAGUACAUAUUGCAUCUCAAGCAAAAAAGUGAUCGUAUCACUUUCUCUACUGUAACAGAAAAAUAAUUAUAGGUGAGAUUGAAGAAACAAAAAUGUCGCUCACCAAUUGUAGAGAGAGGAGAGAUUGAAAGAAAAAAGCUGUACUUUCACGAACUCUGCAACAAUGGCGACAGAGUGAGAAACAGAGACGGCAACUGGAAACCGUAACAAGCAGUGGAGACAACAACCGCAAUAACGGAUAUGACCGCGACGAUACCCGUUGGGUGAAAAACAAUAAUCAGUGGCUAUAGUUCUGAACUCAGCUCAGCAGCCCCAUCAAUUUCUAGUGGAAUCGAUAAAAGCAACUUAUGAAUUCACCUUUUAUUUGCUCUAGGAUUGCAAACUUCAUCCACUUCUAUUUUUUUAUUUUAAUUUUAAUAUCAUCUAAUUAGUGUAUUAUGUUUAUUAUCCUGAUUCUCAGUUUGAAAUGAUAUUUUUAUUGGCAACUCUAAAAAAACUACACUCCUGGUUUCAAUGUCAAUUCAAUAACAAUGUGUAUCGCCACUAUAGCUACUAUUUAACAACAAUGUGUAGAGCACCAACCCUCCAAUUUGAAGGAAUUUACAGUGUCAGGAACAUAUCCUUGCCAGACACUAACAAUACACUGACGUCUGACAUAUGUGGUACUUUCAAUCACUUUAGUUUUAUCAAAUUAUUAUCGGUGUCUAUGGGCCAGCCUCCUGGUUUCAAAUUAUUAUCAAAUUAUUAUCGUCUGUGCUUCAUCGAACAAAACAGGUUGCAAAAUCACAAUGCAGUACACAUUCAAUCAAGCUGAACAUAAGAUAAUAAAAAACAACCCUUUCAAAAACACUAAAUUAAAAAUUAAUCAAAAACAAACAUAACUACUAAAAUCAAAUACCUUUGGGGUACAAAGUGGAUCUGUAAACAAUAUUUGUCCCUCAUUACCAAUUUCCCAUCCAAGUCCACUGUACAAAACAUAAUUCAACAAAUCCUCCAUAGCAUCCCAAUCUCUAACAUAACCUCUUACCACUGGCUCAACCGCGACAUCAUCCACCACCAACUGACCAUUACCAUUAUCAUUUGUUUCAUCAACCAUUCGUUUCAUCUGACUAGGAAUUAUCUGAACCCACAAAUACAAAAACAUCAAAAACAAUCACAAUUAGAGAUACACAUUGCUGAUUUCGAGAAAGGAGAAUUGAAAGGGGGGUAUUGUUACCAUGGCAGGAGUUUGAUCGGGAAUAGCAAAUCCGGCUUUGAGGAGACUGGAACCGGCAUCAAUUACUGCAGCUUCCAUGGCUGUGAACAGAGGCGGAUCUAGACAUUUAGUCUAUGUGUGGCUAAAAUUUCAAAGAACUAACAUUCCAAAAUUCCAAUUUCAAUUCUAACUAAUUAACAUUCCAAUUCAGUAACUAAAAACUAACAUUCCAAAAUUCCAAUUUCAAUUAUAACUAACAAAAAAAUGUAGAUAACAAAAUUCUAAUUCCAAUCUAAAUAAAUACAACCUAUUCAUGACAAACAAAAUUUCAAUUCCCAAUUCCCAAAAAUUUGUUAAUCCUAUAAAAUAAAAUAGUGAGUUUGGAAGCAGAAUUGUACAAAGAAAGCAUAAUUAAUUCAUCUAAUCGACAUUCGCAUACAAAGCACAAGUAAAUGUUCAAAUUUGGGUUAUUUAUCAGAAUUAAUAUGACAGAUGAGAGAUUUACAAAGCAAUUUUCAAUUCCAAAUUUGAAAACCCUAAACCUAAAACAAGCAAUUGGAGAAUGAAUUGGGUUACCUUAGAGUGAGUGAGACUGUGAGAACUAAGAGAGAGUGAGCAGGGGCGAGAGAGAGAGAGAGAGAGAGAGAGCGGUAUGUGUGGUUAGGGAGAGAGUGAGAGAGAGACUCGCAAGGGACGAGAGAGAAGAAGAGUUGUUCUGAUUCUUCACAUAUAGUGUUUUAGGGGGGUGGAGUGUGUAAUAGUGGGGGUGUAGUAAGGAGCCGGUUGAUGCAACUAGACGAAAUGAAGAAGAAGAUUGAAGUUAAACAAUUUAUUUAGCGGGACUCAAUUUGAACUCUGUUGUAUUCGUGGUUGGCUUUUGUUGUUUUCAAAGCUGGAAUGGAUGUCAAUUUUGCUCCAUUAUUUUUAUUUUUAUUUUCAUAUAAGAAAGUUUAAAUGAGCUUGACUCAAUCGACUGUAAACGUUCAUCAAAUAUAAAUAAAUAGGAAAAUGCUGUUUUCCACGAAGCAUUGUUCCACGAAAGCCAAGAAUAAGAUUAGCUUGAUCAUAAUUGCUACCAAAUCCUAAAUUAUAUUAUUUUAAAAUUAAAAAAAAAAAAAAAAAAAAAACUUUUGUAACUGUUUCAUUGUGCCUUAUCGUGGCUUUCGUAUUUUCAGAUUUCGUGGGAUAUAGCAAUGCUGAAAUAAAUAUACUAUUUUUUUUUUCACCAAAUGUAAACAAAUAUACUAUUAUUUAUUUGCUAAAGACUAAUGAGGUCAUAUGAUAAUAGGAAUUGAACUCAUGAUUUUGUAGAUGAGUUCACUACUUAUAAAUUGAGACAACUUUUAUUAGUUUCAUUUGCAUUUUUCGAAUUGUUUUUUAUUCAUUAAUUUAUUUAUUUUUCCAUACUUACUUUCUUUUCUUUUUUUAAAUAAUCAUAAUUGAGUUGCGUUAAACACAUGUACUUACUGAGAUUUAAACAGGGGCGGAUUCACCACCCAGCUAGCCCGGGCUCAACCGAUAUUCAGGGUGGAUCUCUUUGGAGACCCAUGGGAGUCAUACCAUCCUCCAAGGUUUCUAUAUAUAUCAUAUUAGACAUAAAUAAUCAAUAAGUUUGCUUGGUUGCAGUGAAAUGGUGAGCGUACUUUCAAUGGUCUCUGGUUUGAGUCCCAUCGCCUCUUCUUUUUAGUAUUUCUCCUAUAUGUUUAAUAUUAAUAUUUUCUCCAAAAAUGUGUCCUGGUAGGGACUUGAAACCCACUCCCCCACACUAAAAUCAAAAGAAACAAACCACUUUAUCUACUUACCGCUUCUUGUUACAUAUUGAAACUGUUCGAUAUAUAUUACAAACAAUUUUGGCACCCCGGUUAUUUCCGUAGGUAAAACUUAUCGCUCUUUUAUUUUUGUCCAGACUCUAUAAAUUUUCUGGCUCCGCCACUAGAUUCAAACAUUGGUUCGCCACGUUGUGAGAAAUUAAUCUCUUUCGCAAGACUCAACUCCUAUUAGGUUCAUCAAUUAUAAUUUUUUAUAGUAUAUAAUAGGUUUAUUAUAUACUAUAAAAAAUUCCUAAAAAAAGGCUUAUGGAAUAUAUACAUAUAUUAGGUUUAAUUAUUCAUUUAGUCCGCUAAGAGAUUGCUUCAUUGUUACUCAAAUUUGGAUUGAGUAUACAUUGCUAUGAUUGGUAUACACAUUAAAAAAACUGCCUAAAAUAACACUUUGAUUCCUUAACUUUAAAACCGUUCAAUUUAGUCCUAAGUUGUGUAAGUUAAUGAAAUUUGAUCUCUUAAUUUGUGUAAGUUAAUGUAACUUGAUCUUUCAAUUGAUGUAUUAUAGUAUAUUUGUGUAUGUUAAUGGUCCAAGUUGCAUUAACUUGCAAAAGUAAGAAACUAAAUUGUAUUUUAAAGUUAAGAGAGCAAACUAAACUCUUAAAAUAAGUUAAAGGUCCAAAUUAAUCGAUUUUAAAGUUAAGAGUCAAACUGAACUUUAAAAAUAAGUUAGAGACUUAAAACAAAAAAAAUAUCGAUAUGAAAAAUCUUCGCCCAUGAUUUCAUCACUAAAUAUGAACCGCGUUGAUCGGGUAUAACAAAUUAACAAUAUACGAUUUUGAUUUUGAUAAACUUUUUUACAUAAAUGACUUAUAUGAACAGCAUAAUUGAAAUUAGAACAUUGAGCUUGAAAGCAAUCAACCUCUGAACUUGACAAUGAGGACACUGAAAAAGGAAACAAGCUCCUCAAACUUAGAAUCAUUGUUUCUAGAUGGAUUAAAAUUGUAAUGCAUAGUUCUUUCCAAUUAACAACACCAUAUACUGUCCCCGUGAGCAUAGCUCAAUUGGCAGGGACAUUGCAUAAUUUAUGCAGGGGCUGGGGUUCGAAUCCCGAACACUCCACUUCUCCAUAUUUAAAUGUGUGAGCUCCAGCCACUAGGCUACUAGACCAAAAAAAAAAAAAAACAACACCAUAUACUAACUAUAUACUAACUACUUCAUGAUUACAAGAUUGUCAUCAGUGACCAAAUCAAACCAAUGAUGGAUUAUAGAAUUCUUCAAUACCUAGUAUUCAUAGUUCUUUCAAAUCCUUAACACCAUAUACUACUUCAUGAUUACAAGAAUGUCAUCAGAGACCAAGACAAACCAAUGAAAUGAUGGAUUAGAAUUCUUCAAUACCUACACAAGAAGAAUGGAAAGGUUAAAUAUGAACAGGUAGUAACUCGCAAAUAUAACCGAUAAACGCUGCAAACAUGUGCUUAGUGAUAACCAACAAUGUAUACAAAGAUUAUAAAACUCAAACUUUUGGAUGCAAAGUUAUUGUAAGGGCAACAUGCCAACGCCUAGUCUAAGCAAUAAAACAUGACAAAUAGAAAAAAAAGAUUUAAAAAGAGUUUACCUAGUCUACAUUCUUUUAACUAAGCUCUAUUUUCAAUCCACCACUAUUAGCAUAAGUAUAACACCAUUGUACAUGACUAUCACAAGGACAAUCAAUAUUAAGAGCACUCAUCCAACUACAAAAAAUUGUUUCAUCUGCAAUUUAAAUUCAAUAGCAUAACUAAUUGGGAAUAUUUACCGACACUCGUAGGAAGAAAUUUGUUAGUAGGUCUUCAGUUACAAAUGUUGUGUUAGGUGCAUCUCAAUUUACAGGUCCCAAUUUAACUUAAUUGCAUGUUUUAAUUUAGAAUAAGGGUAGGAAUGUGAUGGGGAUUCCCUUGUUCUUAUGUUGAUUAGGUUGAAGAGAGAGGCUAGGCUCUCCAAUUGCCAGAGGUUGUGUUAGUUGCUAGCAGUUAUUGUAAGCAACUGUAAAGAAAUUUAUUCUCAGAGUGUUGUUGUUAUAAUAUAAAUUCAAUUCGUUAUACACUAUUAGUAAGUUCCAAAUCUACCAGAAAUUUGAAACAAUGAUAGUAGUAAGCAAUGUAGUGUCAUACAACGUAUAUCACAUGAUUAUUAUGCUAUGUUCGUCUAACAUUUUCAUAUACAGCUAGAAUUAUGCUUAUAAGUUCCUUCAUUAAACUUCACUUUUAUAAGCAUGUUCAUUUAACAGUAAAUUGAACUUAGAAUUCAGGAUUAUUACCGCAAUUCUAACUGUAUAUAUGGAAAAGUUAAAUUAAGGAGCUCACAAAAGAAAAUUGAAGUCCAGGUACCAAUUUUAACUUAUCCAAGGAGUUAAAAAAAUUGAGUCAAAAUGUAAUAUUAUUUCAAUAUUCAUAUUUCCAUGAGUAAUAGUUGCAAAGUUUAAACAAUCUAACUACAGAAACUAAGCACAAUAAUGCACUACCACCACUAUCACAUUAUAAACAUUUAAAUGCAAGAGAACAUACUCUGGAUGUGAAUGCAGCCUGACGAUCCACUCUGGAGGUGGCCAAAAUAACCUGAUGUAAUUGUGAUAACCAGACAACUUGGAGACCCGACCUUGAUCCAAGCGAAAAAUACGCAUUCCAGAUUGUAUUUUAUCAAGAUUGCUGAAGUCAGCAGAUAUAUUGUAGACCACAGAAUUCCCACUUCGAACCUGCAAAUCUGAAGCUUUAGCAGAGAACGAACAGUCUCCCCCCACAAAAAGAACAAUGUCUCCAAUAUUUGCCAACUUGACCCACUUCUUCUCGUUCUCAUCAAGCCUGAAUACAUCAAACCUUAUAUCCUUAUCAGCAUUAGAAGUAUCAAUUCCAUGGCAAUCCACAAGCAACAACUCACAUUCACUCUCCACCAAGUGUUUAACAUUGCCACCAAACACCGGAUUGGCCAGCAAGUGAACGGUGGAAUCCGGUCCAAUCAUCAAAGUGCGGCCAUCUUUGUCUGCCACGCAAGGCCUGCCUUUGAAUAGGCAGAUGUCUCCCCACAAGGACCUUGACAUGGUGGGGAUACUCGUCCAAGAAUUGUCCCCACAUCGGAAGAUCUUUGGUACCAGAGAGCUGUCGUAUGUGAGAAGAGCAAGAGGCUGUCCCACAUCACUUGUUGCAACAACGACCUUUCCAUAAUGGAGACGCGUAGUCUGAUCUGAGUCGGGGCCGUGAAUGUAGAACAUGUGUCCCAGAUGGAGAACAGGGAGUUGGUUGAAAUCGAUGAGAUCAUGUGCAAAACGUAAAGGAUAUUUUUGGUAAAGGUGGAACGGAUGCCAGAGGCAGGUUAUGCCGUCUAAAUCAGGACCAAUUCUAAUCAACCAAGGGCGAAGAGGAGUUUGUUGGUUUGGUGGUUUGAUGAGAAAAAUAUUUUGUUUGGAGAGGCAGCGAACGUAAUUGCUAGUAGGAGCGGGUCGGUUUGAUGUUGUGGGUGGUUUGAUUUCGUUAGGGAAUUGUGGAAUCUGUUUCAAGAAUGAAUGGUUGUUGCAACGGUAGUUUGGGACGGAAGAGCACCAAGUGGAACAGACGGAACGAAAGCGAAGAAGAUAGAGUUCACUGUUGUCGAGUUUUUGUGAUAUUAGUUGCAGAAGUUCUCUCGGAAGCUGAGACCAAUCUGCUUCCAUGGAUGCGAGUUCACUGAAACAGGAAUUUGGCGUCGCGCGCCCAGAACAGUGUUACCAUAUGAAAAUUUACUCACAUUAUCAUAUGACAAUUUAUUCACAUUAUCACCUCAAUUUUUCAAUAGCUACCAAUUCUCAUCAAAAUUAAGUUCAUGUUAUUGAAAAUGAACAAAAUAGUGAAAUCUUAUUUUUGAAGGAAAAUGAGAUUCUCUUUUAAAAAAAUUAUUUGUUUCUCCUAUAAAACAAAUUUGUUGCUUAUAAAAACAUGCCACAAUGAAAUUUAGCUACUUACAAGUCACAACUAUGAAGAUUCAAGCUUGUUCCUAGCAAUGCGUUCAGGAACGGCCACCGUAGCGAUUUCCACCGAAUCUGAACAUUAUACAAUCAUUAUAACUCUUGAGAAAACUUAUUCAAAGCUGAAAUAACAACAGAUAAAAGAAUUUGGUAAAACCCCCAAUUUUCUAGACUUAGGGUUUAAAAGGAACCUAUGAAAAUCUAACCUAGACUUCAUAUAUACUAGUUUUUACUACUCAUCAAAGCUAGAUAUCAUUAUAUGAAUCAAAAAAAUUUACCUCAAGAAACACCAAAGAUUAAUCCCUUCAUGAGUGGGUAUUUUCAAUUCAUCAUGAAUGUAGAAUAUAUGAUGAGAAUUUGAGGAAAUAAAAAUGAGAAGAAUGAAGAGGUGAGGUUGAAUGGAGGGCUGAGUAAUGGUGUGAAGGGAAUUUUGGAAAAGGUAAGAAAGGAUGGGAGAGAGAGUUUUGUGUUGUGUUCUUUUUUUAAUAAAAAAAACAAAAAAAAACAAAACAAUAUUCAUUCAAAUAGAUAAAGUACAUCACAUACGAACAUAGUCUCUCCUCGCUGAAUGAAGAAGAAAGAAAAUUUAGAGAGAAGUUGAAGUUUCUCUCACUAAAAACUAAGUAAGGUUAGGGUUUGUGUAAAUUUUAGUGAUGUGUUAUUUUUGGCAAGUGAAAAUGAAGGGUGGGUGUGGUCCGAAAUAUACACCUAGUGCCCCCUUCUUGUUUUUCUUUAGCCUCUCAAUAUAUAUAUAUAUAUAUAUAUAUGGAGUAAAUGGUCACUUUCGUCCAUGAUCCUGCACCUCGUUCCCACGUUUUUUCAUGCCGUGUAUUGAAUUUGAAGUUGUGGCUAUAGCCAAUGUAAAAGCCAUUAGCACUCGGCUUGGCAUUCUUUUAAGGAUACAUUUUCAUGAAAUUAGUUUACUCCACAUUGCAUUAGCAGAAACAUGUGUGAAGCACUAAAACUUGUUUACUCCCUCUGUUGUCAAUGCGGCGCGGCCAGCCAACCUAAUAAUUGGCGCGGUGCAGGAGCGGGGCGCGUAGCGGGCGCUAUUUUGGUGGUGCGACCACUAAUAAAUUUAAUACAGAUACCAUUUUAUUCAAAAAGAAAUAGCAAAAUACCUUAAUCAUUACUCAAAAUUUCAUGAAGUAUUCAUAAUAUGAAAUAAAAGGAAUAGCAAAAUCAAAAAUGGCUAAUACCAAUUAUAUACAACUAGUACAAGUUAUUGAUUUACUAUUUAUAGGUCCGCUUUGGCCGCUUUCCACUUUUGGCCAUGCAAUCCUUGAUAGAUAAGCCUUACACACAUUUGGCCAUGUGAAUAACAAAGACGAGGCUUAUAAUUUGUACCAAGCAUAUGCCUUAAGAACAUGUUUUAGCGUAUGAAAAAGGUCGUAGAGCAAUGUUUUGAAAUGAAACAGAAUGGUCGUAUUCUACUGCAAGUGUGCACAGGAUGCAAUAAUAUUGGAAAAAUAUCUUACUGCAUUAAGUUGUUCUGUUUUUAGCUAUUUAACAGCUUGGAACUGAUGUUACUGGGCUGGUGUCUCUUACAAAAUUUCUGACAGAGUUCAACAUUUAGAGGUGAACUCAUGAACUGAAUGGAGAUACAUGAACCAAAUGCCAAAACUUUUCUAAUUUGUUGACUGAAGUAAUUGAAGAAUGCCGCAGAAUUUUGUGCAUCAAGACAUUGAUGGAUCUAACAGGUUGCAAGUCAAGAGAUAGAUGGAACCUUGGACGCUAUUGUCAUAAGAGGUUCUAUCCGUUACCUCAUAGUAUCGUAUCUUGUGUAUAUCUGGUGUAUAAUUUAUAUUGUCUCCAUAAUAUCAAAUUACAAGUGAUUUAUGGGAAAGGGAUUCUUUGAUCCUUCAAGGAUGUCUUAUUGAGUGACUGCACAAUCGCGAUGUUGCUGAUACACGUGAGAUGAAUUCUUUGAGCCUCCAAGAAUGCAUUCAUUGAAAUUCUGCUUAUUGAAUGAGGUGACAGUGUUGAUGAAAACUCAUCUUCAACCUAGGAAGAUGAAAACUCAUCUUCAACCUAGGAGAAAACUAACCAUAUUAAGUUAUGGGGGCAAUAUUCAACAUAAAUAUACUAUAAAAAAUAUAAUAUUAUUCUUAAGAGUAUAUGUGUAUUUGUAUAGUAUAUAUAUAGAUCACAAUAUUCUCUACUAUUUUCUUAAAUUACGGAAAUAUAUGAAUGUUUUUGAAAAAUGUUGAAUAACCAUUAUUUCAUACAUUAUCAUAUCAUAUUAUAUUAAUUUUUGAAAUAAAAUAAGGGUUAAAUAAGUUUUUCAUCCUAAAAAAUACAACGAAUUUUAAUUUUUGUCCCUAAAAAAUAAAAAUGAAUGUUUUCAUCCUCACAAAAAAAAAAUUGUUUUCUUUUGGUCCUUAAUGUAACGCUCUAAUCGUUGUGUUAUUUAUUUUUGAUUUAUGUGGAGUCUAAUAUAUGAUUUUUUGGUGAUUUAUGUGGUGUGUUUAUUUUAUUAUAUAGUUUAUUUUAAUAAUAAUUAGAAUAAGUGAGAAAUAAUAAUUAUUUUGGUGUUUGGCGAAAUAAUAGAAGUUAUUAGAAUUAUGGGGAGUUAAGUGAUAAUUAAGGGGAGUUAAGUAAUGGGAAGUUAGGAAAAGAGAGUCAGAACUGUUUUACGUGAAACCAAGCUUUGGGAGAGAAAACCAGGAACAAGGGAGAAGAACCAAGAGAAUCCAUUUGAUGUGCAUUUUUCAUUCUGAAUUAAGGUAAGAGUGAGAUUUACUUCAGUAGUGUAGAUGUUAAUUUCUGAUUUUGAGUUUAACAGAGUUCUGGUGAGAAUUGGGGAUUUUGGGUUUUGUGAAGAAAUGAUGAAUUUGGAGUAGAAAUUGUUGUUUUGAUGUUAGGAAUAGGUUCUGGGUGUAUACAGCAAGUUAAUUCAUAUCUGUAAACUGAUUUGGGGAGUGAAUGGAAGGAAAAUUGGAUUUUUGGGAAAAAUCUGUAUUCUGGCCGUACUGAUGUUCAUCGCUCGCCUCGCGAGUGAGCAACAUCAUGUCUCGCCUCGCGAGCAGAACCACUCGCCAUGGCGAGUUAGUGAGUGAAAUUCUGGAUUUUCAAAUUGUUGUUAUAAGAUGUUUUGGGGAUAGUUUAAUGUACCUAAAUGAUUUUAAUGAUGACUGGAGCAAGUUUUAUGUUAAAAAGAUGAAUAGGGAGAUUAGAAUUAAGUUUGAGUGAGAAAAAUGUCAAAACUCCCGAGAGCACCUACUUUUCACUCGCCUCGAGUUCGCCUUGAACUCGCCAUGGCGAGUAACCUGUUUUGUGAACUCGCCAUAGCGAGCAGAUGGUGCUGAAUUACGUACAUGAAUGGUAGUGCUUGGUGUUGUUGUUUUGAGCAUAGUUAUAUUUAAUUAUGCAUUAUUCUAGAUUACUGGAUUACUGGUUGUUGAUGGCUGUGAAGUAUGAUUUAUUUAUUGAACCAUACAUGUUGUAUAAUUUGGAGUCAUAUGGAGAAUGUAUGCAUGGUCUAGUUGUAUGUAGAUAUACACGAGUGGGUCCAUUGCAUAUGCAUAAACAGCGGAGAGGACUCAUGUCCUGGAGCACUAGUUGUUCACAGCGGUGAGGGCUUCGGUCCUGAUGAAUGCUUUAACCAUUCAAAAGCGGUGAGGGCUUCGGUCCUGAUUGGUACCACAUGCAUAAUUGCAUAUUUGAGGAGUCUUAGUGGUGUCGUUAUGUCAUGCAUGAGUCUUUAUUGUUGGUUGUGGUUGUUAUAUUGAUGAUGAUGAUGAUGUUGUUUGAUGAGUAUACAUUUAUACACAUAUUAUGAUGGAUUGAUUUGAUGGUGAUACAGUUGUUGCUUGUGAAUUAUGUAAUUAUAAUUGCAAGAUGAUUUGAUGUUUUAGGGUGUUAGAUUCAAUUGAAGAUUUUAAUAUCUAUAUUUUAUUGUUGUGAAGCUCACCCCUUCUGCUUGAAAAUGUUGCCCUUCCUAUGGAUAACUUGCAGGUGAUCCGGAGUAGUCGGUGGUGGCUCAAGUGUCGUGUCUAGGGCUCUGAUACGUGGGAUGAGAAAUAUUCUUUUUAUUGUUUUCUUUCCUAUGUAUCUUAUUUUGGAACUGGAUGUUGUGGCCCUAAGAUGGAUGAAUUAUGUUGUUAAGGCUUUAUGCCAAGAUAUUGUUUUGGAGAAUUUAACCGUUGUUGUUGUUGCUAUUUAAAAUGCAAAUAUUCCGCUGCAUAAUUAUUGAAGUUAUGAAUUAUGUUUAAUUAAAUAGUUUCAUAUGCUAUUUAAGAAAUUUUGAAAUGUAGUGUAGCAUGCCCGUUUGUGAAUUACUGAUGAAUAUUUUAUAUUUAAUUACUUUUGGGUAACGGGGUGUUACAUUUGAUGGACAACUUAAGUAUAUAUGAAUGUCAAGAUUACGACUCUUUUAUAUUCAAAAUGUGUCAAUCUUAUGCCUAAUUAUUAUUUUUAACAUUUAUGUGUUCAUAAUAAGUUCAAAAAGAUGUCAAGAACAUGUCAAAAUUAUAUCCAUUUUGUGAGGAUGAAAACAUAUAAUUUUUAUUUUGUAGAGAUUAAAAUCAAAUUUUGAUUUAUUUAUGAGGGCGAAAAACUUAUUUAGCCGGUAAAAUCAAAUUGCAAUUAUAAAAAUAUUUUGAUACAGAGUAUGCAUUCUAAAUUUAAUUAUGAUUGUCAUCAAGUAAUUGUGAAAUGUGAGGGGAAAAUAUUAAAGAGGUGAGAUCUUUUUUAUGUAAACAAACCCAUUAAAGUUUCAACUACACAAUUGUUAAUUUUUUUUUAAAAGAACUACACAAUUGUUAUUAGUAUGUUAUAUAUAUAUGAUUGCAUUUCAAAUUGAGAAAUGGUAUUUAAACAACCACUUUUUAUCAAUUUUUGUGAUAACUUUCUCUCUCAUAUUCACAUUAUCAUUUUACUUUCUCUCUCUAUUGCUUUGAUUUUUGUGUCACUGCCUAACUUUCUUUGUAUAAUUUAGUUGUCUAAAAGGUUGUCACAAGAAAUGGUUGUUCAAAUAAGUAGUGCAGGCACGAGCCCUCACAGUGUUGUGAGUGGCUUCGCCCCUGAUCACAAGUGUCUUAUAUAUGGACAGUGAUAACCGAGAUGAGGAUACCUAAAUGUUUUCAUUAUUUAGCACAUAACAAAUUGCAAGCAUAAAAAAUCUAGGGUUAAAUAUGUUUUUGAUCCCUAUAACUAUGUUAACAUUUUGUUUUAAUCUUUCUAAAAAAUUUCUUCAACUUUUAGUCCGCCAAAAUUUUUCUAUCUUCAUUUUUUGUCCCUCUUUUAAAGUAAACUCAUAUGUAUAAUUCAUAUUUUUGAAUAAAAUUUUGCAGAAAAAUUUAUAAUAUUAUAAGAAUAUCUCCAAAAAAAAUAUAGAAUUUUUUAACAAAACAUAAAUUAAAUAUUAAUUUUUAUGUUUUUGGCAGUUAAAAAUUCAUAUUUAAUUUAUGUUUUGUUAAAAUAUUCUAUUUUUUUUUAGAGAUUUUUACAAUAUUCUACACAUUUUUGCUCAAGUUCAUUAAAAAAUACAAAAAUUAAACAGGGACCAAAAGUAGUGAUUGAAAAUUUUAUAAGGACUAAAAGUUAAAGGAAAAUUUUAGAGGGACUAAAACAAAAAGUUAAUAUAUUUAUAGGGACCAAAAACAUAUUUAACCCAAAAAUCUAUUACCUAUAAAGCUCAGCCACAAACAUCGAACACGACGUCAACAUUAAUAAUAAUUAGAGAAUAAUUGAGGAUUUUCGUCCAAAGAUUAUUCUCACAAGGGCACACCGUUAGAGUCUCACUCUUCCCAAUAUAAGCACUAUUAUUGUGUUAAUUUUUCAAUGCGAGACUUCAACUAUUUUUUCAAUUCACACACUAGUUCAAAAUCUAAAGACUUGUGUUUACUCUUCAAUUUCCUACUAAUUCCAUCUAAAGUUCCAACAAUCUCCCAUUUAAAUCCAAAAAAAUAGUGUUGUAGUAAUAACAUCAAACAUUUCUAUAAGAUUGUGCAUAAACAAAGCAGUCAUACGAUUUGUACCUUUGCAUAACAAGUAAGAUUCAGAUUCAACAAGAGUGACUUGUUGUCUUACAUAGAUCUCACACACAACCUUUUUCACAAAAUUAAUAAAAGGUUAUAUUGUUGGUGUCAUUGAAAUAAAUAAUCAUGAUUAGUUUAUUUAGUUAUAUCUUGAAAACAACAAAUAUUUAUAUUUUUAGUUUUAAUCAAAAUAAAAAAUUUAUAAAAAACACCGUUAAUAAUUUUAAAAAAUUAACGCAAUAAAAAAAACGGAAUUCAUUUAAAAAUAAAGACCAAUGGGACAAAAACAAUGGAAGAACGUUACAGUUACAGAAUCACCAAACGAAUAGCGCAAUUCCAUUUCCACCACCGUUGGUAUCUCCGUUUCGGAACAAUCCAUUUUCUUCCUCGAUCAUCACUCUCAGGUUCCUUCUCUCUUUCUUUCAAGUUCAAAUUCCCUUUUAGUCCUCGAAUCCUUUAAUCUCCGAUCAUAAAGCUCGAGUAGCUUAUUUAUCAAUUUCACAUUAAUUGAACAAAAGAGAAUGUUUGGUUUCACCUUUUGUAGAAGUUAAAAUUUAUUAUAUAGAUGUAGAAUUGAACUUCAAAUUUUUGGUUGCUCUUUAUUUGAAUCUAUAUGAACCACGGAUACUUGCACAUAUAUAGACACGGACACUAGACACGACAAGUGGUCAGGCAUAAUCUGAGGAGUGUCCGUGCUUCAUAUAUUACAAUUGAUUUUCCCUCUAUGAUUGAUCUAACUUUAAGCUAGAAAUUGUAGCUUCUGAUUAUAGAAUUAAUUCAUAAUUCAAUUCACUUUUAGACAAAAUCAAUUUAAUCAUAAUCGAAUUUUGUUACUGCAGAACUGAGUACACACAGAAAGAGAGAGCUGACAAGAUCGCCAUCGCCAUCCAUGGCAGAUUGGUCUCGCCUUCCAAACGAACUUCUUCAAUUAAUUUCUGAAAAACUCAAUUUCAGUGAAAUCUACAUUAUUCGCUUUCGUUCGGUUUGUUCUUCAUGGCGAUCUUCCAUUCCCAACUACCCUCACAACCAUUCACCCUUGAAGCUUCCGAUAUUCCCCUACUCUAAAGAAAUCUAUCGUCCAUCCCAAACUAUCCUCUAUAAACACAACAUCUUUCUCAUCAAACCACCCAUAACCCCUCACCAUCACCAACAACAAACUCAUACCUCCUGUUUGAUCAGAAUCGGUCCAAAUUUAAACGGUAAAACCCAACUCUGGCAUCCCCUCUCAAUUCACCAACCACCUUUCAAUUUCCCUUACCAUGUGCUUGACUUCAACCAACUCCCCGUGUUCGAUCUUGGAGAAGAGUUAUACAUCCACGACACUGACUUGCUUCAAAAUAAUCGGUAUAUCCAUUUGGAAAAGGUUGUUGUUGUUGCGACGUGUCAGGGAAGGCAAUCUCUUGCUUUCCGCACAGACAACUGCUCUGCUGGGGUGCCGUUUGGGGUGCCGAUGGUGCUCGGUUGUGGGGCCGAUGGUUGGACGAGGAUUCCCACCAUGUCAACAUCUUUGUUGGGAGACAUGUGCAUUUUUAAAGGGCGGCCUUGUGUGGCAGACAACAAUGGGCACACUGUGAUGAUUGGACCAGAUUCCAGCGUCCACUUGCUGGCCAACGCGGUGUUUGGUGGCUACAUUAAAUUCUUGGUGAAGAGUGAACAUGAGUUGUUGCUGGUGGAUUGCAAUGGAAUUGAUGCCGGUGACGAUGAUGUAAGUAUUGAUGUAUUCAGGCUUGAUGAGAAGGAGAAGAAGUGGGUCAAGUUGACCAAUUUAGGGGAUAGGGUUUUGUUUUUGGGGGAAGACUGUUCGUUCUCUGCAUCUGCUUCAGAGUUGUGUGUUGCAAAUGGGAAUUGUGUCAUCUAUAGUAGGGAUUAUGCUUCCCACGGGCUUUAUUCCAUGGAGUCCGGAAUGCUUGAUUCCAUGGAGUCUGGAAUGCGUAUUUUUCACUUGGAUCAAGGUCGGGUUUCACCUUUGUCUGGUUAUCCUGAUUACUUCAAGUUAUUCUGGUCACCUUCGGACUGGAUCGUUGGGCUGCAGAAAUAACAGAGUACACUCUCCUGCGUGAAAGGUUUAUAUUGUGAUAGUGAUACUGAGUUUUUAUGCUUUGUUAGAUUGGAUAAUUGUUAUUAGUAAACUUAUAGAAAUAGGAAUAUUUCAAAUGAUCUUACAUUUUGACUGAGUUCUUUCUAAUUAAUACAUUUGGAUAUGUUGAAAUUGGUAUUUGGACUUCUAUUUUCUUUUUAAGCUCCUUAAUUUAACUUUUUCAUAUACAGCUGUAAUUAUGAUAAUAAUUCUGACUUCUAAGUUCAAAUUACUGUUAAAUGAAGAAGCUUCUAAAAUAAAGUUAAAUGAAGGAACUUAUAGGCAUAAUUUUAGUUGUAUAUUAAAUAGUUAAUUGAACUUAGCAUAAUAAUCAUGUGAUAUAUUUUAUGACGUCGUAAGUUCCAUUACUGUUGCCAUUGGUUGAAGUUAGAAUGCUAAGAAAUACUAAUUUGCUUCCUGCUAUCACCGUUUAAAUUUUUUCUGAUUGAUUUGGAACUUUGCAGGUAAACGAGGGAGAGUGUCUAACGAACAUAACUUAUAUAUUUUAAUCAAUAACCUUCUGAGAAUAACAUUCUGCAGAGUUGCUUACAAGAACAGCAAGAAAUACAAUAACUGCCAGUAAAUAACACAACCUCUAGGAAUUGGAGAGCCUAGCCUCUCUCAACCAAAACAACAUAAAAACAAGUGAAUCUAACACAUUCCUCCCUUAUUCUCUUAAAAAAUACACAGUUAAAUUAAAUUAAAUUGGGCCCUGUGCCUAACAUGAACAUUUCAAAUAGGAGGCCUACUAAAAUUUUCCUUAGUACUCGUGUACUUAAGCUUUCGCAAUUAGUCAUGCUAUUGAAUUUAAAUACAGAUUAAACUGUGUUUUAAAAAUGGACAUUUGCUCUUGCUAUUGAUUUUCCUUGUGAUAUAUCUGUAGAAUGGUGUUAUAUACUACAGUGGUGGAUUGAAAAUAGAGCUUAGUUAAAAGUAUGUAGAGUAUGUAACCGUUUUUAUAACUGUUGCUUUUGCAUGUUAAUUGAAUUUGUUUUGAUAUUUCAACUAGCUUAUGCAGUUAGAGCAAAUCAAAAUAGUUUAAGAAAUUUUUCUCGGUCAAGUUCUGAAUCAAAUAGACGAGGCUUAUAACUUAUACCAAGCAUAUGCCCUAAGAAGUAAGGACAGGUUUUAGCGUAAGAAAAUAGCCAUGGUCACGGUCUGGUAAUGUUUUGAAGUGACAGAAUGGACGUGGUCUGCUGCUAGUGUGUGCAUGAUGCAUUAAUAUUGGAAAAAUAUCUUUACUGCAUUAAGUUGUUAUAUUUUUAUCUAUUUAAUAACUUUGAACUGAUCUUAAAAAAAAAAACUUUGAACUGAUAAUGCUUGGGCAGGAAUCUCUUGCAAAAUUUCUGACAGGGUUCAUCAUCAGAUGUGAACUCAUAAACUGGAUCGAGAUACAUGAACCAAAUGCCGGACUUGUAUAACAUUUUUACUAAAGUAAUUGAAGAAUGCUGCAGAAUUUUGAUUGGGGAAUGUUGCAGAUUGUGAUUUAACAGGGCAAGUCAAGAGAUAGAUGGAACUUUGGAUGCUAUUGUUAGAAGAGGUUCCAUCUGUUGCGGCAUAAGUAUUGUAUCUAGUGUAUGUCUUGUGCAUCUAGUGUGGAUAAAGUGUUAGUUUGUUUUAAUUCAAGUUUAGUUUUAGUGAUAAUCACAAUUAGUGAUUAAUCACAUUUUGUUUUUAGUUUGUUAUGAAGUUUGUUACAAGUUUGUUAGAGGUUAGCAAAUAAGAUCUAGAGUUUGUAACAUUGCUUGUGCUUCAAGAAACUUAGCUAGACAUUGUAUAUAAGCUGCCUCCUUUGUAUAUUUUCAUGAGAAUCAAUAAUAACAACUAUUUUCUUCAUUCUCUUAAUCUUUUUCUUCUCUCAUUCUCUCUAUAAUUCAUAAAUCUACAGACCCUAGAAACUACAAAAUUGCUUCUGGUUUCAUUGCUUGUUGAACAAGCUUUAGUGUUGCGCUAUCAAAUUGGCAUCAAGAGCCUUUGGUUUCGUUCUAAGGGGUUAUCAAGAUCUUCAAUCAUGCAAUUUGAAGGAAGAAACGUUGAAGGAAACACCAUGAAUGGUAGCAGCAGUUUCAACACACAUCUUUCAAUUCUUGAAGCACGCAAUUGGGAAAGAUGGAGUGCAGUGAUGAAGAAUCUAUUUGGAGCACAAGAUCUGUUGGAAAUUAUGCAGAAUGGUGUAGAUGAAUUAGCUAUGAAUGCCACUGAGGUGCAAAGGAACGCACACAAGGAAUUGAAGAAGAAAGAUUGCAAGGCUCUGUUCUUGAUUCAACAAAGUCUUGAUGAAGGAAACUUUGAAAGAAUCUCAAAAACAGUUAGAUCAAAGGAAGCAUGGGACAUUCUUUCAAAGUAUCAUGAAGGUGGUGAUAAAGUGAAGUUGAUUAAGCUUCAAUCACUGAGAAGGAAAUUUGAGCUGGUGCAAAUGGAAGAUGAUCAGAAGAUUUCUGAAUACAUCUCUAAACUCAUCAAUCUUGUGAAUCAGAUGAAGGCUUGUAGUGAAGCUAUCACUGAUCAACAUAUAGUUGAAAAGAUUAUGAGGACUCUAUCUUCAAGGUUUAAUUUCAUUGUGGUAGCAAUUCAAGAAUCAAAGGAUGUGAAGACAUUGAAGAUUGAGGAAUUGCAGAGUUCAUUGGAAGCACAUGAAUUGAUGGUAACUGAAAGAAGCAGUGAAAGAUCAAUUCAAAAAGCCCUACAAGUUCAAACUAUCAAGAAGGAUGAUAAUGAUAGGAAGAACUUCAAGAAAGGGAAAAAAACGACUACGGGAGGAAACUGGUCUAAAGGCAAGAACAAUGGAUUUGAAAAAGGUGAAUCUUCAAAGAAGGAAAAUUCUAAUCAAAGAAAGAAAAUUGAUAAGAAGAAGAUUCAGUGUUUCAAAUGUGAGAAAUUUGGACACUAUGCUUCAGAAUGUUAGCCUGGUAAAAGGAAAACAAUCAAAGAAUGAUGAAGAGGAAGCUAAAGUUGCAUAAGAUGAUUCAGAUGAUUCAUUAUUGAUGAUGGUUACAACAACCAGUACUGAGAGCUGCAAUUCAGAAAGUUGGUUCUUAGAUAUUGGUUGUUCUAAUCACAUGACAUGAAACAAGACAUGGUUAAGAGAAGUGGAUCCUGGAAGAUAUACAAUGGUGAAGCUUACAAAUCAUAGAGUCUUGGUUGCAGAAGAAAUGGGGAAUAUUGCUAUUGAAGGGAAGAAUGGGAAAGUGGCAAUAAUUGAAGAAGUUCUCUAUGUUCCUAGAAUGCAGUGCAACUUGCUGAGCGUAGGUCAAUUCAUUCAAAAAGGAUACUGAGUUACUAUGAAGGACAACACCUUUAAGUUGUUUGGUAAUCAUCAAAGGUUAGUAUUGAAAACUCCUCUUGCAAAGAAUAGAACUUUUCAGACCAAUAUGAAAGCUGUAGAGUUGAACUGUUUAUCUGCUAUGGUAAAAGAUGAAGAUAACUAGUUAUGGCACUAUAGAUUUGGUCAUCUCAAUUUUAGAGGUCUUAAUCAAUUGGUUGAUAAAGAAAUGAUUCUGGGAGUACCUAAAAUUGAGAUACCUAACAGAGUUUGUGAUACUUGCUUGUUGGGCAAGCAACCUAGAAGUGCAUUCAGUUCAAGUGCAACAAGUAGAUCAAAGGAGCUGCUUAAUGUUGUAUAUUCAGAUGUGUGUGGUCCUUUAGAGGUUCCUUCAUUAGGGGAAAACAAGUAUUUCAUCAGUUUUGUUGAUGAGUUUAGCAGAAAACUCUGGUUAUAUUUGAUUAAGGCCAAAAGUGAAGCAUUUGAUAUGUUCCAGAAGUUUAAAAUCUUAGUUGAAAAGCAAAGUUGUAAAUCCAUUAAGAUUUUAAGAACUGAUGGUGGUGGUGAGUAUACCUCAAAGGUGUUUGAGAAGUUUUGUGAAGACAAUGGCAUUGUGCAUGAAGUCACUGCUCCUUAUACAUCAACAUAAAGGGAAGCUUAAAGCGUCUGAAGAAAACUGCGUCUAAAGUUUGAAGUGCUUCUGAAGACAAAGUGCUUCUGAAGUGUUGACGUCAUCAGAAGCAAGUUCACCAGAAGCUGCAGAUCAUCAGAAGAUCAACCUAAAGCUUCAAAAGUUGUUUCAAGGAUUCAAGCUCGCCAGAAAAUUGCAGAAGACUUGGAAAGUUAACAACGACUAUUUUGAAAAGCAUUGGAUGCUUAUUCCUCAAGGAGCGUUGACAUAGUGCGUUUGUACGAAGUGUAUAACCACUAUCUGCACUACUCUGUUUUUGUCUCUGCUACAAGACAAGAAUAACAUCUCUGCCUGCAAACAAUGUUCAUACACAUUGGGAACACAUUUAAAAUUGAUCCUUCAUAGGACAAUAACCAUAUCAGGCAAAGGAUCAAUGGUGAAUUAUCAAAGCUUCAAACGACUCUUUUUUUUGGUAUGUGCUGGCAAAUUCAACGUCUCUCUCAGACCUCUAUAUAAGGGACUAAAGACACAGAGUUUCAUAAGAACAAUAUACGCAUCAGCUAAGCAAAAACUCUAUUGAAUUUGUUCUCCACUCCAAUCACUUAGAAUUUCUUAACAAAGCUUGCAUCUUAGGAAUUCUAGAGUCUUUAAGAGUCUGUAUCUGAUUUGUAUUGUGAACACCACAAAUUGUAUAUCAAGUGUUCAACUUCAAACAAUUUUCUUUGUAAUUUUGUUUGAAUUAAGAAGUCUCUUGCAGUUGUGCUUGAGCAAUAGAAGUCUCUUGAUUGUGUUCAGGAGCAUAGGAAGUCUCUUGCAGUUGUGCUUGAGCAAUUUGAAGUCUCUUACUAAGUUUAGUAGUGAGCAUUUGUAAUCAGAUAUUACAUAGUGAACUCCUCUUGGAAGUGCAAGAGGGACAGGACUGACUUCCGGCUUGUGGAAGGAACCUGUAUAAAUUGCUUGUGUCUCCCUUCUCUCUUUCUCUCUAUUUUUAUCCGCUGCAUUUAGUUCUGAACAUCUCUUCAGAAGUAGAAUUCUAUCUGCUUGUUUCAGAUAGGAGAAAGAUUAAGAAAAAGCAAACACAAUUCAACAACCCUUCUUGUGUUUUUCUCACCUUCAGGGACAUGCAGGAAUUCAGGAUACUCAAAGCUUUUAAAGUUAACAUUAAACCCCCCAGGGCUCCCAUCAUCAAAGAAGUAAUUUGGACACCUCCCUUGUCAUCUUGGAUUAAAGCCAACACUGAUGGUGCAGCUACAAAUUACCCUAAUAGAGCAGCUAUAGGAGGCAUCUUCAGAAACUUUGAUAGCAUAUGUACUGGUUGUUUCACUCAAUAUCUGGGGGAGCAUGAUGCUCUAUUUGCUGAACUAGUAGCUAUUAUGAUUGCCAUUGAGAUUGCUCACAUUAAUGGUUUCUUGAAUUUUUGGUUGGAAACAGACUCACAAUUGAUUAUUUUGGCUUUUAAAUCUAUUUCCUUGGUUCCUUGGGUUUUAAGAAAUAGGUGGCUCAAUUGCUUAGUUAGAAUCAGGCAGAUGAAAUUUGUGGUGUCUCAUAUCUAUAGGGAGGGCAAUGUUUGUGCGGACAACCUUGCUAAUAGUGGUCUUGCAUUGGCUUCACCUGACUUGUUUUGGUCUGAUAGUUUGUCUGACUUCAUUAGAGGAGAGUACAAUAGGAAUAGGUUGGGUAUGCCAAAAUUUAGAUUUACUACCUUUUGAAAAGAUUUUGGUAUAGUCCCCCUUUUCUUUUUUGUACUCUUUUUUUUUUGUUAAUCUAAUGGUUUGAUGCUUUUGCAUCAGUUUAAAAAAAAAUAAAAAUAUUGACACCUUCUCUCAUUGCCUCCAAAUUUUGUUCUUGUUUAUGCAUGAUAUUUGAUCGGGAGCAUGUCCGAAAGCGAUGUCGAGGAAAUAGUUUGCUUUAGUUAUUUGCUAGCGAUUAACAAAAAAUUGAAGAGUUCAUGGUAUUUUUAUGAACAAUUAUCUAUGAGUUUGUUUAUAUUUUUGUCAGGAACCAUAAGCAUUACUGCUUUAUUUAUUGAUUAUAUUUUGGUUAGAGAACCAUGAGCCUUCAGUGGCGGAUCUUCAUAGGAACCUGCAGAUGAUGUUUGUUUUUCUUGCGUAGGUUGCGGGUUCGACCCUUCCAUCCUCUUUCUUUUAUUUAUGUUAUUAUUUUUACUUAUUUUGUUCAAAAAAAAAGCUUCUAUGUGGAUUUGAACCCGCAUCCCGUACUUUGCAAUCAAGCAAAAUAAACCACUGGACCAGUUAACAAUUGUGAUAUUUCCUUCACAAAAUUUAAUAUAUAUUUCAUACAUUUCUCGCACCCCCCAUAAAAUAUUUCAAGAUUCGUCACUGAGCCUAUCCAUCAGAGAUAAUGCCUAUAUUAGUCUCGCAAAAAGGGGCAUGGUUUAAAAUAAAUUUAUGAAGAGCAACAAUAAUCACCUUAUAAAAUGGUUUUACAAGGAGUCAAAUAUAAGAAAGAAAAACAAAAUUAAAUAUGGUAUCAAAACCAAUCCAUCAGACAGCCCUUCAUUUUUAUCCACACAUUAAACUCAAUAGUAUUUAUAAAGAGUGAGUCCCUCACAUUAGAAGCAAAUUUUAUAAGAGGGUUAGGCCAGAUAAUAAAAAAAAACAUAAUACAUAAUUCUUAAUCUUCAUAAACUUGUUUUGGUGUGAACCAUUUCCUUUAUAAACAAAAUUUAAAGUGGAAGGAUGAUGUCUCAUCCAAUGCAUAGAAGCAUAGAAGAUCUCAUCGCUUAAAAAAAACUCAUAAAAAUAUUUACAUUUACUUUUACAAGAGAAGUGGCAGGCUCGAACCCAUAAACUUUAAGAAUCAAGACUUGUCUUUUUCACAUCAGACCAAACUUGUGAAGUUGACUUAAAGUAAUAUAUCGUAAAUAAUAUAUUGUAUAUGCUAGCUUCUAGUUGAUAUAAGUGCAUAAACUUUUCGUAUAUAAUUUCAAGUCAAACCUUUUAGAAAAAACCAAAUUAGUCCAUUAAAAUUGACAUGAUGAAGAAUUGAACUUGAGACCUAUACUCCAAGGUCUCAGACCAAUACCACCGGACUAUCUCAAAUGACAACUUAUUUUAUUGUAUUUAGGUUUGGUUUGAGAAUUGUCUAAUGUUCUGAGUUGUGUUCUGGAUUAUUGAGAUUGUAUUAAGAUUAAUUAGCAAUGUAAUAUCUCAAUUCAAUAGUAAAAUAUUAUCGUUGUCUUGAUUUUUUGUUAUCGCUAUCAUGUAGACCAACAAUUUUUUAAAUACGUCAAACACUUUUUUAAAUACAUCUUCGCUAAACUCUUGAUAAUUUUGAAAAACGUUAUUUACCUUUUCUCUAGCCCAAAUCCAUCUUUGCCAUAUAGACCAACAAAGAGAAAUCGGUUAUUUAUUAUUUUGAUUAAAAAAAUCAGUUUAAUAUAGACAUUUCUAAAUUAAAGAAAUCAUAAUACCUUUUUUUUAGUCAAGGAAACCAUAAUACCUUUAUUCUCUUCUUUUUUGAAAAAUACCUUUAUUUCAUAACUUUAUGUUAAAAGAAUCUAUAUACAAAAACAAAUCAGUGUAUUUAUUAUGAUUAAAAAAUCAACGGAUGUUAAAGAAAAGCAUUGAAAUUUUUAAAAAGUAAAAGGAAAACAUUUAAAAGAAUUUAUAAUAUAAAAAUAAAUUGACAAUUAAGAAAAUACUUUUGUCAAACAAAAUUAAUAAAACACUUAAAUUGAUAAGAUAUAUGUGGAAGUGAAAAUCAAAAUAUUUGAUAUUUUUUCUUAAGGGUUAAUUAAGUUUUUAAUCCCUAUAAAUAUUCACAAUUUUUUUUUAGUCCCUACAAAAUAAAAUCACACUAUUUAGUCACUGUGACAUUUUCCUUAACCAUUUUAGGGACUUAAAAUGUUGAUGGAAAAAUUUUACAGGGACUAAAAAUGCUGAUGGAAAAUUUUAUAGGAACUAAAAAUGUUGAUGAAAAAUUUUAUAGGGACUAAAAACAAAAUUCUAAAUAUUUAUAGGAUCCAUUUACUUAAUUAACCCUUUUCUUAAUUAAGUUUUCUCUUGAUAUUAUUCUAUAAAAGUAUAUUUUAAUUGCUUUCUUAAGAAUUAAGUUUUUUCUUGAUAUUAUUCUAUAAAAGUAUAUUUUAAUUUCUUUCUUAAGAAUUAAGUUUUCUCUUGAUAUUAUUCUAUAAAAGUAUAUUUUAAUUGAUUUCUUAAGAAGUUUUUUUACGGAUACUUCUCAAUUAAGGUUCUAUUUUAUUAAUUAUCAAUUAAGGUUAUAUUAAUCAAAAUAUAAGAAGAGAGUCAGUUUUCCCUGCCCUUACAAUUUCAUUGAGCGCUCUUCAAAUCAUAUACACUUUGCUUGAGUUCAUCUGUUUUUCUUUCUUACUAAUUUCUCGGAUCAACACAUCUCCCUGUGAUUGUGAACCUAUUACAAUUUCAAGCAGAGAUGGAAAAAUAUUUCACAGCGACAGGUGAAAAGGUUAGGAACUACAUACAUGAUGAACUUGCAUUUUCCAUUCUAUCAAAAUUACCUCUGAAAUCUUUAAAACGAUUUAGAUGUGUUCGUAAAUCAUGGACACUUUUAUUUGAAAACCAUCAUUUUAUGAGUACCUUCUGCAAAAAUUUAAUAUCUAAUCACCAUUAUUACUAUGGUGAUGUAUCUCUACUUUUACAAAUUGGUGAUAGAGAUUUGCUUUCACUUUCAAGUGAUAGAUAUGAGAAUAUGGUGAAAUUAGAUUGGCCAAAUCCUUUCAAGAGGAGGAUCCUUGGUUCUGUAUUUUAGAUUCUGGUAGUAUUACCGGAAUUCUUUGCCUCUACAACAGAAAUAAUAGAAAUAAUGAAAGAACUGUAUUUUGGAACCCAGCUACUAAAGAAUUCAAAGUUAUUCCUCCAAGCCCCCUCGAGGCUGUUCCAACUUAUCAAGGGUUUGGUACUGUUCUUCAUGGGUUUGGCUAUAACCAUGCUAGAGAUGAUUAUAAGUUGAUUAGAUAUUUAUAUUAUUUUUUACCAAGUUCCCGAGAUUUUGAAGAUUUGGGCAUAUCAUUACAAGACGUGCCGUGGGGAGAUAUAUCAAAUGAUUCCUUUUGGGAGAUAUAUAGUCUUAGAAGUAAUUCUUGGAAAAAACUUGAUAUCAAUAUGUACUUGGGUGAUAUACGUUGUUCUUUUUCUGGGUUUGAUUGUGUUAAAAGUCAGCGGUUGUACUUGGAUGGAAGAUGUCAUUGGUGGCAUUUAAUUGACCAUCCUGAUGCUAAAAGAGCAUUGGCGUCGUUUGACUUGGUCAAUGAGGUGUUCUUUACAACACUCAUACCCUUAGACCCGCCUUUAGAUGUAGAUGAUAUAUUUAGCGUUUUUUCAAGGCCCUUAUACUUGGUUGCGUUAAGUGGUUCCAUUGCAUUGAUCUUAUGGGAUUUCGGUACACCUACGUUUGACAUAUAUGUUUUAGGUGAAGUUGGUGUGAAAGAAUCAUGGACUAAGCUUUUUACCAUUGGCCCAUUGGCUUGCAUUCAGCGUCCUAUCGGAGUAGGAAGCAAGGGUGUAUUUUUUAUAAAAGAAGAUGGUGAAAUAGUUUGGUUUAAUUGGAAUAGCCAGAUGACUGAAGACCUUGGGAUUAAAGAAAAUACAUUAAAUUUUAGUCAUGUAUUACUUUAUAAAGAAAAUUUUCUUCUUAUGGGAGGAUAAAUCAUCGAUCUAAUAUCUAUUUUGUACCUAGGAGAUUUAUAACUAUGGAUAUUAAGAUUUUACAAUCUUUAUUUUUAUUUGUCAUGAUGGAACAACAUUCCCGAUGUUGAAAUAACUUACAUGUAUGGAACUUUAUAUUAUAAUCGGAACUACACACACAAACUUACACACAUGCGCAGGGGCGGAUCUAGUGUGGUCUGCACAACCUCAACUUUAAAUAAUUGCAUCAAUAUUUAUAAUAUCGUGAAUUCUGCACAUCAUAAUUAAGGGUCUCUUUUUUAUUUGCACAUUAGGCCCAAAGGACUUCCUCACAACCCAAGGCAGUACAACUUUUCACUACCUUUUCUCGCACACAUAUGCGACAUCACAUCACUAGUAUUAGUUUGUUUUUUUUUUUUUAACUAAGUCAAAAUGAAAUAUAUGAAAUCAACAUAAGUGAUUCAUCGCGCAAAAGAUGUGCAAAAGAGAACCGCCCAAAAUUUUGUACAAGUCAAGUCACUGAUGUCUCAUCAAAGAACAUUCUGAAAUAAAACAGAAGAAACAUACACAAAUUACAGCAAAAGUCCCAUAUAAGAUAAAGGAUGUCGCCACCAGUCAUGAUAGCUGAACGUGAAAGUAAUCAGACCCAACUUCGACCACUAGAUAGAUAGCAGUUUUACCUUGUCUGUUACUUGUUGUGGAUCUAGUGCCUUGUGAUUAAUAACCCGGUUGUUCCUUUCCUUCCAAAUGAUCCAGACACACGAAAGACAUAUCGUUGUAACGCCCUCUCUAAUUAUUUGAUUAUUUUAAAUGAGUUUAGAAUAUACUUAUAUGAUUUAUGUGAUUUAUAUGAUUUAUUUUGAUAAGUGAUAUUUUGUUAUGAUAUAUGUUAUAUAUUUAUUAAUAUAAUAUAUAUGUUAUUUGAUUUAGAAAUAUGUAUAUGUUUUAGAAAAAUAUAUGUUAAUUGGUUUAGAAAUAUAUGUUAAUUGGUUUAGAAAAUAUAUGUUAAUUGGUUUAGAAAAUAUAUGUUAUUUGGUUCAUAAAUAUAUAUGAUUCGUUUUAGAAAUAAAUGUGAUUUGUUAUAGAAAUAAACGUUAUUUAUUAUAAAAAUAUAUAUGAUUUGUUGCAGAAAUAAAUGUGAUUUGUUAUAGAAAUAAACGUUAAUUAUUAUAGAAAUAUGUAUGAUUCGUUUUAGAAAUAUAUGUCAUUUGUUAUAAAAAUAUAUAAAUGAUUUGUUGUGGAAAUAUAUAUAUAUAUAUAUAUAUAUAUAUGUUAUAGAGAUAUAUUUGUUAUUUAUUAUUGUUCUAGAAAUAUUUUAUAUAUAUAUAUAUAUAUAUAUAUAUAUAUAUAUAUAUAUAUAUAUAUUAGAAUAGAAUAUUGAAAUUUUGGUAGGCAAUCUAAUAUAUUUUUGUACUUAAUAUAAUAUAUUUUGGUACUCAAUUGAUAUAUUUAAUUACUAGAUCUAAUAGGUGCAUUACUUGUUUCCAAAGUUUCUCACUUAUUAGUUGUAAAUUAUCUCUAUAAAUAGAGAACUCACACAGUGCAUUCUACACACCGAAAUUCACAGUUGAUGCUUCCUGUGCUUUUCUUCUCUUCUCCCUCUUUUGACUUGGGUUGACGAGUCUUUCUUCUUUUUCUACUCCUUUCUGUCCCUUCGGAAUUAAAAGUGUUCUUAAGGCUAUAAUCCCUCUUAUGUUUAAUGUCCUUUUAAAGAAGAGAAAGCGGUAUAGUUCUUCGUCGAUCAAUCCAAGGUAAGGGUGAGACUAACUUUGCAAUUCUAUUAAGUACGUGAAUCAAUGGUUAGGUUUAACAUGAUGUAGGAUGAGUUUUUGAGGAAUUGAAAAGUAUGUUAAAAUUGUAGAAUUAAUGAAUAAACGGUGGAAACUUGUUAAAAAGAUGUAGAAACUGUCCUUAGACCUUAGAUAAUGAUUAAAAUGAUUUGUUGAUAUUUAUAAUGUUAUAUAAUUAGAUAUAUAUUGCAUGAAUUAUGAUUGAUGAAUUAGUAUAUGUAUGUAUAUGUUUGUGAAUACGAUAUUGUCCAUGAUUGAUGAAGUUUUAUAUGUAUAUAUGAUGUUUUAAGAUGUUGAUUAUUAUUUGAUGUUGUUAUAUUGUGAUAUAAUUGUAUAUGCAUUACUUGAAUUAUAUGUGAAUAAUUGAGACGUUGUUGACUUGUAUUUGAUAUUAUUAUGUCAUGCUGUUUUUGUAUACUGCUGUGUUGCUGUUGUUAUUUAACUAAGCUGCAUGAGUCGGUCUAAGUUGAUUAAGAUGAUGAAGUUCCAAAUUAUUGGAUUAUACAAGAGUUUGUCGAUUUAAGAUGUUAAGAGGUCGAGUCCAUGCAUUAACAUUUCAUUGUUGGGGGCUUGAUGCCCUGGAGCCUUUGCUCAAUUAAGUUGAGGGCUUGAUGCCCUGGGAGCCUUUUUACGCUCAAUAAAGUUGAGGGCUUGAUGCCCUGGGAGCCUAUUUACGCUCAAAGAUUGGUACCACAUGCAUGAUUAGAAGAUUAAGUUGCAUAGUCAAGAGGUUAAGUUGUCAAGUUGUCAAGUUAUCAAGUUGUCGAGUUGUUAAGUUGUUAAAUCAUGAAAUUGUUUAAAGCUGUGAUUCUUUAUAUGAACUAUUAAAGAAGUGAAUUAUGAUAUAUUAUUAUCUAUGAUGAAUAUUAUGAUGAUUACAUGAUGUUGUCUAUGAGUUGUUAAAUAUGAUUGAUGAUGUUUAUGUUGUUAAAUGUAAUUGAUGAAUUAUAUGCUUAAUAUUAUUGUUUGUGAAAUCUCACCCCUUCUGUUUGCCCACCAUGGGUAACUAACAGGUAACCAAGAAUAGUUGAUGUCGUGUGAGCUUUCCUUCUCGUGUGUCUUAGGUGCUCUGAUACGUAACGGGAUGGGAUCUUUUGUUAUUGCUUUUCUAUUCCUUACGUAUUGUUUUUGAAGAUUUACGACUAUGUUUUUAGAUUGGAUUUUUAUGAGAUAUUUAUGAAGAGGCCUUCGUGCCAAAGACUGUUUUGAUUAUUGAAUAAAUUCCGCUGCGAAGUAUUAAAGAUUUUGUUAUUGAAUUUUAAAUAGUUAUUUAUUCAGUUUAUGAUUUUAAGAAAAGAAGUGUGACAUUCCGUUUUUGUUUAACUACUCUGAUUAAAUAAAUGAAAUUUUCACGUUGGGAAAACGGGGUGUUACAAAUUUCAGGAACAAAUAUGUAAAUCGCGGUGACCCUGGUAGAUGACCAAACUGAAGAAGAUGUUCACUAACCGCAGCUGCAGCAACGAAGGUAAUGCCUAACCACCGCAAAACAUAAGAUCACACGCUGCCAAAGGUAGGACAACCUAAAAAUAAAUGACAUGCAGUCUCCUCAUUACCGCACCAUCCAACACAUCUGUUGUCAUCAUGUUGAAGCACACGGCGCCACAUAAGAUUAUCUUUCGUUGGAAGUCGGUUGCGUUGAAGUUGCCAAGCAAAUAAUGAAACUUUUAGCGGAACAUGUUUAUGCCAAACAUUGUCGAACAAGCCCCUUGCAAGAGAUCCAUCAAUCGUUGAGAGAAAAUCAUAAGUCCCCUUCACAGAGUAACCAUUAAAGGGAUCGAGCAGCUACUUCCACCUGUCAAGUAUAUGUUCCUGCAAAACAAUAUCAUGCAGGAAAAAAAAAACACUCCCUAACACACUCCUCCUCCCAGGAAAAAGGCGCCUCCUUCAUACCUAGGCACCGUCCCCAUCUUUAUAUCCUCUCCUCGCCAUUUCCUCCACUAUUCCCCAUCUAUCUUUGGCCAAAUCAAAAAGGCGAGGAAAUCUAACCCCAAAGGGAACACCUCCCACCCAGUUGUCAAUCGAAAAAUAAGUAUACCUCCUCCACCAACCACUCGACGGACAUUAUCAUCAAACCAACUCCCGUACCACAAAGAGCAAUCAUUCCCCCUCCUUCAAACGACCUCCUUCAUCCCCGUACCUAGCCUUCAAGACUCGAUACCAAAAUCCCUUCUUGUCUACCAGCAUCCUCCAACUCCACUUCCAUAAUAAUAAAAAAAUUAAAUUUAUGUCACUUCGUCACACCUAGCCCUUCAUCUCCUAUGGUAAAAAACCGAGUCCCAAUUGACCCAAGCAAUUUUCCUAAUAUCCUCGCCCCCCCGACCGCCACAAAUAAAAGACAUCUUUUAAAAAUAGAUGUAAUAUAAGAAAUUAUACAUGUGGAUGCCUUGAAGAUGGAAAAAAAGUAAAUCAGAAGAGAAGACAAACGAUAUAAAAUAUGAUCAAUUCCAAAUAUCUCCACCAAUAGGAAAUCCCAAAUACAUAAAAGGAAUCGUACCCGUCCGACAGUUCGUUACCAAAGCAGCUUCAGUCAAUCACGAGUCGGACACAUUCACAUCCGUAAGUAUACUUUUGUGAAAAUUAACCUUCAGCCCUGAUACUGCCUCAAAUGAAAGUAAAACAGCCCUUAUAGACCGCACAUUCAACCAACUCUUCUCACCAAUAAUCAAGGUGUCAUCCGCGAACUGCAAAUGGGUUAACUGCACCUCAUUCUGUCGGCCAACAUGAUAUCCACAAAAGAGAUCGACGCCUACCAGUGAUUUCAUCAAUACAUUAAACUGCUCGGCCGCUAGCAGGAAUAAAAAAGGAGAGAGAGGGUCCCCUUGACGAAGCCCCCUCUCCAAAGGAAAUUCCUCCGUGGGGCUGCCAUUCACCAAGACGGGUGCCACCGCAGUUCCAACACAUUCACAAAUCCAUUUCCUCCAAAGGGUCAGAAAUUAAUUUUUACCAUUACCGCAUCAUGUUAUUGUAAGUCCACCGAGUCAUAUGACUUUUCGAAGUCAACUUUAAAUUUGGACCAAUUCUGAUCAACCAAGGGCGAAGUCGCGGGAAUUGGUUUGGUGGUUUGAUGAGAAAGAUGUUUUUUUUGGAGAGGCAGCAAUCGAAGUCGCGAGAAUUGGGAAACAUUGGAAGAGAAUAGUUGCGAGGGUGGUUAGCGAUUGAAUAAGAUCGAUGCCAAGUGGAACAUACGGAACGCAAGCGAAUGAGGUAGAUCUCAGUGUUGUUCAGUUUGUGGGAUAUGAGUUGCAGAAUUUCACUCGGAAGUUGUGACCAAUCCGCCUCCACUGUGGAUUCUUUUAUUCGCUGUAAAUUUGAAUCCGGCGAAAUGUUAUUCUUCCGUCGCAGAUUUGCAGGAACCAUGGUAGAGGAGUUUAAUAGAGUUUUACAACUCUAAAAACUAAAAAGUUUCAGCUAACCAAAUAUAUGGUCUAUGUGACCAUUUUCACUAGUUUCUCAGAAUUUAUUUGGUUAACUAAGUGGAAAAAUAGUGGUCAAGUGUAUUUAGUUGCGUGACCACAGUUUUCAGCUUCUAAGUAGUGGUCACGCAACCGAAAAAAUAUGGUCAACCAUAUAUUUGGUUAACUGAAAUUUUUCAGAGUGGUACAAAGGGGUGUACAUAUUAAGGGUUUCUACCAAUCUUUAUUCUUAUUUUUGGGCAAUGCUAUUAGUAUACAACAACAUUGCACAUGUUAAAACAACUAAAACUAGUAAGUUUUUAUUGAAAAACAACAAUUAUUAAUUAAAAAUUUAUGUAUUAAUUACAAAAUAUACAAGUUCCAAUGCGAAUGUAUUAUUUUGAACUUCUUAACAUAUGCAAAUUUGCACAUGUUAGAAAGAAGAAAAAAAAAACAUUGUUCACUCUUACAUGUGAAUAAGGUAGAGCAUCGGACGGGUUCGGUCGAUUUCAGGUCAAAAUUUCAAAACCGAAGAUGAGUAUAUGAAAACCAUUCCCGACCGUGUAUGGAAUCGGUUUGAUUGGGUGUAUAACAACCUAAACCCCAUAUAUUAUUUUAUAAUUAAAAUACGAUAAUUAAUUAAGCAUGCAAGGAUGUCUCCCAUCUCCAUCAAUUUAAAAGUACUUCAUUCAAAUUUAAAAACGUCGCAGUAAAAUAGUUUUCAAAACAUCAAAGUACACAUCGCAUCAUAGUUUUCAACAUCAAAACUAAAGUUAAAAUGAAUUUUAGAUUAAAUGCAUAAAUUUGUGUGACACUGGAAUGAUUUUAACUGGUCGUUGAAACCAAUUUUAUCACUCAAAUGGAAUCUCCACAAACCAUUUGUUCAUAAGUUCAUUUACGUUGACUUAAUUCACCUUCACACGCACCUACGAAUUGGGUUCAUUUAUAGUAUAUAUAACUCAUUUUCAAGCACAUUCCAUUACGUGGCCGUUUUGGAAUGUAUUCAAUUAUUUUCGUUUUGCUUAUUUAUGGACUAUGGUGAUUUAAUAGAUUUACCUGCCAAUGAUUUUAUUUAAUUCUUGCGGUAUUUUGGAAAUUCAAUUGAUAAAAUUAUGAAUCACCAAACAAAUAUUAUAAUUUUGAAAAGAAACAUGAGGCGAGGACUCUUUUAGCCUUUGGGUGAUUAUUGUUAUCUUUUGAAAGAAAAAUAUAAUUGAAGAAACUUCAAAGUUAACCUUUUGAGUACACAAUUUGAUGUUGAACCUAAUUAAUUAGUCAUAAGAACUCAUUGAACUAGGUCAAAAAAGGAAAGAAACAAUACAAUUACAUAUUGAACAUGUAUCAUAAAGAAAUUCAAAAACACCAUUAUGAACCAAUUCAUUAAUUUAUAUUUUUUUAGAGAAACAUUCGGAUUUAUUAUUGAAAGAAAAUUAAUGAAGAUAUAUAGAUGUAAAUAAUAAGUUAAAUCUAUGCAGUUGGUAUUUUUUUUUAGGGCAAAAUAAAAUUAUAACAUGCACAUAAUAAUAAUAAUAAUAAUAAUAAUAAUAAUAAUAAAUAAUAAUAUUAUUAUAACUUAAUUUAUUUAUUGCAAAUUGUAAUCAUCAUCAUGGGAAAUACACGUCCAUUGGACAAUUAUUCUAAGGGGGAAGACGUUAUCAUCAUCAUGGAAAGUACACGUCCAUUGGACAUUUAAUCAAAGGGCCAGGACAAUCUUUGUACUUGUCACCUGUUUUAUCUAAGCAAAGUUUAAUUUGAUAUAAAUAAUCCUUAUUUUGCACCCUUAGACAUUCAAUUUGUGGUUUAAAACCGCCAAUACCAGUCUCUAUGGUAUCAAAUAUUUUCUGGCUUGUUUCAGGCUUUAUACCACCAGGUAUAAUACCCUCGUUCUGAAGGAUAGUUUUCAGUUCUUUUUUAUGGUAAAUUUUGAAAGCCAAAUUAAAAAAGUCCGGUGGAUGCAUCGACGAACAAGUACCGUGAUUAUCCCAUUGUUCUGACCAGAAAAAUAGAUCAUCGUUUCUCACAGCAGUGUCCAAUCGUGGCCAAUACUUACGGAGAUCUGUCAUGCUUACCAAACUAGAAAACUGAUAAAAUAAACAGCAACAAAAAUGUUAUUUUUCAAGAAUAUAUAUGUAACAAUGAUAAUCAUAACAAAUAGCAAAUAUUAACAACAGAAAACAUUUCAGUAAAUGAACUUACAGUGGACCAAUCUAUCUUUUCCUUGGUGCACAAACGUGGCUGAGGAUCGCUGUAGUUUGACGGCCACAAGCCGUGAAUAGUAAACCAUGUUGUAGGUGGUGGAUUGAUGCAUUUAUUAACCUUGCAGAAUGUUGUUGGCCAUGUUUGAACUAUCUUGAGGUACUCAAAUGGAGUAACAAUUGGCUGUGGUGGUGGUGGAGGUUUUUUCUUCCCUUUUUUAAGAAGUGGGAAAUGAUAAGGUGAUGGAGAAUCAUGAGAUAGAGAAGGAGAUGUUGGAGUUGGAGUUUUAUAAUAGCUGGUGUUAUUUGGUGUUGAAUAAGAGCAUGAAGAAGAAGCCAGUAAUAGACCCACAAAUAUGAUGAUAAUUGGAAUCAUAUUGAGUGACAUUAUCUGAAUCUGUUAAUAUGUUACAUAAAAAAGCUUUUGGUGGUAAUAUGGCUUUAAAAAUAGAUGUGAAGAAAGCCUUUGAUACUCUUAAUUGGCAGUUCCUCAUUCAUGUGCUCCAAUGUUUUGGUUUUCAUCCAACUUUCUGUGAUUGGAUUAAUACUAUAUUGCAUUCAGCUAAACUCUCUGUAAAUAUUAAUGGCAAGGCUGUUGGUUUCUUCAACUGCACUAGAGGAGUGAGACAGGGAGACCCUCUCUCACCUCUUCUUUUUUGCUUUGCUGAGGAAGUGUUAAGUAGGGGUUUGGAAGCUUUAGUUCUUGAUGGCAGUCUGUCCCAAAUCAGGGCCACAAGGGACUUAUAUAUACCUAGCCAUUGUUUAUAUGCUGAUGAUAUCCUAAUAUUUUGUAAAGGCACAUUGGCUAAUAUCAGGCACAUUAUGAAGCUUUUUGAGACUUAUGGAAGUUAUUCUGGACAGUUGAUUAAUGCUCAGAAAAGCAAGUUUUAUGCUGGUGCUCUCUCUCUUUCCAGAGUUCAUACCAUCGUUUCAAUUACUGGCUUCACUCAUGGAAGUCUCCCUUUCACAUAUCUGGGCAUCCCUCUCUUUAAGGGUAAACCUAAGGCCAGACACUUGAGACCGGUUGUAGACAAAAUUCAAAGUAAAUUUCAUGCUUGGAGAGGUAAAUUACUCACUAUAAUGGGUAGGGUGCAACUGGUAAAUGCUGUGAUUAGUAGUAUGUUAACGUACUCUUUCCAUAUUUACAAAUGGCCUGCUAACUUGCUUUCUGAAGUGGCUAAACUUAUGAGAAACUUUAUUUGGAGUGGCAUCUGCACUCAACAAAAAUUGUGCACAGUUUCUUGGGCUAAAGUAUGUAAAUCCAGAGAUCUUGGAGGGCUUGAUGUUAGGGACCCUGCUCAAGUUAACCAAGCAUCUUUACUUUUGCUAACCUGGAAGCUUUAUACCUCCAAUGAGCAAUGGGCUAAUAUAUGUAGAACCAGAUUUCUCAAUAAACACAAGCCUAAAACCCAUCAUCUGACCUCUUCAGUUUGGACUGGAAUGAAACCCCACAUUCAUUACAUUCUGACCCAUUCUAAUUGGUCUAUAGGCAAUGGCAAGAACAUUAGCUUUUGGGCUGAUAGGUGGCUAGAACACACUAUAGUGGAUCUCUGGAACAUUCAUCCCUCUGUGCUUAAUGAGAUUGACUUAGAGGUAUCACAUUUCAUUGUUGAUGGCAAAUGGUGUCUCCCACCCUACAUACAUCAAAAAGAUCCUGCUUUAGCUGCUAGAAUUCAGCAACUCACUCUGCCUGAGGAUGACUUACCUGACACUCUUCACUGGACUGCAUCCCCUGAUGGAAUUCUUUCCAACAAAAUGGCUUUCUCUAGUCUGUAUGGGAAUGGUCAGAAUGUGCCUUGGUCCAAGGUGAUCUGGAAUUCUUUCAUACCCCCCACAAGAGCUUUCAUCACUUGGAGACUUAUCCAUGAUAAACUUCCAACUGAUGAGAAUCUUAGAAAAAGAGGUAGCAUAAUUGUUUCCAUUUGUUGCUUCUGUAGGAAGGAUGUUGAAUCAUCCAAUCACAUCAUCUUUGAUUGUGAGGUUACUGCUGUUUUAUGGCAAUGGCUGUGCAAAGGCACUGAUAUUCCUUUGGAUUUCUCUAGCUGUACAUCUCUUAUUUUGAGCUCUAUUGGCAGAGGAAGCAAGCUUGUUCAACAGUUAUUGGGCUCUGCUAUCAUACACACUAUUUGGGCAAUCUGGAUUGAAAGAAACAAAAGAUGUUUUGACAAUAAACAUCAAUCCAUGACAACUCUAUUUAAUUAUAUUCUGGCUGAAGUUAAAAUAGGUUAUACUUUGAUUGGGGUUAAUGGGAACUCAGAUAUGCAAGAUUACAAAGUCUCCAGACUUUCUAAUAUUCCCCUACAUUCUAAGAGAUUCAUUCCUAAAAAGGCCACUCAUUGGUGUCCUCCUGCUAGGGAGACGAUUAAAUUCAACUGUGUUGGCUCAUCUAUAGGGGCUUCUCCCUGCGGGGCUAUUGGUAUUGUGAUUAGAAACUCCACCCCCUAUUUUUUGGGAGCUGUAGCUAGCAACAUUGGGCAUGCCACUGCCCUAGAAGCAGAAUUUUCUGCUUGUAUGCUUGCCAUUGAAAAAGCUAAGGAAUUACAAUUCAAGUGUAUUUGCAUUGAAACUGACUGUCUUCAAGUGGUGAAUGCUUAUAAUAAGAGUUUUGGUGUUCCUUGGAAGAUGAAAGCUAGAUGGUACAAUUGUAUUGAAGUUCUGCCAUAGCAUUGUCUGUUCUUGUGUUCAUGUGCUCAGAGAAGGUAACCAAGUUGCAGAUGCUUUAGCUAAACAUGGUCAAGGUUUAUCUCAGUUUUCCACUCAAUGGUGGAUUCAGCCUCCAUCUUUUAUUCAUCCCCUCCUUCAGAGGGAUUGUCUUAGCUUAUCUUCAAGGAUGAUUGCAGUCUGAUGUAUUUCUCUCCCGUUUUGUUGGGUUUGGUUUGUUUUUGUUUUUGAUGUUUUCUUGUAUUGUUUAACUCUGGUUCAGGCCUCUCCUGCUUUAUUUUGAUUUCUAGCUUUGAUAAAAAAAAAUAAAAAAAUAAUUGAGUGACAUUAUGAUAUCAAAAAAUCAAAUGUUUCCUAAGUGAAAUUCUAAGUCCACCAGAUACCUUGUUUAUAACAACAGAAGGUAUAAGUGUGAACCCAUUACAUUUUUUUCUACUUAUUGUCGUUGUUUAAAUUUUUCAUACAAUCCAAAUAUGUGAUAAUAAUGUCUUUCAGCUCACACCUUAAUUAUCCACUCAUAUAUAGAAGCAAUUAAGCCCCUCACCGGUGUACCAUCUAUAAUAUAUCAUUAGAUCUUUAAACAAAAACAGUAAAUAUAAGCAACCACUUCAUCUAUUUUAUUUGUAAUUGGAGACUUCAAAUCAAAAUUGAAAAACUGUAAUUAUUUUAGGGUUGGGCAGUAAACCAUGAAUUAUGUGUUCAUUUACUUUCUAGCAUAAUCAAAAUUGUAUAUCUUACCUCUAUAUACAUAUACAUACAUACAUAGAUACAUACAUAUAUUUUAAGGUGCAUUUUGAUGAUGUGUCACCUCACCAAAACUCUCUCUUUUCUAACUAUUAUCUCAUACUUAUGCCAAGUGGCUCUAUUUUUCAUUUUUUUUCUUUUCUUACUUCUAUUUACUACAUAUUUAUUUAUAUAAAAUUCUCAACAUAUAUUCUAAGGUGCAUUUUGAUGAUAUAUCACCUCACCAAAGCUCUCUUUUUUCUAACUAAAAUCUCAUACUUAUGUUAAAUGGCUAUCUUUUUUAUUUUUUUUUCUUUUCUUACAUCUAUUUACUACAUACUUAUUUAUAUAAAAUUCAUUCAUAUUCAUGUAGUUCUUUAUUAUGUAACUUCCAAUUAAUUUGUGUAACUUCUUCCACUUAUCAUUUUUUUUUUAUUCAUAACCUACAAAUUCAAAAAGUUUAGUUCAAGAUUUUUCACAUUCACAUUUACCCUUUAUAACCAUCACCUACUCCACAUUCAUUUUGAACUCAUUUAUACCCAUUUUGACAAUUAUACUAAAUCUUAGAGUGUUUCCACCAUGAUGCUAUUUCUACCACCAUAAAGAUACGUAUUGAAGUUUUAUUUUGAUUGUUUAUUUAUGCUAAAAAUAAUUUAAUCCAUUUCUUCUAAAGUUAUUUUAUUUUCUUUGUUUUCCCAUGAUGAAGGAAUCUUUCCUCUUUUCACUACAUAUAUGAUGCUUAUCUCUGUCAAAGGUAUUUCUUAUAUUACUAAAUAGAAAAUAUUACAUAUACAUAUUGAAGAAAAGUUUGCAAGAAGACAACAUAUAUAUAUCACUAUCUAUAUCUAUAAUCAUGUAUAUAUAUCUUCUAAAGUUAUUUUAUUUUCUUUGUUUUCCCAUGAUGAAGGAAUCUAUUUUUUUAAAGGACAUGUGUUGUGGCCAAUUCACUGUAUCAUGGUUUACCAUGGGAUAACUACUCUCUUGAUCGACAAAAUAGUAUAUCAAUAUGAACUUUUAGGUUUUUAGUUUUUAAAUAAAUAAAGGAUGUAAGUGCUAAAAUUAUUGAUUACUGCUAAUUUAUAUGAAUUCUGAAACGCUGAAGUGAAUAGUUCAGAUUUAGAAUUAUUACAUAAAUAUUUUUAUUCACAACAUGAAAAAGUGUUAUCAAAGGAAAAUAUGAGACAUUACAUUUAUUUCUAUACAACUCGAAUAUGCUCGUGAAGUAGCAAAUUGAGUAAAUAUCUUUAUGAAUAUUUUUGAAAGAUUAGCAACAUUUAUAAUUGAACAAAGAGUGGUUCUUGAUUUAAACUACAAUGCGAUCACGACUGUAGUUUGAAUUAGGUAGUGCGAUGUUAUGAAACUCAUUGGUUUUUAAAUUUUUUUCCUGUUAAAUGAAAAUGGUGGUACGUACAUACCUUUGUUGUGGGGUGGCGACUGGGGGUACACCUCAAGGGUGAUGUUGUAAUCGGGACCACUGUAAGACUUAAUCUUCUCUAAUAAUAUAAAUAAAUGUGUUUUGUAUAAUCUUGAGUUGUAUCAUUUGCUCACUCCAUCUAUUUGUUGUGUGAACAGGUAUCUUUUCUGCGCAGAAAGUAAAAUCUUGAAUUCAGUAGAACUAUAAUGGAUGAUAAAGCUCUCCUUUCAAAUAUUUAAGGAGUAAAUAGUCAAUUUUUCUCCUGAAAUUGUAAGUUUCAUCAAUUACCUACCUGAAAUUAACAAAACUUCAAUUACCCUCCUGAAAUUUCACAACGUUAGUCAAUUUACCCCCUCCAUCAAAUUUUUCUGUUAGUGAACAUGACGUUUUGCAAAUACCCCCCUGAAGUUUUGCACUUAUGUGCAAAAUGCCCCCCAAACUUAAAAAUUUAUAUUUAUUUUUUUUCUUAAAAACAAACAAUUAAUAGUUAAAUAUUAAAGCUAACUAUUAAUUUUGGAGUUUGGAAAAACUACAUACAUAUAUACAUCAAAAUAGGGAAAAAUGUGUAUUUUUAAAGUGACAAUAAUGGUUAUUUCUAAUAGACAGAUUAUUAUUUUUAGAGGUUUAUAAACAAAUUAAUAAUCAGAUUUAAAUUUAUAUUUUCUCCUUCACCAUCUUAGUCUUUUAACUCCCCUAACUCCUUCAACAAUUUGCUCAAACCAUUUAAACUACACAACCCCUAAUAUUAAUCCACAAAUCAUCCCAUUAUUGUCACUUUAAAAAAUACAUAUUUUUUCCCAUUUUGGAGCCUAUUUUGAUGUAUAUAUGCAUAUAGUUUUCCCAAAUUCCAAAAUUAAUAGUUAGUUUUAAUAUUUAACUAUUAAUUGUUUGUUUUUUAAAAAAAUAAUAUAAAUUUUAAAUUUGGGGGGCAUUUUGCACAUAAGUGCAAAACUUCAGGGGGGUAUUUGUAAAACGUCAUGUUUACUAACAGAAAAAUUUAACGGAGGGGGUAAAUUGACUAACGUUGUGAAAUUUUAAAAGAGUAAUUGAAGUUUUGUUAAUUUUAGAGGGUAAUUGAUGAAACUUACAAUUUCAGAGGCGAAAUUGAUUAUUUAGUCAACAUUUAACAUUGUUGCAUUCCUAGAGUUGAAUUCUAGGCUAUGACCUUUGAUGAAUAGAAUAAACUCUGUGCACAUCGGUAAAGUCUUUAUGUUGUUUGAAUAUAACGUUACUUACGGGUUAAUCACUAUCACAAACUUUAUGAAAAGUUGUAAUUUUGUGACUCAAAUUCUUUCAUGAUUGCAGUGGACCCAAAUUGAUAACUCGGAAGUAGUAAGAAUUGAGUACAAUGAGAAAGACAAAAUUCUUUGCCCUAACAAACAUAGAAUUAUGUGAUUGAUAUCAAUCUUUUUGCAUGUGUUGCUGUCUUUUAUUAUUUUUAACAAAUUGUUUAUUUUUUAAUAAAUAAAAUUUGUUGAGGAAAUUAUCAUGUGUCUAACUAUACAUACAACUAAUAAAAAAAUAUUUCUGAAUAUCUUCUAAAGACAAUAUUUUUUUCAAGACUUAAGAAUAAAUCAAAAAAGAAGACAAUCAUUUCCACAACAUUUCCAUCACUAGAAGAAAACAGAGACAUAUAUUCAAGUCGGAUAUCUGUAUUUUUUAUGAGUUGUGUUAUUUGAACAACCAUUUGAUUGACAACUUUUGGGAUAACCAUAAUUUUACUAAAGAAAAAGAAGGUAUGGACACGAAAAUCAAAGCAAUAGAGAGAGAGAAAGUAAAGACAUAAUGUGAGUAUGAGAGGGAAAAUUGUCAAAAAGUGGUUGUACAAAUAUCAUUUCUCAUUUUUUAUGCUUCCAAAUGUAACACGGAACCAUUCUGCAAGACACUACUCCAAUUUAUGCUUUAGGGAGUGUUUGUUUCAAGUUUAGUAGAUUUAUUCUCAUUAAUAACUUUCUUUGGAAUAUAAUGAUCGAAGUUUUAUUCCUAAGUUAAUUUUAAAAGUUGUUUGGUUAAUAUUAUAAUAUUCUCAGGAACCUUUAUAGUAGUGAGGUUAAAAGAAAAGAAUGUAUCAAUUUAUUCUCAUUUUCAUAGGAACUUUAUUUUCAUCCUUUUCUCUAGGAAUUUUUAUAUUCCUCAACAUUUUAUACUCUAGGAGUAAAAUUUAAUAAAGUUGUAACGAACAUAGAAAUACAUAUUUCAAUCAUUUUAUAUGAAAAGAUAAACUUUAGAAUGCUCUCAUUUUUUCUCCCUUCUAUUAUAUUUCAUUCAGGAUAUUUUCAGAUCUUGUGUGUAACUUGCCAGGUUGUAAAAAUCGAGAUUUUGCUUCAGAUUGAAACAGGAUAGCGAAAUCGUAAAACAUAAAAUCGCAACCAAAAUCGAAGGAUUCUAUUCUAUUGAUUUUGUAGAAUCGAAAGGGGAUACCAAAAUUGUAAAAUCAAAUAUCUCAAUCAAAAUCGAAAAAUUCUACUCAAAUAAUAUUAAAUAUAUACUAUAAAGUGCAUAAACAACUUAAAGUUUGAAAUCUUAAAUCAAACAUAAAAUAACCGAGUCUCAAAUCUUAAACAUAAAACAAACUAGUGGCAAAGGUUAAAAGGAAACGACUCAAAGUCUCAAAUCUUAAAUAAAGAACAACCAAGUCCAUGAAAUACUCAGAACCUAGAUGCUACAAGACUACAUCACAUCAUAAACAUGCCAAUUAUAAAGCAGAGUGAAAUCACAAAAUAGAUCAAACAUAGAUGACUUCAAACGGAUUUUUCAUAGUUUAGGAUUCUACUAAAUUUUCAGAUCGGUAAGGCAGAGAAAAAUCGUAGGAUUUCAGUAUUCUGAUCGGGAUUGUAACAACGGUGACUUGUCUUAAUUGAAAUGAUAAUUAUAGCAUUCCAGAACACAAAUUAACUUCUUGUUAUAUUACUGUAACAGUCUUUAAUUUUUGCAUAUUGUGACACCCGUUUUUUUGGUAAUAUAAAUAGCAUCGCAUCAUAUUUUCCCUAGUGUUACAUCCAAACGUAUAGUUAUCCCACAAUUGUGGAGCGUUCUGUUGCACAUUUGGUUUAGCUAAGGAAUAAGUAGUUAAGAAGUUAAAGAUUUAGGAUUCAAAUCUUAGAAAGAGAGAAAAAUAACUAACAUAACAACUAAUACACUAACAUUUAUCAUUCAAAAAAGUUUCUCAACACUGCAGGAUACUCAAUUGGCCUAUUGAUGAUAUACUCUAACAAUCAUAUCAACUCUCUUGUCACGCUUUUAAUUAGUGACCGCAGAGACAUCAUAUUUCGAGUCAGGUACAAAACUCUAUGUUGUUUGAAUAUAACAUUUUAGGCUAAACAUUAUCAUAAACUUUAUGAAAAAGUUGUCAUUUGGUGACUCAAAAUAGUAAGAAUAGAGAGUACAAUAAUGAAGUUAGAGUAUUCUGAAAGGAAAGAAAAUAGUGAGAACUGUUCACAUUAGUAACUGCAAUGCACUAACAAACAUAGCUAAAGACUUUAAAGUUUAUUGCUGGGGCGUUUAUUUCCACUCUUUUUGAAAAUAGUUUACUUUUUCAAUUUUUAUUCAAAUUGGAGUUUGGAGUAUCAUAAUAUAAAAACGCGAGAGAAAUUUCAAAAGAGAAAAUAUGAAAUUUUCCUCUUAUUUUGCCAUUAAAUUUUGUGACGAGCAAACUAGAGAUGAAUUGUUUCAGCUUUCUACUUGUUUUCCUUAACCUUAAUUUUCGUUAAGGAAAACAUAAUUAUAUUGAUUAGAAUUUAGAUGUUCGACUGAGAGAUAAGUUUCAAUGGUAAGAGUUGGAUUCUGUAAUAUGUAGAGAAAAAGUUUAUUUAUGUUAUGAAACUAUUAGAAUAAGAAGAACAAGAACAAGAUUAAAGAGAAGAAGAGAGAAUAGAGAGAGAAGAAAGAGGAUUAUAUUAUUCUCUUGUGAUGUAUAAUUAGAGUACAUAUGAGCUUUAUUGUUAUCGCGAUUUUCGGGUGUCAAGUCAUAAAUUAGGCUUGGACCUUUCAAUCUUUGAUAUUCUCUAUUUUUUCUUGGGAAGGGCAAAAUUGAGAAAAAAAACCCUUAGAUUCUAAGUUCGGGGGUCGUUUUCGCUACGGGAAGGUGUUAGGCACCCGGAACGAUUAUGGUAUUCCAUAAGAGCCGUUCUUCUAAGUUGAUUUCUACGCUUUAUUUUUAUUGCCUACUUAUUAAAAAAAGAAGUUUUAUUUGAGUGAAGAAUGAGGGGAGAAGAUGAUUGAGAUCUCAUUUUUAUUUGGAAAAUGGUUUUUGAAAAGGAGGAGAGAAGCCGUAAGGCAUAGAAGAAAAAUGUCGAAUUUGAUCUUUAUUUUUAUUUCACAAAAAGGCAUUGGAGUUUUGACUCCAAAGUUUGUUUGAAAAAAUUAGCCUAUUUCGAAGAAGAAAUUUCACUAGGCGUCGAAUUCCUAACAUACACCUAAAUCGAUUAUCAUGCAACGUGUGUGCGAGUGUCGGUGCUCGUGUCGGUGUACAUCCCUUAUAAUGUCCAUAGUCCUUUACAUUGUCCUAGAUACAUGCUAUGGUCUUUGUGAAGAAUUUUAAAAGGAACUAAUCUAUCUAAGAUUAUUACAAACCCAAUUGAUAUAGAAAUGAAUGGGAAAAAAUGAUGCCAAAACUAUAGGAUGAAUGAAAUGUGAGAUGAGAUGGUUAGUAUCAUAAAGCAUAGAAUAAUAGAAGUGCAAACAAAAAAAAAAUAUUGAAAGGAAAGACAUAAAAGAAGCAAAUAAAGUGGCAAAAUGUGUGUGAAAAUGGACAUAAAACUCUAGCACAUGUAUGACCCAUAAUCCCUUUAUUUUGGCGUUUUUAGAGGUCUUGCUUUGUGUAAAAAAAAUGAAAAAAAGAUGGGACAUAUUUUAUGCUAGAAUUUAUGGCGCACUUUCAAAACAUUUUGACACUUUAUUCACUAAUGAAAAUGCAUACAAAUUGCAAGGUGAAGAGGGAAUUAAAAUUGAUAUACAAAAGCAGCAAAUUGCACAUAUAAUCGGCAGCAAAAUCAUCACAAAGUUACACUCCAAGAAGUCAUAUCACAUGUCAACGCUUCAAGAGGAAUAUUGCACUAAAAAAUGCACAUACAUGGACCAAAAAUACACUAAUUGAACAAAAACAUCACAUGUGAUCUUUAUCAUUUUUUUUUUAGUUGAAAAGCAUCACAAAAAUAUGAGAAUCCACCAAGAAUCAUGUGAUAUUUUUUGUGCAAUUUUUAGAGUAUUUUUCAAACAUGCAGAGGUUCAAUUAGUAAAGAAACAGAGUGCAGAUGGCAAAAAAAAUAACAAAAAAACGAAAAAAAACUAAGGCCCAAACCCAUGCUGCUGGAAACGGAUCAGGUGGAGAGCACAGAGACCGUUGGAUCGAUCCAGGGAUCAAAAUCUAGAUCCAACGGAUGAGAAAGAAAGGAAAGAACCAAGAAUAAACCGGUUCGGUUUAGCAGCCUAUAUAUAGGUGUGAAAACCGGUUUGUCUCAUUUUUCCUCCUCUUUCUCUCUCUUCCCUCAAUCUAGUGAGAGAAGCUCUCACUUCUCUCUAGGAUUUCCGGUCAGCUUCUCCGGUUCACAUGGCUUUUCCGGCGCGGCGGACGGCGGUGGCGCCUCCGCGCCGGAGUUCGAAACUUCUCCGAUUCAAAAACUUUUUACGUUUUUGAACAUCCUUUUUUGUAUACUACUCGAAUCCGAGCUUAAAUUUUUCAAAAGAGUUUUGAAUCGGAGUAGAUCUAAACUUGAACCUUGAUAGAAAAAAAAAAAAAAUUAAAGAAAACGGAAAGGAAGAGAGGGAGAACGACGGCGGUUACCUCUUUGGCACUUCGAACUCACGAUUGCAGUGGCCCUUGGCUUGGCGUUGUUGCUUCGUGUUCUUCGCGUGUGCGCUUCGUUGCUGUUGCUUCAGCUUCGUGUGCUUGCGUUUCUGUUGCUGGCUUCGAUUGCUUGCGUUUUUUCCGAUUCUGUCCUCUUCUCCUUCCUCUGUACAGAUUCGAUUUUCCCUUCUUCUUCUCCCACCGUGAUCGGUGCUUGAGUUCUUCACUUCCGGUGAGGAAUUCGCACCUUGUAUUGCGGUGGAAUCGAUUCAAUGAUGAAGAUUCGUACACGAAUCUCUGAGAAUUGAUGAUGAAUUUCGGUUAGGGUUCUUUGUGUUCUUGAGUAAUUUUUUUUGUUUUGAUCUAACAGAAAAGAGAGAGAAAGUGAGAAUCUGUUUGUGAUGAUUUCAAUGAUUGUGUAUCUGAUCCUGAAAAUCUGACACUGUGUUGUUUUUAUAGCUGACAUGUGUACUUUGAGACCCAAUGGGGUGAUGACACCUGGACUGGACUGUAUUUGAUUCAAGGACCUUCCUGCAAAAAAGGGAACUAAAAGGACUAAACUGCAAUAAUAAAUAAAAAAAACUAGAAAUGGAAUUUUUUUAAAUGUUUUGGACUAAAAUGCAAUUAAAAAUAAAAUUGGACUAAAAUUGGUAAUUUGAAAAAAACGUAAAGUGAAACCAAAAAUAAAAUCAACAAAAGGACUAAAAUGAACCAGCUACAAAAAUGAGGUAUUUCAAAAUACCUCUCUGCCGAAAUUUUGACAGGAAAAGACCAAAAUGCCCCUAGGGACUAAACUGACUCAGACUGACUCAGAUGCAAUUUUUGAAAUGAUUUUUUAAACAAAGACUCAACAAUAAUUCAUACAGACAAGUUGAAAAGACUCAGAGGCAAACACAGGGACUAAAAUGGGUUCCACUGCAGGAAAUGACCAAAAUACCCUUUUGCAUGAUUUUUUUGAAAUAAAAUGCAAGAAAAGUAAUGCAAUGAUUCAGAGAGUUUUUUUUCAAAUGACUUGUAAUGCAAGAAAGACAUUUUGGAUAGCUUUAUGCAAGAAAAUCAUGAUUGAACAUACUUUGAGACAGAGACAGUAAAAUAUGCAUAUGAAAAGAGAGUAAAGAUUCAGAGUAAAACAACAGAGAAUUGGCAAAUAUCAGUGUUUAAAAAAAGAAAUUUGAAUGAGUAUUUUUAGGUCCAAAAUCAGGGUAUAACAUUUAUUUAUAGAGAAAUACAAUGACUUGGGGAGCAAGCACAAUAUGGCCAAAAAGCUAACAAUAUGAUCCAAUAACCCAAUUGCUAUAUGGACAUCCACUAGUAAUAUUCAUAACACUCCCCCUUGGAUGUCCAUCUCGGAUAUGCCUCAUUAAAACCUUACUAGAGAAAAACCCCAGUGGGAAAAAAUUCUAGUGAAGGAAAAAGAGUACAACAUCCUUUUGUGUUAUAAUCUGCCUCGUUAAAAACCUUACCAGGAAAACCAAAUGGGAUAAAACCAUGGUUAAGGGAAAAAGAGUGCAGAACACAUCUUUGUCUCCCCCUCAUAAAGACAAUUAUAUAUGAGAUGAAGAAGUUUAAACAAUCUUUUAUGUUAGUUACUCAAAAUCUUUACUUGACGGUGACUCUGUAGAAAGAUAUGAUAUAUCUCCAUACUCUUCUCCAAAUUAGCAGUUCUUGUGAUAUCUUCAUAUUGAGUUGUUGAAAGAACCUCCUUUUAAAAUUAGAAAACCACAAGUUUCUUGUAUGUGUGAAAUCAUAAUCCUUAAUAAAGAGCAUUCUCCAUUUCCUUGACGUAGUGCUAACAUUUUCAAAUGAUCAGAUGAUAUCGUUGUUUCUCUAAGAUACAAAUUGUAUGUUUGACUUUGCUGCAAUAUCUGUAUUUACUAAUAUUGACAAAAAAAAUACCACGAUAUAUAUAUAUAUAUAUAUAUAUAUAUAUAUAUAUAUAUAUAUAUAUAUAUAUAUAUAUAUAUAUAUAUAAUAAGCAAAAUGCGUUCGUGUCCUCACCUGACCAAUUCAAAUUGUUCAUGAUUUUCUUGAGGACAUGAUCUUUACUCACAUCAAGUGACAUCACAAUCAUUCUAGUACAUAAUCAAUUAGAUUUGUCCAUAAAAACAUUUAUAUAACAAAAUUUAGAAUCUCUUCAGGAGUUCUAAUAUAUAUACGAUUAUAACAAAUUCAUUUCAAAUCCUUAAAAUGGACAAAUGAUGUCAUCUUUCCAAUAGAUUUGAUAGUACGUUUCACUCAAAUGAAAUCCUUCAAGUAGUUUCAUAUAAUACAAAUAAAUUGUAGCACAUUUUCAUAUAAUUUGAGCCUUUCAUGUGCUACUGAACUUAAUCAAGUAUGAAAAAGUUCUUGGAUUCACUUCUGGUGAAUAUGUCUUUUAAAAUAAAUGGUAGACAUUUACCAAUUCACUUCAGGUGAACAUAUCAAACUCUGUAUAUAUGUAAUUUACCAUACUAGUUCCUUUUUCGCGCGAAAAAUCAUAUAUAGUCAUUUACCUUCACACCUUCAAAUGUGCAGACUACAAGUCCAAACAAAGUCUGCUUCAUGAAACGAGUUUGAUUUCAGUAGAAUUGUCUCUUUCCAUUCUGUAGAUAUUUUCUUUAUCUAUAAUCUUUAGUUGACUUUAACACAUGAUCCUCAUUAUUACUUAUCACAUAGUGCUAUAUUAUAUGCAAAAACACAUCAACGUUGACUUCAUUUCGGUUCCAUCUCAUUCCAUUGAGAUCUUGUAUUCAUGACAUAAUUUACCAAUAUUUAUAAGUUUCAGGUACCUGAUUAGUUCUUCUGGAACUGAAAAAUCAAUUAUGUCAGAAAACUCUUUUUGAGUUUCUAUAUCCUCGUUUGGGUUAUCUUUCCUUUAAGCUCCUUUUCUUAUACAAAGCUUUUAUAUUUGGAACCGAUUGAUCUAUCAUGCUUCAGGCACGAUGAAGACUCAUUUGCAAUAUUAGAUUAUCCGAUAUGGACAUCUAUAGCAGCUAAUAAGAUUUGUUUACCUUUGCAAAUGAGUUAUAUCUUAAGGAUCAAGAAGAGACAAUAAUAUUUCCUUUCAAAUAAUUUAUUUGAACUUCAGGUUCACAAUUUUUUAGCUGCUUACCAUCUCCCCCUAAUAUUGGGAAAACCAAACCAUCAAUUGAUAAUCAGCCUACUAGGCUGUAAACAAGUUGGCUCAAUACAAUUAAAGAUAGAUGGAGAUUUAUAUCAAAUACAUUUUCCCAAUAUUCUUUCAAGAUUUAUCAAAAUGCAUUAUAUUGGAGCAAUUGUGACAUACAUAACACAUCCAAAAAUUCACUUGGAUGAAAAAUAUCAGGUUGUUAACCUUAAACCAAUGAUAAAUUAAGGUGAGAAAUUACAUAUAGUAAUGUGUUGGCUUGAUGCAUAUCAAUAUCUCAAUAUACAAAAUUAUUGAUUCCCAAAAUUGAGUCUAUAAGGCAUGAUCUCAUAACCAAAACAGAGUAUAUAAGGUAUGUUCUGAUAAGUAUCAAUCAUACAAUUAACUUUAGGCGUCUAAAGAAUGGAUCUUCCAGUCCAUUUUAUUAGCAUAUGCUUGUUCAAUAUCAAUUUCAAUUGAAAAAUGAUAGUUAUCAAAUGAUUUCUGAAAAUUUCAGAAAAUAAACUCUUAGUCAAAUUUGUUGAGAAAAUAAUCUCACAAACUUCUGGUUGUGAAUAUACAUGUGAUCAUUUAGUUGAUGCAUCGAUUCAAAUCAUAUAAUAUCCAAGUGAUUCACAUGAUCAAUGUAUUAAUUUAAAUAACACCUUAUAUAGGUGAGAGACUCAUUCUUUUAAAUUGUCAACUCUAUCUGGGAACUAUUAACACACAAUAGUUACUAGAUUGAAGAAUCUUAUGGUUCUUCAAUAUAUAUCCAUUUUUUUUUCAAAUAAUUUAUGCAUCAUAAUAGAUCCGGGAUAACCCAACCGGUCUUGCCAUCGAUUUGUAAACUUAUGGUUUAGAAUAAUAUGUGCUUUCAUUGCACUAAUAAUAUAAUAUGUAAACUUCAGGUUUAUAAUAAUAUUUGAUUCAUUGGUUCUAAUCUAUUUGAAAUUUGAAACAUGAUUUGUAAACUUAUGGUUUACGAUAUUAUGUGCUUCCAUUGCACAAAUAAUAUAAUAUGUAAACUUCAGGUUUACAAUAAUAUGUGCUUCCAUUGCACUAAUAUAAGUGUAUUAUAAAUAAGAGACAAAAUAAAAUUUUCACUACACUUAUUUUCUCCAAAGUAUAUCUCGUAAUAUAGAGAUUUUUAACAUUAAAAUUUUAUGAGAAUGCAAUCUCAAUGUGUAAUGUAACAAUAAAUUAACUCUUUGGGAGCCUUCAAUAAUUUAUUUAUUUUGAAGUGCAAUGCUAACAUUGAUUCCUUGCAUCAUAAAUUAUGAAAUAUACUUUUGGCUCCCCCAAAAUGCAUGAUUGAAACCACUUUAUAGUAGAAAAUUUAAUAACAAUAAAUUCAACUAUCAUAAUCAUGCUAUAAAUCAAAUAUUCAAUUUCAAAUGAAAUAAACUUGAAUCUUAUAUAUACGAGAGAAAAAAUCAUGUCAAUAUUGAUUCACUACAUGUGAAUAUAAAUAUUUACCCAUAUAUUGUAGAAUCAAUAUUUCUCAAAAUAAUCAAACCUUUGUAUAAUGUACUACCAAAUUGAAUCACAAAAGUUGAGAUUCAUUAUUAAAAUACAACAAAUCUUCCACAAAUAUAUAUCAUAACUAAAUAUAUAUCAUAACCAAUUAUAUAGCAUUUCUUUAUUUAUUUAUUUAUAACUAAAUACAAAGUUUAUACACAAAAAUUAUGUGAAUCAAUUUUAAUUUCAAACUAGAAAUUAAAAGGUAGGAUAUAAAUGUUUUGCCAAAUAAAAAUAUAUUUUCACAACAAAUAAAUUCAAUUAAUCAAAUUCAAUUCGAUGCUAACAACAUAUUUGCAUUUGUUGUUACAAUGAUCAAAUAACCAUACUCAAUAAUUCAAAACAAAUAUUUUUAUUCAUGACAUUUAUGUGCAUAUCGAUAAUGGAUCAUAAAUAAGUUUAAAUCAAAAUCCACACAAAAAUUUCCCAAAUUACAUGAAAGCACAACCAUAAAAAUAAAAUAUUUAUUUGUCAUCAAAAGAAAACACAAAUAUUGAAUAGAACAAAUAGAUGUACAUAUCUCCUUAUAAGAAACUUCAGUUUUUCGAAAGUAUAGAAAAUUUUCUACACCGAAAAAAAAUUUGGCCUACUAUAAUUUAGAAAAGAGUCUAUAUAGUCUAUAUGAGCUGAAAUUCAAGAACUUAAAACAUGAUAAUUUAGGUGCCAAACACGAUUUUGGUGGUUGAGAAAUUGAAAUUGCCAAAAUUGCAUAUGAACAAAAUUUUCUAUCGCGAAGUCAAUUUGCUUCUAAAAAUAAUGAUUUUAUCCAAUUUUUAUUUCAAAACAAAAAAUUGUGACAAUCAACUAAAACAAAAUACAUGAUUCUAAUUGGUGUCUAUCAAUCAAAUUGACAAUAAAUCCAUAACAAACAAGAGCCAUAAAGUCAGUAAAAAAAACGGAAUUAGUUACAUUAUCGUUUUUUUUUUUUUAAAUAUAUAGAAUUUAGAAAAUAAUUUUAGAUCAAAUCUUAAAAAAAAUUGAUACAAUUUGAAUACUUAAUUUUAGGAAGAAAAAAUAGAUAUUUAAUUUCAUAUUAUAUUUGAAACAAACUCAAACGUAAAGAUAUGUUUCAAAUCAAUUAUAAUAUAUAUAUAUAUAUAUAUAUAUAUAUAUAUAUAUAUAUAUAUAUAUUUAACUUAGAUCCAAAUAAAAACUAGUUGGUUUAUUUUAAACCCAACAAAAUUGGUUUCAGCAAAAAAGUUGGAAAUAAUCCACAAUUAAGGGAAACAAUCUCAAUCAAAUAGAGAUUUGUUUUAAAAUCAAACCAAAAAGAUAAAAUAAUAAUUAAAUCAAGGGAUAAUUUCAACUGAAUCUUAAAUAAAUAAAACAUGGAAAUUUGGUGAAAAAAAUACACACCAAUUCACAAAAGAAAAUGAGUUUUUUUUUUCUAAGAACUUUUUCACGAACUACUCACAAUCAAAUCGAUUAUUUGUGCAAUCCAUGCAUCACUAUUGAAUUCUUCAGGAAUUCAUGGAAAAUAAAAUUGGUUGAUUUUUAAGUUUUUUAAGCUUUUCAAGAACUAUAUAACAGAUCUAAUCUGUUAUUUGUACGAUCCUUCAUGGAUGUAUCACUACUGAAUUCUUCAGGAAUUCGUGGAGGAUAAAGAUUGAUUUUUAAGUUCUUCAAGAACUAUGCAAUAAAUUUAAACCAUAAAAUAAUUCUCCAAGCAAUCAUUCCUUCAUAGAUUAACGCUUUUGAAUUCUUCAGGAAUUCAAAGAGAAAAAUAUUAAGUUCUUCAGGAACUACGUUGUUGAAUUCUUUAGAAAUUCACAUAGAAUAAUAUUUAGUUCUUCAGGAACUACAGUUUUGAAUUCUUCAGGAAUUCACAAAGAAUAAUAGUGAGUUCUUCAGGAACCACACCUUUGAAUUCUUCCAAAAUUCACAUGGAGUAAUAUUGAGUUUUUCAGGAACGAUAUAAUAGAUCUCUUUGAUUUUAUAAUAUGAGAUUAAUUCUUAUGCAAUACUUCAUGAUUACAUAUGGAAUAAAUAAACACAAUAAUAUAAUACAAUUCACAUAAUAGUGGUUCAAUGUAUCUCUAAGAAACUGAUUCCAAUUGAUUGAAUUAUAAUAGUAUAGUCUAUAAUCAUCGAUAUGAAAAUUAAAACUUAUUUUCAUAUAAAUAGAUUAAAAAGAAUUACAUACCUCAGUUGGUUAGAGUCUCGUGCUGAUAACGUGUUAUGAAACUAUUAGAAUAAGAAGAACAAGAACAAGAUUAAAGAGAAGAAGAGAGAAUAGAGAGAGAAGAAAGAGGAUUAUAUUAUUCUCUUGUCAUGUAUAAUUAGAUUACAUAUGAGCUCUAUUUAUAGAGAAAUACAAUGAUUUGGGGAGCAAGCACAAUAUGGCCCAAUAAGCUAACAAUAUGAUCCAAUAACCCAAUUGCUAUAUGGACAUCCACUUGUAAUAUUCAUAACAAUUUAUUUUUUUUCAAAAACAAUUGUAAAAUGAUACUAGGUGCCACUUACCAAUUUUUUUUAUGCACGUACCACUUUUUAGUGUAAUUUUAAGUAUCUCUUGGAUUUUCUCUAGGAAAAAAAAAAAGUAUCUCUUGGAUAAGAUCAAGAUAGGCUUGCAAGAUGCAAUGAGGAAUAUUCCAACAAUUUAUGACUGUAGCCUGUUUAAACUGUUGGAAUGUAAUGUACCCUAAACAGCUACAUUCACAAUUCAUUUCCCCGUUUUUCUAACAAAAAAUGACAUGACAUUUUUUUGAAGUUUAUUAAAAAUGAUACUUUUUUUUUGACAUUAUUUUUUUCUUCCUAAAAAUGAUACUUUUUUAAAACACCGUAUAUGUAUUUUAAGUUUAUUAAAAAUGAAACUUUUUUAAAACACCGUAUAUGUAUAAACAACACGUUCGAAAUUAAAAAUAAUGAAUUCUUUCGAGACAUUUUUUAAAGAUUCUAAAUUAAAAAAAAAUAUUUUUUAAGAAAAUUAAAUACUUCAAUUUUCAAUGUAUUGAUACACAAAUUUUUAUUAAUUUUACUAUUUAAAGUCUUUAAAGAAUGUCACGAGGAUACUCGUUGGCAUUUAAAAAAAUAGUAGGUCAAAUAUCUCACACAAACUUUAAAGUUAGAUGCUUAUAACAAAUCAACUCUUUCAGUUUUUUUUUGUUAGAACUUGAUCAUUAAAGUCAUAAAAUAUUUGUGAUAUUGUCUUGUUUUCAUCGAACUCAAUUAAAAAUAUUUAUAUUGACGUUUAAUGUUAAGUUGAUAAGUCAAAAUUCAUCGUUUUCAAAACUAUAAUUUAUAAAUGUAUUAUAUAAUAUUGUUGAUGAAAUAUUCUCUAUAAAACUUGACGUGAAUUCGAAAAUAAGAACAAAUGCCUUCCAACUUUAAAACUGAAAAUUGCAUAUUGAACAUGUAUCAUAAAGAAAUUCAAAAACACCAUUAUGAACCAAUUCAUUAAUUUAUAUUUUUUUGGGCAACAUUCAGAUUUAUUAUUGAAAAGAAAAUUAUGAAGAUAUAGAGAUGUAAACAAUAAAUUUAAUUUAUGCAGUGAGUUAUUAUCUAAACUCAUAUUUAUGUUUGUGCUAGUUAUUAAACAAUUUAUAUCAUAACAUCCCCUAAAAAAUAAAAUUAUAACAUGCACAUAAUAAUAAUAAUAAUAAAUAAUAAUAUUAUUAUAACUUAAUUUAUUUAUUGCAAAUUUUAAUCAUCAUCAUGGAAAGUACACGUCCAUUGGACAUUUAAUCAAAGGGCCAGGACAAUCUUUGUACUUGUCACCUGUUUUAUCUAAGCAAAGUUUAAUUUGAUAUAAAUAAUCCUUAUUUUGCACCCUUAGACAUUCAAUUUGUGGUUUAAAACCGCCAAUACCAGUCUCUAUGGUAUCAAAUAUUUUCUGGCUUGUUUCAGGCUUUAUACCACCAGGUAUAAUACCCUCGUUCUGAAGGAUAGUUUUCAGUUCUUUUUUAUGGUAAAUUUUGAAAGCCAAAUUAAAAAAGUCCGGUGGAUGCAUCGACGAACAAGUACCGUGAUUAUCCCAUUGUUCUGACCAGAAAAAUAGAUCAUCGUUUUUCACAGCAGUGUCCAAUCGUGGCCAAUACUUACGGAGAUCUGUCAUGCUUACCAAACUAGAAAACUGAUAAAAUAAACAGCAACAAAAAUGUUAUUUUUCAAGAAUAUAUAUGUAACAAUGAUAAUCAUAACAAAUAGCAAAUAUUAACAACAGAAAACAUUUCAGUAAAAUGAACUUACAGUGGACCAAUCUAUCUUUUCCUUGGUGCACAAACGUGGCUGAGGAUCGCUGAUGUUUGACGGCCACACGCCGUGAAUAGUAAACCAUGUUGUAGGUGGUGGAAUGAUGCAUUUUUUAAACUUGCAGAAUGAUGUUGGCCAUGUUUGAACUAUCUUGAGGUACUCAAAUGGAGUAACAAUUGGCUGUGGUGGUGGUAAAGGAGGAGUUGGUGGAGGUUUUUUCUUCCCUUUAUUAAGAAGUGGGGAAUAAUAAGGUGAUGGAGAAUCAUGAGAUAGAGAAGGAGAUGUUGGAGUUAGAGUUUUAUAAUAGCUGGUGUUAUUUGGUGUUGAAUAAGAGCAUGAAGAAGAAGCCAGUAAUAGACCCACAAAUAUGAUGAUAAUUGGAAUCAUAUUGAGUGACAUUAUGAUAUCAAAAAAUCAAAUGUUUCCUAAGUGAAUUUCUAAGUCCACCAGAUACCUUAUUUAUAACAACAGAAGGUAUAAGUGUGAACCCAUUGCAUUUUUUUCUACUUAUUGUCGUUGUUUAAAUUUUUCAUACAAUCCAAAUAUGUGAUAAUAAUGCCUUUCAGCUCACACCUUAAUUAUCCACUCAUAUAUAGGAGCAAUUAAGUCCCUCAUCAGUAUACCAUCUAUAAUAUAUCAUUAGAUCUUUAAACAAAAACAGUAAAUAUAAGCAACCACUUCAUCUAUUUUAUUUGUAAUUGGAGACUUCAAAUCAAAAUUGAAAAACUGUAAUUAUUUUAGGGUUGGGCAGUAAACCAUGAAUUAUGUGUUCAUUUACUUUCUAGCAUAAUCAAAAUUGUAUAUGUUACCUCUACAUGUAACACCCCGAUUUUUAAUAUUAGUUUAUUAAUAUUAUUUUUAGAUAAAUUAGUAUUAAUGUUAGUAUUAGUAUAUGUUUUUAGGUAGUAUUAAUUUAAAUAUUCAUAUUUAUUGGAAGAAUAGGUAAUGAGAAAAUAGAUGGGUUGAUUAGUCGUUUAAAGAGUGAGAGAAAAUAAUAAUUAGAAAGAAAAUAGAGUUUUUUUUAGAGAAAAUAAGAAAUUAGAGUGCGGACGGGAGGAUCAGUAAAGUUGGGAUGAAAAUAGGUGUAAUUAGUGAGACGAGUAGUACUUUAAUGAUUUAAGUAGAUGGGAGUGUGAAUAGCAAGGCGGUGUAGCUACAGAAAUAAUAGUAACAAUAUAUAGAGGUGCAGAUAGUAAUUUGAAAGAUUAGUAACAAACCUGGAGGACAUAUAGUAAUCUAAAAAGAUUGGUAACAUACUCAAUUAGAGUUUAUAAAUAGAGAAAAGAAUUAGAGAAGAAGGGUUACUUAGAAAGAGAGAAACAAAGCGGCAAAAGAAAAACUAGGGUUGUGGAGAAAAGAGUCAAGGAGGCACACCGAGAAGAAUCUAGAGAGAGAUUUCACAGUAGGAAUUCAUCAAAUUCUUCGAACUAGUAAGGGUGGAGUUUUAUUCAUUGUAAGGGUUGUGUACUCAUGUGGAUAGUGAAGGGUUGUUAAUUUUCAUUUAUUUUCUUAUUCCUUCGAUGAUCUAUGAUUAAAUUCGUGUUCUUUGUUUUUUUUGUUGCUGUUAUUAUUUGUUAGAUUUUUGUUUUCUAAAGUUGUGAUGUUUUCAUGUUAAAUUUGGGAUUGAAAUAUUGUGAUGUUCUGUUUUUUUUUAAGAGAAUAAAACCAUGACUACUUGCAAUCGGAUUCUGAUUACUUCUAAACUUUAUAUGGUUUAAAUUGGUAAUUUUAUAAUCAAUUUAUUAAGUCAUUAAUGUUUAUAUUACCUUUGGUUUGCUGCUAUAAGUUACACUAUUAUUUAUUUUUUUGGCUUGUGAGAAAUUAUUCUUGUUAUUUUCCAUCGCUACUAACACCUAGAUUCUAGUUCAUUCAAUUUAAUUGCCGUAACCAUUCACUGUUGAUGUACCUACUUCGAUUUAAUUUGUGGAUUACUAUUACUGUGGUCUUGUGUGGAUUAUAACUUGAGUUCCAUAAUGAAAACUAGUUAGUGUGCCAUGCCAAUUUAAUAUUAAUGGUCGUGAAUUGUUCUUUAAAAAGGAUGUAGCUUGAUUUAUUUAUUUUAUUCUCUAUAUUGACUAAAAGUUUUUUUUUUUUUUUUGUUAGAGAAAUAAAAUCAUAUCAUUUCAUUAGAAAUCAGAUUGGUAAUAUAUGUAGGAAUAUCAUCAAAGACCUGGAAGCUAGUACUAGAUGUGGCUGCCUUAGCUAAAGCAUGUGCAACCUCAUUUGCUUGCCUCCUAAUAAACUCGACAUGAGAGUUUGUUAAAUUGGUAUUACAGAAUUGGACACUAUUAUCCAUGAUAGAGCCAAACUCGGUGACAUCUCCAUGACCAUUGUUGAAAUAGUCAGCUACUCUUUUAGAGUCAACCUCGAAAUCAACAUUUGAGAGUUGAAGUUCAUGGAUCCACCUAAUCGCAUGGUAUAAUGCAAGAGCCCUCCCCAACAUCCACUGAGCAAACUGGAGUAAACCACAUAGUUUUAGAACGAAAAUGGUUCCCAUCCGAGUCUCAAAUACACAUACCAAGACCCACCUUAUUUGUCUUUACCAACUGAGCUAAGCUCAUGGGGACGAGGACACUAGUUUAACAAGACUCUAUAAAUUAUAGUUUAUUGUUAUUAAUUCUUCUUAUCAGCAAUCAUGCGAAAUUGAUGGAUGUAUGUAUUUGUUUCAUGGGAAAAUAUAGAUAGACAUCCUUUUUUUCAUACCACUCUUGUAUACACCUAAGUGGGAGGUUAUUUUGAUAAUGUGAAACAAAUGAUAAGUAGUUAUUUUGAACCCACAUUGCCACAUGUUGCAUUUAUAUAUGGAGGUUUAAGGGGUGUAUGCCACCUAUGUGUGUCUAUGUAUAAGCACUCUUGUUUCAUUUCAUGCAUGGUUCCAUGUUAUUGGUUUUACCAAACAUGUUUACGAAAAAACCUAAAAUUCCAUAAAAUAAGUGGAGAUGUAAGGGACCAAACCACAUCAAACCAUGUGCCUCACGCAUGCAAGCAAGUGUUCUAUCAUUUGAGGGAGAAAGUCUUACUUAGACACAAUCACAAAUAAAAUUAUUUAGGUAUAUAUAUAACAAUAAAAAAAAUUAAAUGAUAAAUAAAUUAGUCACAUCCUUCAAUAUUAUCAAACCAAUUUUUCUUCAAAAAAAAAAAGGCAUUCAUUGCGAAUGUACCUAAACUUUUUAUAUUUAGGUUUGUCCCUGUGUAAGUAUUUCUCGAUUUGAGGGUAUACAAAUGUUGAUUAAAUAACUAAUAAAUAACAGCUUCAAUCCAAAAGUCAACUAGUUAUUGAGAUAAUUCACACAAAAUGUUACAUCAGUGAUUUAAUAAUAAUAUUCAUCUGCAAUAGAGUCAUUUUCAUCUGUUCAAAGACUCCUAAAUCACAUCCAUAUCAACAUUUCCUCCUUAAACUACUACUCUUAUGCAGGAUUUUUCUGAAAAGUUUCAGAUAGCACAACAACAAGGCCAGCAGCUCCACAUGAUUCUAAAACAAUCUUAAAAAGUUUAAAACACAGUUUCAUUGCUUUGAUGAUUUCAAAGUCUUCCACUGUGAUUAUAUCUUCAACAAGAUCUUGUACAAUAGGCCUGUGUCACAGAAAACUCGACAAAUUAAUCGAAAAAGAGCAAAACACUUUAUUUUAGUUCAUAAUAUACAUGAUUGCUAAGGAUUUGUUUUUACCAUGUGUGGUCUCCGAGAAAUGCUCGAAGCCUGUCUGCUAUAAUAUUUAUCUCAGGCAAUUUUAUUAUCCUCCUUGUUGUCUUAGAUUGCGAUGCAUAUCAUCAGCUCCUUUAUGCUCAGCAACCAAAAUACAAAUAGCCGAGUUAAUAGCUUUGGCAGCUAUUGCUACUCCUGCUAUCAUACCUCCGCCUGCAGUUAACCCCCCAACCAAAUAUUAGAUCACAGAUGGAGCAGAGAUUUUACUGGGUGACAAUCCUCUAAUGUGAUAUUUGUGAUGCAUAUGAUACAUUUUAUUUGACACAACUUCAACAUUUCCAAUCAGAGCACUUUAUAAGUAUACCCUUAUUCAGUAAUACUUAGUAGCCUUAUUAGCUUGAAAAUUUAAAGUAUUCAUUUUUUUUUUUCGCAUAAGUUGAACCAACUAAAGACAUAUGGGAGAAGCUAAAAAAACCAAAUGAUAUGGAAUUGUAAGUGUAAAUUAUUGUUUAAAGAUAAAAUAUAUAUAUACCUGUUAAUCAAGGAAAUCACGGUUAUUAAAGUAGAUAAUUUAUUGCUAAUGAACCAAACAUGUACUUGGUUGUUUGUGUUGGUUUUUUUUGCUUCUGAAGUCAGUAGUAACAGUGCAUAUCUGAAAGAAAAUAAUUUAAAUUUACUUUUGAAACCACUGGCAACAAUAUUGAUUGAAGGAGAGAAUGAUGAAUUUAAAAUGGAGUUGUUUGAUUUGAGAGAUGGAGAAGGAGUUUGAGUCGAUUAGAUUGUAUACAUUGUUGUCUUAUAAAGCAAGAAAAAGAAACCGUGGUUGAGUACUUGAGUUAUGUGUUUUAUUUUUGUCUAGUGUGGUUUAGUUAUUAUAGCAAAGAAAAAGAAAGUGUGGUUGAGUCAUGUGAUUUUUUUUUUGUCCAAUGUGGUUGAAUUAUGUGUGAGAGUGCGAUGCUCUCCAACUCGUGACCAACGUGGAUAUCAUGCAUGAAAAUGAAGGUGAAAGAAUUUUUAAUAAUGCACAAUUGCACAUGGUGUGGGUGAGGUGAUUCUUAUUUACAUUUAAUAAUGCACAUGGGUAAGUACAGAAAUUAACAUAUAUAUGAGGAGACAAUGAUAAAGGAAAUUUUAGUGCUUUUUACCAAAUUGCACAAAGUGAUUUAUUGGUGGGUCGGAUAUUCACUUGUGUGAUUUAUAAAUUCCUAUGUUUGUUACAAAGUUAAAAAAUUAACUUUUGGGAAUUAAAAAUUUCUUGAAAAAUAAUAACUUUCACUUAUCCAUGAUUUUAUUCUCAAAUAAAGUGGAUGAUAAAAUUGAAAUAACUACCCAUAUAUACCCACUAUCACAAAUAAUGCCCAUAAAUCUGACAAUUAUUUACAAAACAUAUUUUUUUAAAAAUACCCAGGAAUAAGAUGCCUAUUAUUAUUUCUUCAGAAAAGUUUAUUCCUAAAAAUAAAAUUUUCAACCGUCAAACAAACACCCCUAACAAAUAAUCAAAAACUGAAUCAAACUCACACCCACAACACAACCAAGUGCACUUAUGUACAACCAUGAAACCAAAUUGCAUAAAAUGAGAUAUACGUAAACAUUUGCGAACUCCAAACCUCAAACCAUCCCUAACAAAUCUGAAUCCAAAUUUUGAAAUUCAAAAAUUGAACUUUUUUUGGUCAAUUAGCCUAGUGGUUAUAUUCACACACAUUAUGUGUAGAGAAAUAGAAAAUUCGAGGUUCGAACCCUGACCCCUGCACAUAAUAUCUCUGGUAGCUACCAACUGAGCUACAUCUACGGGACAAAAAAAAAAAAAAAAAAGUUGAACGCCAACACAAUAACAAAUUCAUGUACUUUAAUGUGUCAUGCUUAAUAGCACUACUCUUGUAAAAAUACUCAUUGUAUAUAAAUUUAUUCUGAGUAAAGUUAUGGUUUUGUUUCUUCUAAGUGAUUCACUUAAAUUACGGUAGAAUAAAAUAUAAUUUAAAUUUAUUUCAAUGACUAUUAAUCAUUUCAUUAAAAUUUAAAUUAAAUUAUUUAAAAAUCCUCUUGAACCCAUUUUCAUAGUGGAAAAUUAUAUAUAAUCAUGUAGCAAUUUUGAAUAAAUGAAAAUUAUCGGGUCUAGUGCAGGUAAUUUUAAAUUCUAAAGUUUUAACAUUAAAGUUAAAGGUUACUUAAAAAAAAACAAAAAUAAAACACUAAAGUUAAAGGUGUCUGGUAUUUUUAAUUUUUGUUUAUCUUAGAAGUUGCUUUAAAACCUAAAAUUGUUUGGUCUAAUUUUUAUAAAAUUUUGAUUUAAUAUAAAUAUAUAUCAUUUCAAUAUAUGUUUAAUCCUUUUUGAAGAAAAUAUAUGUUUAAUCCUUAUUACGCUCGAUGUUAAUACAAAAUUAUUCUUUUAAAAUAUGUCCCCGGUUCAUCCAAAUAAAUUAAUAAAUAUUUUAAAAUACUCAAACAAAAAUGAUUUUAAUUUUAAUACACAGUCAUAUCCUUUAAUAAAAAUAAAAAUGAUGGCACUUCAGUACCUUUAAAAAAACGACACUCCACUUAUUCAUCUUUAAGGUGAAUUUCUUUAGCCGCUAGAUUACUUGACAAAAAAAAAUUAACGACACUCGAAUAAAUAUGCACGGUCACUUCUUAUAUUACAAGCAAUAUUUUUUUGAAAGGACUUUUUUUUUUUACAAAAGAAAAAUCAACUCAUUUAAUUAAUAAUAAUGGUCUAAAUACAAGAUAGCAUGAUGAUGAAUUUGAGAACUAACAUAAGAUAAUGACGCUCUAGCUAACAAAUGAGCAACAUUAUUUGGUUGUCACCUAAUGAAAAAAUAUCUUAAAGUUUUGGUUAAUUCUCAAUGAAGCUUUGCAAAUCUCUAGAAUAGAGCCGAACAAGGAAUAUGUGCUAAGUCCUAGCUUUUAUGUGUGCCUUCCUCUAAGACACAUACCAAUGCCAUAACAACCUUCCUCCUUGAAAAUUGUCGUGCCAAUAAUGCACUUUACCUCCCCCUCUGCCAGUUUCCUCCAUUUACUUUGUUCAUGACGAGAAGUCCCGCUGUUAUUUAGCUCUUCUCCUUCGCCGUGGCCCUCCUUUGCGCAAGCUGGCUACCAUUGCAAUAGGGUUAUGCGUGCCAUAUGGGCAGACAUACGAGGGCUAGUGUCAAUAUCGUUCUAGAGCUUGUCGUUUCUUCACUUCCAUAUAUAGCAUAAAGUCGUGAUAAAAGUGAGAAAUUGUUGAGGUAGUUGUUCGAGUAGCUGGAAAAAUAGAGAUACAAAACCAUCUGUAAUUUCAAAAUUCUCCUUGAUGAUGUGCCAAAGAUUUGCUGCUUUCCAUACUGCUUCCAAUUCAUCACAGCCAAAGAAAACAUAUCAAUCAUUUUCGUACGACCUCUCACACAUCCCACAUCGAUCGCUACAUUGAACGCCUCUUGUUUUCAAACAGUGUCGUGUUUAUAAAAUUGAACGAUACGAUCAUAACCUUAUUUUUACAGAAGAUCAAAGCAAAGAUUUCAUGAUGGGUAAUAAAAAAAAUGAUACGAUCAUUUUGUAAUAUUAAUUUGUUGAUAAAAAGGAUGUGUUAAAUUGAAGAAAAAAAAAACAAAAGAAUUGAUAAAUGUGCACCGUUCUAAUGAAUAGAGUUUAUUGGUUUUAAACCAAAUAUAUUGAGAGAAAGCAAAUAUGAAUUUUCCAGAUGAGAGUCGAAGAGUACUCAUAAGCCAAAAAGCUUCGUAUCUAUCAAAAUAAGUAAGUAUAUUGACUCAUCAUGUAAUGAUAUAUAUAUAUAUAUAUAUAUAUAUAUAUAUAUAUGAAUACAUGCAAAGAAAGAUAUAUAAUAUAUCAUUUUUUGGAUUAUCCUAACACCUUGUGCUCGGCUGCCAAUAAUUAGGAGAACAUAUGUACGGACCUGGAUCCUCUGCUGCCUUAUUGUCUCCUGCCAUCUCUCCUGCACAGAUCCAACGGCUGAGAGAAAAGGAAAAUAAAAGCGGUGACAUCACAGGAAAGAGAAACGGAUGGGUAAAUCAAUUUUUUUUUCUAUCAUCUCUCCUGCCUUAUUCUCUUGUUGUUGUUGCUGUGAGAUUUCUUUAUCGCAUCAUCUCUUUGUCAAAAUCAUUGUUAGAAAGCAUAAUCAAUCCCAAUUUCACCUACCAUGGAGGAAUUAACAACUGGGUUUUAGCAGGAUUGUAUUUUUUUCUUUUAAAAUUAUUUAAUUUUGAAUAGAAAAGCAUAACAUCCAAAAUAACAAUUCACCAUUUUUGCAUUUGAAAAGCCAUUGAAAGAGGGGAAUCAUGAUUUCACCUAUGCCCAACUUGUUUCUCAUCUAUUGUUCUUUUCCUUUACUAUUUUUGUUGAUAGAAAAAAGGGUUCAGAUGUUGUUUUGAUGUUUUGUCUGAAAGUGGUAAAGAUUGAUUCAAUUAAUUUGUAUUUUGGGUUACUAAAAUCAACACUCUCACUGUAAAAAAAUCCCAAGAGAAAAACGACAUCAAUGAAGAAGAAAACCCAGAAAAAUGAAGAAAUGUGAUAUUUUCUCUCUCCUUUAAUUAUGUCAUUUUUUUCUAUUUAAUCAAAAAAAUACAUUGGAUUAAUCCAACGGCUCAGGAUUGCGCAGGAGGGGCUGCAGAUAAUAGAAGGCAGGAGAGGAUCAAGAUCCAAAUAUUUCAUGUUGUAAAAGAAAUAUAUAUCUUGAAAUAUAUCAUGUUGUAAAUAAAUCCAACAUUUAUUUUAACUGAACUGUUCAUCUUCAAGAUAGAAAAAAAAAAACGUAAUGAUAUGGCUUGAUUUCUUCUUUUCUUUGAUGACAUUAAAUCAAUGGUAUUUGAUUGCAACAACCAACAAUAUAAAAAAUAAGAAAAGCAUAAGUCGAUUGGUCAGUAGACAGAAAUCUGAUGCUUGCAUAUAGGGGCGGUUUUACCUGCCGGCGGUCCUGGGCAUAUGCCCGGGUUCAACCGAUACUUUUUUCUAUCACUACAAGAAAUUUGAUUUAUAAUGACGGCCAAAAUCUGUUACUAAGAGGCAAAUUUCCGUAAGAAAAAUCCAUCACACUGCAUGUUUUCCACUUUUACCUAAGGACAAAACCGUAGGUAAUUUCUAAGGAGACCAUUUUAAAAACAUUAUGGACCUCUACCUACGGUUACGACUGUCACUAAAACUUAUCAUUGUUAUAUUUGUAUUUUUUAUAUUUUCUAUUCUAUUAUAAAUUCUAAAAAUAUAUAAUUCAUAAAAUUACCACUAAAAUUAGUUUAAUCAAUAUAAUAAAAUAUUAUAACCAAUAUUAUUGGAAUUUGAAAUAGAUUGCUAUAAUUAAUUUUUAGAAUAAAUUUUUAAAGUAACUUAACUAGAAUAAUUCUCACUAACUAUGAACUAUUAUACGAUUUAUGCAAACCAAUACUCAAUACUCACAAAAAUCAAAAUUUAUAUAUACUCCAUUGCUCUUUCAAUUUAUGGUAACCAAAUUUGAAUCACUAUUCAUAAUAGCUUAUUAGACAAAAUAACUUACAAUAACUUCUACAAUCACUUCAUACCUAAAAAGAAUUGUAAUCACUUCUACACCAGGGCUAAUAAAUCAGAUUUUAACUUUAAUUUGUGGAUCUUCAACAAUAGCGGGUGCACAAAGGGGAUUCUCCUCCAUGGCCGUUUAACAUUGCACAAGGGGGAUUCUCCUCUAACUACAUAGGCUCUGAAAUCUAAGCUCAACAAUCUCUGGCCUCGAUUGAGAAAUUGGAGCUUGAUUCCACUUGGUAAGGGUUUUUUCGAAUUCCAUUUCAAUUCUAUUGAAGACUUGAACCAUAUUUGGGCUCUUGGUGUAGUUAACUUGAAAUCUGAAUUUUUGAGAUUCUAUGGUUGGACAAAAGAUUUUGUUCCCAAAGCACAAGCACAAACACAUGCUCAGGUUUGGGUCAGGUUGAUGCAAUUGCCACAAGAAUACUAGUGCAUGCAAAUUCUGUUUGAGAUUGCUUCUGGUCUGGGAACACCUCUCACCAUUUGAUGAGGCAACUCAACAUAAGCGCUUUGGCCUCUUUGCUAGAAUUCUGAUUGAUGUCAAUAUGGCUGAGAAAUUAUUUGAAUCUAUCAUUGUUGAAAGAGAAGGUCAUGCUUUGACCAUAAAGGUUCAAUAUGAAAAACACCCUUUGUUCUGUGCCCACUACAAAACUAUAGGCCAUAGCGUUCAAUCAUGCUCCAAAAUGAAUGCAGAUACCAGUGUCCUGAAGCAAGUUAACAAGGUUUUUCACAAAUUCAGGCCAAAAAAGUUACUCGAUUGCCCGUUAACAAAGUGGCCGAUGCAACUGGUGUUGAUUAGGUACCAACACCUGUCUAUAAGACUGCAAACACACCUGCUAACAUUGAUUUCAAUGAAAACACUUUGGAUCCAGCUUUUGACGAAGGGGACUGUUCAGUUCAAGAUGUGAAUGAAACUGGAGUUCACAACAUAGAACAUCUUACUACUGUUCAUCACAAGCCUAAUGGAGAUAAUCUCAAACUGCACAACUCCUUUGAGUUGUUGGAAUCUGGUCCUGAGCAGGUGGAGCAUGUCAUAGGGCAAGCUCUAUCAGGGAAGGUUGCCUUGACUCAUAGCACAAACUUAGAGCACCCUUGUAACUUGGUAAAAGAGAACUUUCAACAUGCUGCUUUAAGCUCAAACAACUCUAUAGAACAAACUAGGACCAUUGGGAGGGAGGGCAUUCCCCAAAGUUACUUCUGUGUCACCUGGUUUUGCUAAGGGCCCUAUAUUUGAUGAAUCUUCCUUAUUGCAGCCCAUCAUUGUUCCCAUUACUACCAAUGAUGAAUUAUUGAGGCCAGACAAAAGUAAAGUGUAAGUACUUGCUGGCCCUAGAAAUCUAAAUGUUGCAUGUUUAAAAGAUGGCAAAACUUUGAGCAAUUUUUGGGGAGAUGAAGAUACAUAUACUACUGCUGUUGACCAUGACACAGACAAUGAAACUCAUAAAAUCACCUCUAAUUUUCCACAGUCUGACAUUUACCUGGUAUCUCCUACUGACAAGGUCAAGAAAAACCAAAAAGGGGCAGGACUAAGAAACAAAAGAGCCCUAAAACUGCAACUGAUGUCCCUGCACAACAUCACAACUUUCCUGAGCAUGGUAAAGACAUUGUUAAUACCAGAUUCCAUAUUAGUACUAGAGGUCGGAAAAUGAGUGCAUUCAAACCCGUGCUAAGAGUGGCAUAUCUAAAGUAUAUAAAACAUGAUGUGUAUGCAUUGGUUUAGGCUUUCGUUUUGUUCUCUAUUGCUUUGCUUCUUUGUGUUUGUGUCAUUUCAAUGUAACCUCAGUAGCAGGGUGUGUUUUUCAUCUUAUGCCUCCUUAGAAGUGGUUUAAGGUUACUAAGGAAGUGACUUUGCUUUACUGUUCUUUUUUUUGUCGAAUUGGGUAUUGGCUUAGUCCCCCCCAAUUUUGUACUGUUCCCUUUUUUCUUUUAUUGAAUUUUUCUAGCUUUAUAAAAAAGAAAAUAAUAAUAAUAGCGGGUGCACCAAAGUUAUUACCACAUCAACAAAGGAAGUCUCGGAGAGAGUAUUUACCUCGUAAUUUUAUUUAGCACACUAUUGGUAGGUUAUGUUUCAUCUCUCUUAUUUCAAUUUGUACUUUUAUUGACAAAAUGACGAGUUUAUUUGAUUUCGAUUUAUGACUAUUUAUAUACAAUGUAACAUGUGAAUUUGCGGUCAAAAUUUUGCCCAGACUAUAUAAAAUUCCUGGCUCCGCCGCAAGUUGCAUAUAUAGCUUAUAUUUAUUUUUUCUCUUUCAAUUUCUUUCCUAAAAAAAAGUAUGCGUGAUUGAAAACAAAAAACUUGAAAUUUCCCAUCUAUAUAUAAUUUAAUUCUAUUGAUUUUUUAAAACAAAUUAGGAUUUUUUCCAAAAUUUUUUGUUGUUGUUUUAUGACAAGUAUUCUGGAUUUUACACUUUGGUCAAAAACAUUAGAAAAUAAACAAAUAUUUUUUAUUUGAAAUAUUAUUUUAAUAUUGUAUUAUAAUAUCUACUCAUUUGAAGUAUGAGUUUUAAAUGUAUAUAUAUUUUGUUUGACAUAAGUUAUUUAUAAAUAUUAAUAAGUAUUAUUAUAUUUAACACUAGUAUCAUUGUUUAUUAAUUUAUAGCAUAUAAUAUUAUUUACUUUUUUGAAUAAUAUAAUGUAUAAUAUAUUGAUUACUCAUUUUUUUUUCAAAUAAAUAUAAGACUUAAUUACAAAUUUAAUUCCUCUUUUUUAACCCUGGUGCAAUUGGUCCCUUCAUCUAAAAACCCACCAAAUUUAGUCCUUCAAUCAAAGUUUUGGACUAAAAAGUUGUGAUGUGAUAUGGAAUGACCAACACCCAUUAAAUUAUAAGAAAAUAGUUUAAAAAACUUAAGUUUCAACUUUUAUGUCGAUGCUUCCCCUUGAUGUCUGUCAUUUCUCCUGAUUUAGCGGAAAAAAACUUUUACAAUGUAAAUAAUAACAUGUACAAAUUUAAUUUGUAUAAAUGGUUAUGCAUCACCGGAUUGUAUAUUACGUCAUGGGAAACUUAUUAUAUCGUAAUAUUUUAACCUAAAAAUUUGAGUAAGGGAUCAAAACUGAUAGAUUUUAAAAUAGGGGAUCAAUCCUAUGAGAAAAUUAAAAUAAAAGGGAUAAAAAAUGUAACAAAGUUUAAAUAUAAAACUUUAAAUCAAAUAUUGAUAUACUAAUGAUAAUCAUUAUAAGUGGUUAGUAUUAUUUUUAAGAUAUAUCCAUUGUUUUAAUAAUGUGAAAAUGAAAUAAUUUAAUCAACUGUAAAUUUAGUAAACAUUAUAAUUUCAUACCAUAAAGGUCAUAUUCUUUAGAAUAUUGGGAUUGAAAAAAUGUAACGCAGUCAAGCACGCACAUAGAGAGAAAAAUAGAGCACACUUUAUUUCACACCUCUCAUACACAUCACUCACGCUCCUCUCGUUUUUCUUACAUAAAAAUAAUUUGACUUUACAUUUUAUUAUUUUAACAAUGAUGGUCAAAACAAUACUUUUCUUCUAGAACUAAAAAUUUAAGCUUAAAAGCUCUUAAACUUUUCUCAUUAACCAUAACCAAAACAAUCAAAUCUUUAUCUCUUUCUCAAUGGAGGAAGACAUGGCACCUUGGUUGAAACCUCAAAUCGAAGAAGAGUGGUACAUGAACAGUAUACCGCCUCAUACUGAAGAACUUAUCCCAAAUCUUCAAAACCACACUCAACAACAAAACAAUGUCGGUCCUUCAGAUCCAAACACUUCUGUUUUUAAGCACCAUUUAGGUUCCUCGUUUUCUUUGCCAUCACCUAAAUCCAAUUUCUCAAAUCUACUAAAUAUUAAUGACAACAUCAAUAUAAAUGGCUCCACCACCAACAACAAAAAUGACAACAACAACCCAUUCGGUAGUGUCUUCAAUUUAGAAUCCCAAGGUUUUUCUCAAACUCCAUUGUCAAUUCCGCGAUUAACCUUGACAUGGUUGAACGGAUUUGAGAAGAAGAUGAGAAAAGAUGAAAAUGGAGAGGUUGAGAAAGGAUUGAAUUACAACUCUAAUGAGAGCGUUGAUGCUGGGAAGAUGAGGAACCACGAGAAAAAUGCGGACAAUAAUUAUAACUCAAACACCAUCAUAGAUAAUUUUGAUGAUGAAAAUUGUGUUAGUGAGGGUGACCGAAAAGGGAAGAAGAAGGAAAAUCCAUCAAAGAGUCUCAUCGCUGAGAGGAAGCGAAGGAAGAAACUCAAGAAUAAUAUGCACAAGCUUCGUUCUGUUGUGCCAAAGAUUAGCAAGGUAUCGUAUUCAUAACUCAUGUAUCCAUUCUUUUUUUUUUUUUUUUGUCGUGCUAACGCCUCCAUUCAUCACGAUCAACAUCAUAUGAUAAUUCAUGCAUAUUUAUUCAUAUGUAAAAACAAAAUGAAAUUAUUUAUCAUGCCUAUAAUUUAAGCACAUAAAACAUUUUCCAUUCAAAUCCAAAUAUAAUUUAUGUAUAUUUAUUCAUAUGUGUAUGUAAUUUUUUUUUAUCUGGAGAAAUAAUAACUAAUACAUCUUUUGCUUCUUUACUCCCCAUUUUUCAAACUAAUAUUUGAAGCAAUCUCUUAAAGACUGGUGCUAGUCACAACCCCAAAAAAAAUAAGUUACACCCGAAUUUAUUUAAAUUUUACAAUAAUACUAAAAUUGCCCUCUUCAUGUAAAUUUUUAAAAACCCAUCUUUUAUGAUCAUUCUGAACCCUUACCCCCUUUUAUCCACAAAUCACCAUAGAUGUGCAACCAAUAUCUGAAUCAACAUCUUUGUUAUUGAUCUGUACUAUAUUCAUAAAGGUUAGUGAAUUUCAUGAAUUUUAUUUUCGAUGAGUUUCUAUUUGUUUAUUGUUUGUUUUGGUAUGAGAUAUGUUCAAUUUAGGUUAGUGUAAAUUAAGUUUACUUAUGUUCAAUUUAGGUUAAUGUAAAUUUAGUUUACUUAUGUCAAUGUAAAUUAAGUUUACUUAUGUUCAAUUUAGGUUAAUGUAAAUUUAGUUUACUUAUGUUCAAUCUAGGUUAAUGUAAAUUAAAUUUACUUAUGUUCAAUCUAGGUUAAUGUAAAUUCAGUUUAGUUACGUUCAGUUCAAUCUAGGUUAAUGUAAAUUUAGUUUACUUAUGUUCAAUCUAGGUUAAUGUAAAUUCAGUUUACUUACUUUCAAUCUAGGUUAAUGUAAAUUAAGUUUACUUAUGUUCAAUCUAUGUUAAUGUAAAUUCAGUUUACUUAUGUUCAAUUUAGGGGUAUAUUAGUCAUUCUGGAGUGUAACUUGUUUUUUUUGGGGUGUGACUAGCACCAGUCUCUCUUAAAUUAUGUUAGGUAUUUCUAUAAUGUGAAAUGAAAAAACAUUUAUGAUUUAAGAACAUGAUUUUUGUUUUUACUUAUUUCUAUAUGAGAAUUUUAUCACUCUAAAAUUUAACGCGUGUUUUUAGUUGGUCUUACUACAUAGGUUAUUAACAAUAUUUUGUCCCUUAAUUUGUGUAUGAGAUAAUAAGUUUAUGUUUUUAUAAUAAGAAAUGUUAGUAUUUAGUUGUAAGACUAAUAUUUACUAUUUUUCCCUUGUUUAAACCCACAACCUCUUAAUCCUUUUUUCUUAACUCAAACAAUUUGUGUUAUCCAACACUCCUUAAUACAAAUUUAUGUAUUUCAUUUCUUUUACAGAUGGAUAAAGUUUCAAUACUUGGGGAUGCUGUUGACUACUUGAAGGAGUUAAAACAACAAAUUAAUGAUCUUCAAAGUGAGAUAAAAUCAAGCUCUCAUAAAUCAUUUAUGCCAUUGCCUAUGACAUCUACCAUGUCAACCCUUCCGGUUCAACUUAAAGAACAAUUAUUUCAAAACAAUGUAUCAAGCCUUAAAAACCAACCAGCAAAGGUAUUUAUUUACUUUAAAACAAAAUUCUUAUUCCUAAAAAGGAUAAAACAGUUUAAACGAAGGGUAAAAAUGAAAGAAAAAACCACCCAAAAAUAUUUAUUCACUUUAUAUAUAGGUAUAAAAUAGAUAUGUAAGUGUAGAUAAUAAUAUGAUUGAUUUGCAGGUAGAGGUUAGGGUAAAGGAAGGGGGGAUUGUCAACAUACAUAUAACUUGUGCUUCCAAACCAGGUGUUUUGGUCUCGACUAUGAUGGCAUUAGAUAGCCUUGGAUUGGAUGUUCAUCAGGCUAACAUAAGUUGUUUUAAUGAUUUUUCUCUAGAUGUGUUCAAAGUUGAGGUAUACAUUUAUAUAUUUUUCACUGCCAUACUUUAUAGAAAAUUAUCUUAUUUAAUUACCCUGUCAUUUAUUUUAUAAUUUCUAUUAAUUAUUAUUUUAAAAUUAAUUUUAGAUGCCAAUAUGUGAUCAUGGUAAAAAUGUAAUGAAUGUUGUAUGAUAUAUACUAACUUGAUUUUUUAAAGCAUACCGACGAUUAUUUAGUUCAGAGUUGCACUUACAUUUAUGUUUUUUUGCAAUAAUUUGUCAAGUUAAGUGAUCCUAUGGUGAGUGUAAGUUCAAGAUUUAUUCUUGUCUUUCAUUUUCAUUAUCUUUUAUGAAUGGAUGUUAAAGCCUUUUACUUUUACAAUAAAAUUUAUCUUUUAAAUGAGAAAAAAUAUCAAUUUUAAUGAGAUGAUAUUUUCAUAAUACUUUUUUAUAUUGAUUUUGGCUUUUCUUGUUUCUUUUCAGCAACACAAUAAAGACCAGGAGUUGGCCCCCGGGAAAAUAAAAGCGGUAUUGUUGAAGGCAUUAGAUUCCCAUUAAAUGGUGUGAUUUAAGUUAUAGACAAAUUAUAUCUUUCCAAAUACAUUAGUUGCCUCUGUUGUAGCAUGAGGUUUCUAAAUGCUUUUACUUCUCAUUAUUUUGUAUUGAAAGUUAUUAUGCCCAAACCAAUAUCAAACUAGUAUUAAGUUUAUGGUUUUGUAUUUUCUGUUUUAAUUUGAACACAUCAUACUUUUAUUACUUUGAAGUCAUGAAAUAAAUUGUCAUUUGUCUUGAUAAGUUGUGCUAAUUUUUGUUUCUUAAUUGGUCUCAUCAUUGGAAAAAAUAAAUAAAUCAAAGUUCAUAAACUUGAGGUGGUAUGGUAAAAUAGCUUGAAUUGAUUAUUCACGUUGAAGUUACUUCUAUUGUUUUUUAUGAGAGAAAUAACUUAUUGGCCUCUUUAAAUCUAUUUGUGUUUUAAGAAAUGUCUUUCUCCCAACAACACAUGAAAACAUUCAAAUUUUUGUUAUUUGAUAUUUUUUUUUUUGCCAAUUUUAUGCAAUCUUGUAUGAAUUCUUUACUAGUUCACAGAAAAAUGCUCUAUGGAAACGUGAUUAAAUUUCACACUUUUGUUUUCAAUUUUUUUUUACAUUCUAUCCAAUCUUAUAGAAAAUCUUUGCUGGUAAGAGAUAAGAAUCAUUUAGGUAGAGGAGGAUAAUGAAUUGAUCUAAAUUAAAUUAAAGUACUUGAAAUUAAAGAUAGUUGAUCCCCGAUAUAAUCAAAAUAAUAGUAAUAUGUUUUUUAACCAAAAAAGAGAGGAGCAGCAAAGUGCUGCAACCACAAAAUAUAUUCAAGAUAAAGAGAAUAACAAAGGAGAGGGACAUAAAACCAAGCCUUGUAAAAAUUGAUAAACCUAAAGUUAGGCAUACCUAGUCUAUUCUUAACAUAAUAUUCUCUAAGAAACUGAGGCAAACCCUGGUAGAAGUCAAACCCUAGGAAGCCAAGAUAUCAGCACACUGGUUCCCCUCUCCGUAGAUGUUUGUAACUAUGAAAUUCAAGCUAUCUAUUAAAACUUUGCAAUUUUUCCACUUGUUUUCUUAAGAUGCAAGGAAUAAGAGACACAGAUUUGAAGGCAAUGACCACCAGAGCUGAAUCAGUUUCAAUUCAUAGAUUCCUCCAAUUCCUCUCAUGUGUCAACUCAAUAGCUCUAAGUACUCAUGGUAGUUUAACAUGGAAUGCAGUCCCCCACCAAUAUUCUCAGCAAAUUUCAUUUUGAAGAUUGCAUCACUAUCUCUGAAAAUGCUCCCACAAGAAGAAUUUGUGGGAUUAGAAGCUCCAUCAAUAUUACAUUUCCUCCAAUUAUGAUAGGGAGGUUUCCAUAUAAUCUCUUUGAUGAUUGGUGCCUUUGGAGCAUGAAUGUUGACACUGGAUUUUUUAAGGAUGAUCAGGUCCCUGACAAAAGAAUUGAAAGUUUCAGUGUGCACAUAACAAAGGGAGUACAUAGAUGGAAUGUUGCAACCCAUUUCCAUGAGUUUUUCAUCGAUGAGUACUUUAUCAUGCAUUAAUCUCCAAGCUAGAAGAGAUUUUUAUGGGGGUAUAUCCUUACACCAAAUUGUUGAUGCCCAGUGUUUUUUUAUAGCAAGGCGUUUCUUGAAAUAUUGGGUAUCUUUGAGGUUUAGCUGACCAUUUGAAACAUGCUUCCAAACUAGCUGAUCUUCUGUGUCUUCAACAUGUAUGAUAACUUGAAUCACAAGUAACCUCAGCUGUGGGUAUUGCGAUAAUAAAUCAUGGGGAAUAUUCAAAUGGUUUAUUUAAGAUAUAGUCACUAACAAGCUGUGGUAGGUGGUGUAUGUCAUUCACAUUGAGAUUUAGACCUACCUCCAAAGGGUGCCCACACCAAUAGUCUUGCCAUAAUAUGAUAUAUUUCCCAUUUCCAAUGAGCCAUGUUGAAUUCUCCACAAUCACCAUAUAUUAUAGUUUCAGAUUGAAGGCUUCAUUCAAACAAAUCAAAGAUUGUAUCCCCAGGCCCCCCUUCUUCAUAGAAGUUGCGAAUCUUCUUCCAUGCCAGAAUUACCAACUUCCUUUUUGAUGUGUCUCCACUCCGAAUAAAGUAGAUGAUGCAUUUUCCAUGCCCUUCAAGAGAGAAAUAAGCCAUGAAUAAAUAGAUAAUGUAUGAGCUAGCAUUCUAGUAACCACAGACUUUGGCACUUGUACUCUUCCUGCAAUUGAAAGCAAUGAUGCCUUCCAAGCCGAUAGUUACUCUGCUAUUGGUUGAACAUGGCAAGCUUUUGGUAUUCCUUUAAAAAUUGGCUCCCCCAAAUAGUUAAGUGGUAAAGAGUCAAUAUAGAAUCCUAGUAAGUUGAUGAUAUUUUGGAGUCUUGUUGGUGAGAUUCCUCCUGCAUAAAUAGUUGACUUCAUGCUAUUUAUCACUUAACCAACACUAUUAGCAUACUUUGUAAAUAAAUCUCACAAAGCUUCUAGGCUCUCAAAGUUCCCCUUGAAAUAAUGGGAUGGAAAUUGGCUGUUUUUAGAUCCUGUAAUUUGCUUCACCUUUCCAUCAUCCACCAACUUUGUUAUCCCUAUGCUAAGAGCUUCUUCUGCCAAACAAAGAAAAAGGGAUCCAAGGGGUCUCUCUGCCUGAUACCCCUUGAACAAGAAAAAUAUCCUUGUUGUACUCCAUUUAGGGUUAUUGAUAAAGUAGAUGAAGAUAAGAUUGAUGUCAUCCAAUUGCAGAAAGUACUAUUAAAACCAAACCAAUCUAGAACUUUUAACAAAAAUUUCCAAUCUAUAACUUUUAACAAAAGUUUCCAAUCUAGAACUAUUCAAAAGCUUUGGUAAUGACAAUUUUCAGAACUAUGUUCCCUGCAUAAGUCUUCUUAUGAAGAUGGUUUAUGGCUUCUGAAGCUAAACAAAAUCAGUCUUUUAUAUCUCUUCCCUGAAUAAAGCCUUUUUGAUUCUUAGGGACAGGAGAUGUUAAGGUAUGUGCUAACCUGUCAUCAUGUAUUUUUUAUAUCACUUUGAAUUUGAAGUUGGUCAUUGAAAUAGGCAUGUAUUUCUCUACAGUAUCUGCAUUAUUUGAUUUUGGAAUGAGGAUCAAUGUAUUGGCAUUAUAGUUUGUAAAGAUCCAUUCAGAAAUAAAGAAUUGUAAGAUACCAUCAACGACUUCUUUGUGUACUAUAAGUUUGAUAGAAGAAUGCUCGAAAUCCAUCUAGACUAGGGGCACUUUCUUUAUUCAAACUAAACACAUCAUUUUUUAUUUUAGAAAUAUCUUGAAGAUCACUGAUAAUUUUGGUUAUUUUGUGGAAAAAUGCAGUGAUGACAAACUUGAUUUUUCAUGCCAAAAACACUCCUGUCCUUCUAAAGCUUUGUCUAAUCCACACUUAGCCAUUUUCUCAUGGUUUAGUAAAGAGUCCUAGGGGUUGGUCGUUUGGAUUUGGUUUUGGAUAUGAUGAAGGGUUUGUUCAUCUUCUCUGAGAUAUUGAUGCACAUUCCCAAACACAUUCUUGUUCCAAAUUUUCAAUCUAUCUUUUAACAGUUUCCGCUUCUUUGUGAGGAUAUAAAUUGGGCAACAUACUACUCUAGUUUGCCAACAAGAAAAAAUGAAUUCUUAGCGGCAGAUCAUAAUCAUUUGUCCAGAUUUGAAAGUCAUUCAUAUGAGUUCUAGAGGGAGAAUGGGUGCCCUGAUGUUCACAGCUCCUAAGUAUAGUGCUUAAGUCACCAAAAAAGUUCCAUGGAAGGUUAAAUUGAGUCAACAUAUUACCUAGUGUUUCCCACAGACGCCUUCUCUUCAAGUAACAAGUUGAUGCAUAGACUGCAACCAUUGCAAACUCCUUACCAUUAUCAAUCAAAGAAAAAGAAACAUGUUGGUCAUCAAUAAGUAUUAUCUUAGGGUUAAGGUGAGUUAAACAAAAUCUUCUUAAAAACAAUUUGAAGUUCAAUCUAGCAAACAUGUUUCUUGUUAAAUCUUCUAUUUUCAUCUAAGGUUCAGCAAUGAGGACAAUACCAGGUUUAUCAUUUAGAAUAAGAUUCUUGAGUGCCAAUCUUUUAGGGUGAUUAGCUAAGCCUAUCAAGUUCUAGUACAUGCACUUCAUCUGAAAGGAUUGGGGUUUACAACCUUUGAUAUGGUAGCAUAAAGAUUUUUUGGUGUAUUUUUUUGUGUAUUUUUUGGUUUUUGAGACUUGUUCUUUAAUUUGUGAGACACCUGCUUGAAUGAUGGCUUAUCGAAACUUUGUGGUUGAUCUUUAACUGGUUGAUCUUUAAUCGGUUCCUUCUCGAAAUUCUCUAGCAACCUGGCUUCAGCUUCUUCAUUCUCAACAUUGUUACCCCCAAGACUUCUUCAAAAAUUCUGAAUUCCUCCUGACUUUAUCUUCCGAGGUCUCCUGUUGAACUUCCUCUUCCUCACCAGCAAUAUUAUUCAAAUCUCCAAUUUGUGUUGCAUCCACAAAUUUAGUGUUUUGAGAGGAAGUGUCUUCUACAUUGUGUUGUUGCCCUAAAUCAUUUCCACUAUCCUCCACGUCUUGUACCUCGAACGCACUAAACCUGUUAAGGUUCUCCACUAACUCUAUUUCUUGCAAAAUAGGAUAUUGACCUUUCCUCUAAGAAGAAUUUGCUUCUCUUCAGUGCCUCAUCUAUCUCCCUUUGCAACAACUUAUCUGGAGUUUCUAUUGUGUUUUCAACAUAGUCCCUGAUGCAAACACAAUGAAUAAUAUGGUUUUGGCAAUAGGUAAAGUAGAUAAACCUCACAAAAGAAAUUACAAUAAAUGUCCGUUAAGCAUUAACUACACUUCCUGAUAUGAUCUUUUGCCAUGACAUGACAUGCACAGGGAAUUGAAACCAACAAAUGCAAAUAUUAAGGAGUGGUCUUUUUACAUCAUCCUAAAUUUCAAUGUUUAUUAAAAGCUCACACACAUUUCUUGACUCUCUUACAUUGGCAAGUUAGACAUCACCUUAUUAGUGUGGAUAGUGUUUUGGGAUCUCCAUGUAGUUUCGAGUGGGACCAAUAUCUUUUGAUAUGAAAAGUUGGGUUUUAUGGCCUAUUUUACAGGACCAUAGUAAAAGGCCUUCAUAGUUCAUAUCUAUAAUGAUUUUAUCAUCUAAUUUUAAGGAGGUGUUUUUUGCAUCUUUAGUUUUUUUUUUUUAUCAUACGUCCCCUCCACAAAUAAUAUUUUUUCUACGAUGAGAAAUGAUAUUUGUACAAUUAUAUUUUGACAACUUUCUCUUUCAUAUUCACAUUAUGUUUUGAGAAAUGAUAUUUGAACAAUCAUUUUGUGACAAUUUUAUCUCUCAUACUCACAUUGUGUUUUUAUUUUCUCUAUCUAUUGUUUUGGUUUUUGUGUCAACACUCAUAUAUCUUUGUAUAUUUAGGUUGUCCCACAAGUUGUCAACAAAAAUGAUUGUUCAAAUAACACUCCUCUUAUUGUUUUUACUUUAUCUCUCUAUUACUUUGGUUUUUGUGUCAAUACCACAUUUUCUUUUUGUAAAUCUAUGAUUGUAUCAAAAGUUGUUAUACAAAUGAAUGUUCAAACAACACAACUCUUCUACAAUACUUUGAUCAUUUCCAUAUAUUAAAGUUUGGUUGGAUAUCAGUAUAUCAUAUAACCAUUUACUAUUAUUUCAUUUUUCAUAUUUAAUUAUUAUAAUAAAUUUAAAUUUUAAAUUAGUUUUAUCUACAAGGCAUCAUUAUUCAACUAAUUUAAAUUUUAAAUUAGUUUUAUCUACAAGGCAUCAUUAUUCAACUAAACUCCAGAGUAUUAAAGAAUUCUCCGUAAUAUUUUUUUAAAAUAUUUUUUUAAAAUAUUUUUUUAAUAAUUUGACUACAUCUCUUCGGAAAAAAAAAAAUUAUUUACAUUUUUAAAAGAAAUUGAUUUUGGAAUUAUGUAUAGUACUAUAUAUUUUAAACAAAUUCAUACAUGUUUUUAGAAUUUAUAAUUAUAGAAAUACAAUUUUAGAUGUUAUUUGUAUUUCAUUUACUACACAAAAAUACACUUCUCAUAAUGUUUUAUUAUGCUUCCAAAUGUAUAUUUAUGCAUGUUCUAGUCUAACAAAUUUAAUUUCAAAAUGAGGCAAGAAGUACCUCUUGGAAUCCAAUUUUCAAAAGGUGUUAGGACUUCAAGAAUAUAUCAUGUAGACAAAAUAUAUGUUAUGUCAUGUCAUUUAUAAUCAAAAUCAUAAUACAAUUGACAUUUUCACCAAUAUUUUAAAAGCUUCCAAAGUGAAUUGUAAUCAUAGAAGAGCUCUUUUAAUCAUUGAAGUUUUGUAGCACCCUCCAAUCCUAAAUUGAGUGAAAUGCAACACAGCUUGUGCAGGAAUAUUUAGAAACAUAAGAGGUGAAAACAUUGGUUGCUUUACUUUCAACAUUGGAAUUGCUAAUGCAGUGUAUGCUGAGAUUUUUGGAAUCAUUCUAGCUGUGAAGUUUGCAUCUGAGAGAAACUGGAAUAAUUUGUGGAUUGAGACUGACUCUAGAUUAGCUACCUUGGCUAUCAAGUCAUCUCAUAUAGUUCCCUGGCAGCUAAAAUAGGGGUCAAUUUGUAAAAAAAAAUUAAAUUAUUGGGGUCAUUUUGGAGAUUUGGAAACAUGUGAGGACCAAAAUGCAAAAAUUGAAACAAUUAUAAGAAUGAAGAAAUUUGAAAUUCUAAGCUUUUAUGUGUCAUUUUAAAUUCUUUAUAGGUUUAAAUUCUCCAAGACUAUUAGUAUAACACCAUUGUACAAAAAUAUCACAAGGACAAUGAACACUAAUUGGGCUAAUUUAGUACACAAGUAGGAAAUUUAAAACCAUGAUGGGAGUAAGCAAACCGGUACUAUUAGCAUUUUCACCAUGACAACUUAUGGAUACAGUAAAUAAACUGAAGGUGUAAUAUAACAAAUAUCACAGGACUAAUAGGACCAUUCUAUAGAAAUUAGAUACAAACAGAAUCAUUGUAUGGAUCACCAAGCAUAAUUAAGUAUUUCAUUUCGGAAUUAGGAAGCAACCCAUCGGCCAUUUUUUUGCGCUGUAUUUUUCCGGUAUUUUAUUGUAAAACUGACUUGUAUUGACGGAAAAAAUGUUUCCAAAAAGCAUAAUAUUUUGUUCAAAAGUUUCUCCCUUUUGGCCUAUUAAGCAACAACUACGUCUACUUUCUUUUAAAAACUUUGCAACUACGUCUGACUCCACUCUUCCCUCAAAACCAGAACAUCUAACCCAAAACCAAUUUGCGGAAAUCUCCAUACAAACUCAAUAUAGCUUUCCGAUUUCCCUCUUCUUAUUACAAGUAUGGACAUUGUUGUCUUAGUGGCAGGAUGCACUACUAAUUUUGACAUAAGCUUUAUGCCAAAAAACAGGUUAAAACAGACGAGAAAUGCUACUAACACUUGCUCACACACUCUCCCUUAGACACGUUGCUUGGCUUAUGAGUGAGAAUUUGACUGUUCAUGGCUUCCAUACAAUGAUUUUUUCAAUACAUGAAAUCGUAGUCUUUUAAGGCCUAAUUAGAUAGAUUAUUCAGAGAGGUGAGGAUUACAAAGUUACGGCGUUGAUGUGCAAGCAUUUACAGAGACGACCUUUCAGUCGCCAAUAACAAAAAGAAAGUAUUAAAAGAUUUCCCAACUUUAAAAAUCAUUAAACAAGUAAAACAUUGAUAAAAGUGAAAAUGUGGCACCAUACAUUGAGAGAGUAUUUGUGCAAAAGUCUAUGAGCGACUGACCCUAGCAUUUCUCUAAGGCAGAUGGCGGAGUCUUCCACUACUCUGGGAUAUUUUUCUAUUGUUGAAGGGUCGGCAUAACGAGACAACCCAUAAUUACACACUUCAGGUUUAUAACAUUCGCUAAUAGCUAGUAAACCUCUACUAAAUUCUAAUGUAUGAACAACAUGGAAGACCUAUAGUCCUUAUAUUAAAUCUCAUGUUGCAUGUGUCAAUCCCUUACAUAUAAGUAGUAGGCCCUAGUUAGCUACUAAAGCGAGUUAAGUAUUCAGUUCCUCGGUUAGGAAAAAACGAAGCAAGUUGUAUAUGAAAAAGUUAAGUGAAGGAACUUAAUAAAAAAUAGAAGUCCAGAUAUCAAUUCAAACUUAUACAAGAAGGUAUUGGUUAGAAAAACUCAUUCAAAAUGUAAGAUGAUUUAAUAUUCCUAUUUAUAUAACUACUUAUUGAAAAGUUUACACACGGUAACAAAGGAAAUGGAAGCACGAUAAUGCAAUAUCAAUCAUUAUCACAUUAGAGACUUCAAAUGCAAGCAAGAUAACAUACUCUACUAUAAAAGCAGCGUUCUGAUCCACUCCGGAGGUGGCAAGAACAACUUGAAGUAGUCAGGAUAAUCAGACAAAAGUGAAACCCGACCUUGGUCCAAGCGAAAAACACCGAUUUCAAACUAUCUAACAUUGCCUUUACAAUAGAUCACCAAAUUCCCAUUUUCCAAACCCAAAUCCGAUGCAGAUGCAGAGAAUGAACAGCCUUCCCCGAAAAACAAAACCCUAUCCCCCAAAUUCACCAACUUGACCCACCUUUUCUCUUUCUCAUCAAGCCUAUACACAUCAAUCUUUACAUCAUCAUCGUCACCAUUACUUAAAUAUCUAUCCACUAGCAACAACUCACAUUCACUCUCCACCAAGAAUUUAACGUCGCCACCAAUGAACGGCUCAGCCACCAAAUGUUAGCUAAAGUCCGGUCCGAUCAUCACAGUAGGACCAGUUUUGUAUAUCAUACAAGGCCACCCUUUAAAAUUGCAAAGAAGUAAUCUUUCAUUUACGUACAACUCAUGGACCAAGCUUAGAGGAAAAUGGAUGUAUUUGGUUCAAAUUUUAAAUCAAAUACAUAAAUUUUUUUAGAUCUAUUUUUAUUUAUAAUUAAUGUCAGAGAGUAGCAUAUUAUAUGAGUGUUCUAUAUCACCAACUAUUAAUAUAAUAGGUGGAUUUUAUUGUUGGCAUGAAAUCAGACAGUAAAUUCAAUGGAUAGAGUUCCAACAGUAAACCAUUCACUGUGUUUGAUUUUAAAUUUCUGACUACUAAUUAUUUUGCUGCCUAUGCUGAUAAUUCUAGACACACACCCUUGUGCCAUCAUAUCAGCUAUGCAUAACUAGACAGAAGAAAAAUCAAACAUAUUGGUAUUUAUCAUUGAUUAAAGAUGAUAAAAAUUAUCAUGACCCAUGAAAAGUAUCAAAAGAACAAACAAAAAAUAGUAGACAAAAACAAGCAUAGCAGAUGGACCAACAAAGUAAAUUAGGCACAAACUUAAAGAAUUAAUUCUUAUUUAUUCCAUAGUCUCUGGCAAUAUAUUCUACAGAACAUUAUUAUUACACCAUAUUAUUGAAGCCAUGGUGAGGCAUCAUUGAUCCAUCAAACAAAUGAGGCUGCAAUUGCAACAUAGGAUUUUGAAAAAAAUGUGAUGGAAACAUUUCAGAUUGUUGAGUAUUUGGCUGAUGAUGGAGAUAAAUGUUCGAGGAAGAAGCAUUGCCAACAAAAAAUGGAAGAGUUCGAGUUGUAGCAUGUUGAAUUAGAAGUUUCUUAAGCUCCUCCAAUGCCUUUUUGAAUAAUUCAAGUUGAUCCUUAUUCAUUCCAUCAACCGGACAAGCCCACCAAAAAUUUGCCUCCGUUUCCUUGAGCAAAUGGCUCAGCUCAUCGUCAAUCUUCUUCUCAGCAUCCAGUGUGUUGUUGAUUUGAGUCAUCCGAGCAUUGAGUUCACGAACGUUGGCAUUGCGGUGAGCCUCAAUGAGUUGCAUCGUGCCGUUGUUUUGUGGUGGUACAAGAGAAAGAUAGCGGUCUAUGACCGUAUCAAGAUUGGGGUGACCAAAGGAAAAUACCUUUCCACUAGGUGAGAAUACAACGAGAGCAGCAUCUGCACCGCAAAGGGUGCAAAGCUCGCUAGCUUUCUUGAAGAGUCCGCUACGACGCUUUGAGAAAGUCACUUGCAGGUUGCUCUCGUUGCUCAUCUUUUUCAUCUCGAUCUUUUGGCGACCUCGGCCUUUCUUUCCACUCGACAUGGCUGACACACAAAGAGAGAACAAAGAAAAGAAAAGGGUGGGUGAGUGUGUUUGUUAUCUUAGAGUAAGAAAUGAGACAUUGAAGUUGGGUGUGAAGGGGUCAUUUUAUAUAGUCAAUUUUGUAUGUAUGUGUUUUAAGUAUUGUAUUAUGAUUUUUCUUUGAAUACCAACCGUGGCUAUCUUUUUCAAAUGUUGCAUCUAUUCAUAUUGAUAAUUUACAAGAUUAGGAGAUUCUUAUCAAAUCUCUUUUGCAUGCCUUUUAUGGCAAGAAAUUCAAUGAAAAAAAUGGCGCCAUUUUACAAAUUUGUAUAUCUUACCUUAUUCAGCAAACUAUUGGAUAUGAUUUGUACCUGGAUAUUUCUAGAAAUUUGCAAUAUGUUCUUGAAUUCUUUGCACAUUGGUUAGUCUUUAUCAACUUCGAUUAACUUUGUAUUCAUGUGUUGAAUUAUUUGCUCAUAUGCUCAUUGAUUAUCCCUUUACCAAGUCUUGCAUAGGUCAAAAAAUUAAUGUCCAAAACCUGCAUCAAAUUAUUGUACCCUAAUUUUAUCUGAUGAAAUGUAUUUUAUACUCCUGUUUGGUAACUGCCUUGCAUUUUGUUUUAUAAGAACUGCUUUGCAUUCUUAUUUUUUUCAACCAACUAAUUGAAAUCAAAUUAGUACACUACAUUCGUUAAUAAUAUUCUCUCUUUCCCUAAAUAUAAGCAUCACUUUGAAUAAAAAUUUGUCCCUAACUUAAAUAUAAAUACUUUUUCAAAUUUUUAAAUGCAUUAUUUAUUGCUUCUUUUCCAAAUAAACUAAUAAGGGUAGUUUACUACAUACCAUUGUUUUAAAACCAAGACCGAUCCGGCCGAUCGAACCGGGAAUCGAAGGAUGCAGCGGUUCAGGCAUGCUGCUGGACCGGAUAUGAAAUUAGUCCGCUGAAACCCAUGUGACCCGGCCGAAUCAGUGGGUGGACCGCUGAACCAGAUUAACUCACCCGACCCGUUUCCUUUUUUUUUUGAAAAAAAAAAUGAAAAUGCAAGGCAUAUAUAAAGACUAUGGCAAUUUGACUCCACGGGCAUAAAUAGUUUAUUGAUUAUUGAAUUGUUAUAACUUAUAUGUGUUUUUGUUUUUUGUUUACUAUGUUUAGAACUUACUUAUGUUUGUAAGUCUAUUAUUUUUUGUUGACUAUGUUCAGAACUUACUUGAGUUUAUAAGUCUGUUAUAUUUUGAUUUCCAACAACGUUUAGAACAUACUUUGUUUUAAGUUUUAAAGAUGGAAUCUGAAUUAGAACUUAUUUGUGAGGUUUUUUUAUGUAGUACUAUUGUUUAAUGUAUGAGUUCAUUUGAAUUUGGAUUGGAAUUAGCUUGAAAUUGAAUUGUGCAUAUAUAAAGACUAUUGUUUAAUGUAUGAGUUCAUUUGAAUUAGGUUUCAUUCAUAAUGUAAUUUUUGAUCAUAAAUAUUUUUAUAUAGACCGGAUCAAUAGUCAUGUGAUCCGACCAAUGACCAUACCUUGACCGGGUCGGACACCGGUCCAUAUUUUAAAACAUUGCUACAUACAUAUACAAAUGGUAGUUUAGAUAUUCACACAUAAAAUGAAACAUCAACUACAUCAUCAACUUUUUAGGAUGAAAAAAAGCAAAACAAAUGAUUAUUUAUACAUGCGGAAUGAGGAAGUAAGUAUUUUACAAAUUCCUUUAUGCACAUUGAUAGAUUUAUAGCGUCAAUUAAAAUUUAAUGUGAUAAUUUUUUGUAAUCCAGUAUAACUAGGGUCUUGACCUUAAUAGAUGUCCAAAAUUAUCACUUGAAAUUGGAUCAGUUGCUAGCCACAUGAAUGCAGUCCAUGCAAUUUUUUUGAGUGAGGAGAGACAAAUGAAAAAAUGAAGAGAUGAGGAUGAGAGAGAGAAAUGACGAGAGAGAUAGAAACCAAAAUGGUAGGAGAGAGAGAAAUGACGAGAGAGAUAGAAACCAAAAUGGUAGGAGAGAGAGAAACCAAAAUUAUUACUAAUUUCAUAAGAAGAAAAAAACCAGCAAUAUAUAACUAGACAAAAGAAAAACCAGACAUGUUAUGGUAUUCAAUAUUUAGAUUCUUGUGAUUUUUUAUUGAACUCUAAAUUGCAAUUUUAACAAAAUCACAAUGGCGUACUAGGAUUCUUUCAAACAUGAUGUCAAUUCAAACAUACAUAUAGUUAUUUUUGUUUAAUAAAAAAGGAGAUGAAAUCUCAUUAAGCACACGAAGUAUCAAAUUAGCAUAAAAAUUACUGGUUUACUAGACAAAACAAGUAUAGAAGAGGAUUCAACAAAGAAAAGUGAUUUAUUAUAUAGAUCAACGGUGCAUAUACUUUAGGCAACAAACUUAUUGUUGGAAUAUUUAGUUAUAAUUUAUUUAAUUAUAAUAUUCCAAUAAUUAUUAUAUGGGUAUAUAUAUCUAUUUUAAUUAUAUUAGCUAUUUAUCUUUAAGGGUCUUAAUUGAUUACUGAUCAUAUAAUGAAAAAAAAAAAAAGGCUUAUUAGAUUUCUAUUAAAAUAAUAAUUAAUUAUUUAAGUGAUAUGGACUUGGAUCGGGUGGAUGUCUGGAUGGUCCAUUAAAGGAAUAAUAGGAAACCCUAAUGGUCAUCCAAUAUAAAGAGGAUAUGGUCCCCAAUAUACCGUACAUAGUAAAACCGCUCUUCUCCCCAUCUGAAGUGCAUUACACUACAAGAAAUCUGGUAAUUUGCCAGGGGCAGAAGCCCUGGCAAAAUGCAGAAAGCCUUGGCAAAUGGACGUUUGAGAAAGAACCAAACCAGCCGCCGCUGACUUUACCUUGAGCUUUAAAUUUCAGUAAAUCAAACAUGUUUUAUCUGAUCAUAAACUUGUUCAAUAAUUGCUUCCGCUGUUGAUUGAUAAAUUAAAUUAUAUAUAUUGAACUGCUUAUGAAAUUUGCUAACAAUAACUACCCUUUCCUCUGCCAUCUAAUAUAGUUCAAAUUGAUAACGGAGAUAUGAUUAGAUUCGUAAACAAAAGUUUGAGUUUCAAGAGAGGGCAUAUAUGAUAAAUUGAAUUGGUUAUGGAUUUUCAUACAACACAAGUAAAGUGGCGAAGCUGAACUUAAUGACUCCAAAACUUCAAUAGAAUUCGGGAUUUCCAUAUUGUUGAAGCCAAUUAAAUGAGAUUGCAACAUAGGGUUAUAAAAAAUUUGUGGCGAAAGCAUCUUAGUUUGUUGAGGAUUGGCUGAUAAUGGAGAGGAAUGUUAGAGGAUAAAUCAUUACCAACAGAAAAUGGAAAAGUUUGAGCAAAAGUACCCUGAAUUGCAUUCCUAUGAACAUGAUGAGCAACAAGUUUCUUAAGCUCCAUCACAAUCUUCUUGAAUAAUUCAAGUCGAGCCCUAUUCAUCCCAUUAAUCGGACAAGCCCACCAAAAUUAAGCAUUGAACGCCUUGCACAAAAGACUCAACUCAUCACCAAGCUUUUUCUUCUCGUUCAGUGUGUUGUUGAUUUGAAUCAACUCAGCAUUGAGCGCACACACUUUGGCGCUACGAUGAGGCUCAAUGAACUCUAUGGUGCUAUUGUUUUGCGGUGGGACCCGAAAGAGAUAGCGAUCUAUGAUUGUAUCAACAUUUGGAUGACCGAAAGAAAAUACCUUUUGACUAGGUGAGAAUACAACUAGAGCAACAUCUACACCACAAAGGGUGCAAAACUCACUGACUUUCUUGAAGAGCCCGCUACGACACUUUGAGAAAGUCACUUGGAGGUUUCUCUCGUUAUUCAUUUUUUUCAUCUCAAUCUUUUGGCGACCACGAACUUUCCUUCCGCUUGACAUGGUUGAAGUACAAAACGAUAAAAGAAAAAUCUGAAAAGGUUAAGUGGGUGUGUUUGUUACUUUAGACUGAGAAAUGAUAUAUUAAAAUCGGAUGUGAAGGAGUCAUUUUAUAGCCCCUUUUGUUGUGUAUAUUUCAACUCCCGCGUUAUGAUUUGACUUUAAAAAAUCAAUAUGUAUUUAUCUUUUUCAAACGCUACGGUUUUUCAUUAAAAUAUUUACCGGAUUGAGAGAUUCUCAUCAAAUCUCUUUUUGCAUGGCUAAUAUGAUAUCAUAUUCAAUGCAAAAAAAAAUGGCGCUCUUUUAUCAAUUUAAUUUGUAUAAAACUUAGGUUGUAUGUGCUUAAAUAUUUUCAGGAAUUCGCAAUAAUUGCAUUCAUAUUCUUGUCUUUAUUAAAGAAUACAAGUGAAUAUGGUACAUUCUUCAAAAUCUAUCAUAUUUUCGCAUACUUAUUUUCUAAAGACAAGUUUCUCUUUGGCUUUUCAUAUCUCCUUUCGGUCUCAAUGAAUGUAUUUCAAUAGAACCCACACUUAUUCUCAUGGUUGAUUGCUAUUGAAACCCUUUAAGAACGAAACCUUAAUGUCAUCAAGGUUUACUAGACUAUUCUCAUGUUUCACAAUCCUUAUCUAAUUUCAUUUGUUCCAAUAUCAAAUUUCAUCUUUCGAUCAUUCGCUUGAUAUUUGUGAGGAUGAAAUAAAACUAUUAAACUUCACAUUUCGGUUCUUCGAUUAAUACUUGUUAUUUCAUUAGAAAAACGGUGAAAUAACUUUGAAAUAGAUUUACUUAGGUUGUAUGUGCCUAAAUAUUUUCUGGAUUUGCAUUAUACUACAUUCAUAUUCUUGACUUUAUUAAAGAAAUACAAGUGAAUAUGGUAGAUUCUUCGAAAUCUAUCAUAUUUUUGUGUACUUAUUGUUAAAAAAGAUAUUUGUUUGUGGUCAUGCUAACUUAUGUCCUUAGGGCACAUGUUAAUUAAGCAGUGUAAAAAUAGAAUACUUUUUUUUAAAAUUAUGUGCAUUCAAUUAAUCAAAAGUAAAAAAAAAAUUAAAUUCAAAUGCAUUAAUUACAAUAAAAUAUUUCUACUUUUGACUCAUUAAUUUGUGCCUUAUCGACACAAGUUAGCAUUUCCCAAAAAGAAAUACAAAUCAUUUAAUUUUAAAUUCAAAGCACCAGUGGUAACAUAGGAUUCACUUUUUAUUUUCUUCUUUUUUGCCUCAAUGGACUUUUGAUUCUCGUAUUUGAAAAAGAAAAAGAAAUUUUGGUCCCUCAUUUUGAUUCUCAUAUUAAAAAAAAAAAAAAAAAUACUUGGUCCCUCAUUUUAUAAACUAAAAUUUUGAUUAUCUACUUUAACUUUGUUUAGAAUUUCCACCCUAUCAUAUGUUAGAGUUAUUUUUGUUGAUCUGACAUAGAUUAGACUACAACACUUCAAUAUUAUUAGCAAAUAAGUCACAUCAACGAAGAUGACCCCAAUAUAAAAUAUGAGUGGAAAUUUUAGAGAAUGUGAAUUGAAGGUAUACACUAUGCUUUGUAGUCUCACAAUAGUUUUGAUUCUCUAUGAUCUCAUAGUAGUGUGUGAGUGUGGCAAUAUUUCUUAAUCUUCAUACUCCUUAUCGACAGUUAUCGUUCUUCACAUAAUAACCUCUCAGAUUUUAAGAAGCCAAGUUUGGCACCACUUACUUUAAUUAACAAGUCAUUUUGUAUGAAAAUCAUAUGCCUAGAAGCUUUUGUAGACGUUCAAUUUAUAAAUCAUAUGCCUUAGCUUAGCACAAAGAAAAGUGAUUUAUUAUAGAUCAGCAGUGCAGGUAAUGUAGGAAACAAACUUAGAGAUUAAUUCUUAUUUAUUCCUUAACACAUGACAAAAUAUAUUCUACAGAACAUAUAAAACCAUAGCCAUAACAUUAUUAAAAAAGGAAAUAAACUAGCUAGCUAAUUCUUCUUGUUAUCCUUUUGAGCAGCAUGCAAAUCAGCAAAAUAGCCCUUAGGAUUUUUCUCAAAUUCCUCCCUUGAAAUGUUGGAUCCAUCUCCUCCAGGUGCUUUCAUUGGAUCAACCUUAGUGGUACUGCCAACGUUGUCCUUUGGAUUGUUUGCAGCAGCACCAACAUUGCCAUUUCCUUUGCCGUCCAUAGUUCAAAAUGAUCAAAGAAAUAUAAUUAGAUUUAGAUUAGAUCAAUAAUAAACAAGGUUUGUGUUUCAAGGGGGGUAUGAAUAAGAAAUUGAGCAGCUAGUUGUGUCUUUAUAUAGAACAUUGUUGAUCUCAUCUCCUACCUCUUAAUGACUUUAGCUUCAAUUUUCAAUGUCUCAGCAAAAGUGCAGUCAAUUGUUCUCAUUUCUAAUGUUAAUUUACCAAUGAAGUGUGUGGCCGGUGUGUGUUAAUUAGUGCAUUAUGGAUAUGAAUGAAUCACGUGUGAAAAUAUUGAGAAAAUAGAUUAUUAUUUUUUUUAAUUAUAAUUUUUAGAUGGUUAAAAUUGUAUUGAUGCUUCCAUUUGGAUCCCUAUUCUUUAAAUUUUAGCCUAAUUAAGAGACUAACCCCACAAGUUGGAAGCGGAACCUUUGCUUAGUUUUUACAUUAGGGUUUAGGCUUCCUUCGAAAUGGACAAUUCAGAUAAUCAAUCAAAAUUCUUUUUUAAGGAGAUUUAUGUUUUCAAUCUUCUAUUGCAAUGUUAUAAGUAAUUUAGGAAAACUAGACCAUCGAAGGUAAUAUUUGACGGUAAUAGGUAACAAAAUAUUUAGGUUAAAUAUAAUGAACAUAAUCUCUUAUUUAGGUUAAGUAUAGCGAGGCGGGUUAACAUUUAUAAGCAAAAGAUAUAGCGAGACGAGUUAACGGUUAUUCCUUUUCAACAAAAAAAAAUAGCAUCUAAUUAGGAACAUAAUUUUAUUUUACUUUAGAUAAACAUUAAAUGCAAAAGUGUGGAGGGAAAAAUUAGGUUAAAAUUAGAUAUAGCGAGACAGGUUAACGAUUAUUCCUUUUCAAAAAAAUUACAUCUAAUUAGGAACAUAAUUUUAUUUUACUUUAGAUAAACAUUAAUGCAAAAGUGUGGAGAGAAAAAUUAGGUUAAAUAUAGCGAGACGGGUUAACAUUUAUAAGAGAAAUAUUUAGUCAUUAUAAUUUUUAUUUUUUUUUACAUGCAUAAACUCAAGGUCAUUAAACUAACUUAUUAGUACAGGUGAAAUUAGUUACACUGGUGCUAUCAAUGUAUAAGCUAACAAUUGUUCUUUUGAAUUGUACGUAUCAACUAUUACUUUUGAUUAUAGUUUUACAUUUUUUUAAUUUUUCUUCAACAAUUGUUUAUUUCUACAAUUCUAUUUACUGCAUAUGCUUUUUUAAUGCCUUUCAUACAUUCUGUUUCUAUUUUAGAGGAUAUGAUUAUUAAAAAUAAACUUCUCCCGUUAGAAAGAUUGUAUUAGAAAAUAGUGAUGAUAAAGGAACAUAGAGAUAAACGGUACAAAAAAUUAAAUGAUGUAUUCGUAGAAAAUAAACAGUUAAAUAAUUUCACUUUUUCAUUUUCUAGAAUUGUGUUAUGGUUUAUUGGUUUGAACUUUGGAUUUCUUCAUGCAGACAAAUGAUAUAUGGAGUAUUGUCUUUCUAUUCGAUGCGACAGUGCUCGAAUCCAUUUCACACUUAUAAUUUGCUAUUUUUUUUUUAAUAAAAAGGGGUUUCUAUUUGCUAUUGAUGCUGAGUUUUUUUUCUAUAGUAGUGAAGGAUUCAUGGUAAAGUGAUGCUUAAGUCAACAUUUACACCAGUUUGCAACCACAAAUGCCUUGCAGAUUGGAGGUUUCUUGAUAAUCAUAAAGGAAAUUUAUGUUGUGAUAAUGAUUGGGUGAGAAAAAUGUAAAACUAAUAGUACUCCUUAUAUCCUUCUAUGAAAUGAUUUUUUUUUUUUUAAGGAAAUAUACUUUCAUAAAAUUUUGUUUCCUAAUUAAUUUUUGAUAUUUUGUACCAUCAUGAAUUGUUAAUCCAAAUUGCACACUUUUAUGAUUUAUGACAGUUUCUCAAAGUAACCUCUAAUAACUCUAAGUAACUGAUUUAUGACAGGUUCUCUAUCUAUAUUUGCCAAUUGCUAUUGAGAAUUGAGGAUUGAACAAUUCUAAUGUUUUUCUUUGCAAGACAAAGAAUCAACAAACUGGGAGCAGGGACGUCCAAAUUACAAUUGCAAGAGACAUUUCAUCCAAAGAUAGAGAGGAAACAUGACAGGUUUCACCGAAGAUCUAUAUUUCUUAUCUCUUCUAUGAUCCAAUGAUUUCAGAACAAAGAGAGAUACAUUUCAUCCAUUUGACACUUCUUAUUUUUUAAUUUCAAUUUUAGUAUGAAUGGAUAAUUUAGUUUGUGAUUUUAUUGGUCAAUUCUUACAAACUACAAUAUUGUAGAGGACUAAAAUUAUCAUUAAAAUUUUCUAGAAAAUAAACUUAAAAGUUUCUAAUUUUAUAGAUACUAAAAACAUAUUUAACCCAUUCCAAUAUUUAUUUUUCUAAAAGUUCACAGUGUAGUAGUAUAUAGCUUUGUUCUCAAUUUGGAAAUCCAAAAACACAAAUAAGUUGAAGGUAUUAUUAGAAAGAAUUCCACGACUUUGAUAACCACAAGUUUCGAUUCCCUCUUUUCACGCUUGAUUUUGAUAUUUGUCGUUGAUUUAUAUUUUGAUAAAUAGUGAUGUUUAAUUUGAAAAAAAUGCAGUUAUUCUAAAAUAAUGUUGUGUAAUUGUUACCUAUUAGAUUAAAAUGAUUUCCUUUAAUCAGGUUGUUGUGUAAUUUUAAGGGUGAUUCUACUAUCUAUCUAUGUGGUUCUACUUAUAGUUUUUUUUUUUUUUUGGUGAUUAUACUCUUAAUAGAAAGUAUCCCAAUCAAAUACCCAAUUUACUAUUCAAAAAUGAUGGCACAAAACUCAAAUCUCUUAUAUCAAAUAGUAUGAUUUACAUUCAAGAGUGGUUGCGUUGAUGAAGUGGACUCCACCAUUUCAAGAG